UGUGAAGCAGAUAGUUCAAGAUGGGUAAGGAGAAGGUCCACAUCAACAUCGUGGUCAUCGGCCAUGUCGACUCCGGCAAGUCGACGACCACUGGGCACCUUAUCUACAAGUUGGGAGGUAUCGACAAGCGUGUGAUCGAGCGUUUUGAGAAGGAGGCGGCGGAGAUGAACAAGCGUUCGUUCAAGUACGCGUGGGUGCUGGACAAGCUGAAGGCAGAGCGCGAGCGUGGUAUCACGAUCGAUAUCGCGUUGUGGAAGUUCGAGACCGUGAAGUACUACUGCACUGUGAUCGACGCGCCCGGACAUCGCGAUUUCAUCAAGAACAUGAUCACGGGAACGUCGCAGGCGGACUGUGCUGUGUUGAUCAUCGACUCGACGACGGGAGGGUUCGAGGCCGGUAUCUCGAAGGAUGGACAGACGCGUGAGCACGCACUGCUGGCGUUCACUUUGGGAGUGAAGCAGAUGAUUUGCUGCUGCAACAAGGUGGGUUCGGGGGCAUUUUGGUUGAGGUUGGGGGGUAGGGACAUGGUAUGGGAGCGGGGCGCGGUGGUGGCAUUGGGUUGCGUUAUGGACAUGGCGUGGGUAAUGUCGGGGGCAGACGAGUGGGGUAAGGGGUAGGGUUUUUUGCGUGCAUUUUUGGGGAGCAGUGAGGUGGGCUGAUGUUGGUGAUGUGGAGGGUGGCAGAUGGACGCGACGACCCCGAAGUACAGCAAGGCCCGAUUUGAGGAGAUCAGCAAGGAGGUGUCGGCGUACCUGAAGAAGGUGGGGUACAACCCGGACAAGAUUCCGUUCGUGCCGAUCUCAGGGUUCGAGGGUGACAACAUGAUCGAGAGGUCGACGAACCUGGACUGGUACAAGGGUCCGACUCUGUUGGAGGCGUUGGACAACGUGUCGGAGCCGAAGAGGCCAUCUGACAAGCCUCUGAGGCUGCCGCUUCAGGACGUGUACAAGAUUGGGGGCAUUGGAACUGUGCCAGUGGGACGGGUGGAGACGGGAAUCAUCAGGCCGGGCAUGUUGGUGUGCUUCGCACCGACGGGACUGACGACUGAGGUGAAGUCUGUGGAGAUGCACCACGAGUCGAUGCCCGAGGCACACCCGGGUGACAACGUUGGGUUCAACGUGAAGAAUGUGGCGGUGAAGGACCUGAAGAGAGGGUACGUGGCCUCAGACUCGAAGAAUGACCCUGCAAAGGAGGCAGCAAACUUUACGGCGCAGGUUAUCAUCAUGAACCACCCGGGACAGAUCGGGAACGGUUACGCACCAGUGCUGGAUUGCCACACGUCGCACAUUGCGGUGAAGUUUGCGGAGAUCUUGACGAAGGUGGACAGGCGAUCGGGUAAGGAGCUGGAGAAGGAGCCGAAGUUUUUGAAGAACGGGGACGCAGGGUUCGUGAAGAUGAUUCCGACGAAGCCGAUGACGGUGGAGACGUUCGCGGAGUACCCACCAUUGGGACGGUUUGCGGUGCGUGAUAUGAGGCAGACGGUGGCUGUGGGUGUUAUCAAGGCCGUAGAGAAGAAGGAACCCACCGGCGCCAAGGUGACCAAGGCCGCUGCCAAGAAGAAGUAGUUUUAUUGGUAUUGCGGAGUUGGCAGUUUUGGUAUUGGUUCGGGGAUAUUUUUCUGAAUCUAGGGAUAUUGAGGUGCUGUGCUUGCUCGAAAUACUUGGUGCGGUCUUUACUUAGUCCAAGUUGGGUUCCGCUCAUUUUAUCUCGAUGCUGAGAUGUAUGUAAUGCGCUUACUCUUGAUUUUAUUUUUACUGAUUUGGGCCAGCGUCCAAAGUUGAUUCAAUGAAUUUCCAGAUGUCUGCUAUCUUUCAAGUCCGAUUUAUUGUAUGUGCCGAUUCGAGCCGCUCUUCUGUGCUACUUGCGCAGUAAUUGGCCAUGAAGGUCUUCUUGAAAUCAUGUAUGCCCAUCGUUUCAAGCCUCAACUACUCUCUAUUUACCCAAACAGGACAACAGAUGAUUUCUUAUUUGUGGUCAUGUGGCUUCAAUUGUCCAGGAUUCGGACAGUCUAUAUCUCUUCAGCAACCCGCACAUUCACUUUCUCAGUCAAUGCCAUUUCUCUAACUCUAUACCUCAACACGUACGACGCUGGUUGUCAACAAUACUAUUCCUGCUGCCAGUGGCUGACAUGCACCAUGUUUGGGGAAUUCACUGAAACUGGUUAGCACCCCUGAGUUGUGAUUAUACAUCUUGGAGUACGACGCUCCUGAUCUGAUUUUUUACCAGAUGAUGUAUUACAGCGUACCUCACUGUAAGGGUAAAUAAAUUACAGUGAGUUCACGAUUCUUAACUUGGCUUGUCUGCUGCUCUUCUCCACGUGCAACGUUGAAUUAGUACGGCGCCACCUAUAAUGCUCUGCUGAUGGAAAAGGAUCAAAAACUGUGAUGUAUGCUACUUUCUUCGACAUCUACUGCUGCGGCCCGUGUGAUAUAAACAUGCGAAUAGACUGUUGUCGGUGCAGUAGAGAAACUAGUGCGUUUCUAGCAGGAUGAAAAUCUUUGGUACACUGGGAGUCAAUUUUUAUUAGACAGAAUCUAUUACCCACUUAUACGCAUCAGAAGUUGCUGUGUUAAAGAUAUGCUCGCUCAAGUUCUUCAUGUUGUCUGCAUUAAUAGUUGCUUUAAUAAAGAUAUGGUAUCCCUAGUAUUGCUCAAAAGUUACCCACAUAUUGUUUAUUGAUUCUUUUCUUUUCUUUUCUUAAAGAAAGGGAGAUUCCAACCUCUUUCUAUUUGAUUAGGCCUGUAUUGAUAUCCUUCUUUUUGACAUUAUGUAGUUUUUUGAGUUUCUUUAUAGUGGGGAUUCCACAGUGGCUUGUCAUGGAGAUCUUGCAACAAAAUAUCAUAAAAGAGGGUUUAAAAGAUUCUUUGAAAGAACAGUUGAAAAUUAAUUUCUUUCAAAGAAUCUUUUAAUUAAGAGUUAUAUUUUUGAAAUAUUAUAAACAUAUCAUGCAUAUAUAUAUAUAUAUAUAUAUAUUUUAAAAUAUUUGAUAUUCAUUUCUCUACACUAAAUUUUAUGUUAAAGAAGUACAUAGUUAUAAAAUUAAGUGAUUUGUGCUGAUUUAUGUAAGUGUAAGUAAAAUGCAACUAGUCUAAUUUAAUCUUUAUUGACAAAAAGAAAAGAAAAAAAGAAAUAAAUGUUUGAGUUCUCAAUCAUACUGCAAAGAGUGAAAGCAUCAAAAAUAAGAAAGUAGGUGAUUUCAAAAAUCCAAAAUAAAUAUGUCAAAAAGCUUAGGGAGGUCAAUGUAAUCCUAAAUUCCAAAUCCUAAAUUCUUAAAUCUUAAAUAUCUAAAAUUUCAUUCUUAUUUAGAGCGAUUUGAAUAUAUGUAUAUAUAUUUAUACACACACACACACACACAUAUAUAUAUAUAUAUAUAUAUCGAGAGAGAGAGAGAGAGAGAGAGAUAGAUUUAGUAAUCCUAAAAUGAACACAAUGGUAUAUUCAAAACUUGCAAAAGACAUAAAAUUUAAAAUCUUAAAGCCUAAGUCAAAGUGACUAUAUCUUCUAAAGUAAGAACUUUUAGUGCAAGUUAUUUAAACCCUCAGAAUUCUACAUGCCAAAAAUAAGAAGGUAAGUCAAGUCGAAAUUUCGAAAUAAAUUUUAAAAAAAACUAGGCACACAUAUAUAAGCCUAAAUUCCUAACCAAAACCUAAAAUCAAACUAUCUAUAUCUUACAAAUGAAAAAUCUUUUUGGACAUUUUGACUUUACUAUAAGAAUUAUAAGCAAAAAUAAAUAGAGAAAUAUGUCAUAUCAAAACUAGAAUAAAAUAAAAAAUAAAAAAUAAAAUAAAAAUAUCUAAGUAUAUCUUUAUAAUUCUAUAUUUUUCAAAUCCUAAAUUCUAAAUUUAAACCUCAAAAUUCUUAAAAUGCUAAAUUUCUAAAAUUUUGUAAGUCUUAAAUUGUAAAAUUUUAAAUUUCUAAAAUUUCUAAAAUUCAUAAUGAAUCACAUUAUAAAAAAAAUAUAUUAUACUACUAAAAUAUUAUCAAAUAGAGAUUUUUUUUUCAAUAGAGUAUUUCUAUUUAUUCAAAAAUAUUUAUACUUUUGAGUAUUGGUAUGUAUUAUUUAUUUUCAUUAAAUACGGCUAAAUCAUAGAUUUAUUUAUAGUAUUUAUCUUUGUAUUAAUUGAUUCUUUACCAAGUUGCUUAUAUUAUUUGCUCAAAUUUCUAAAUUUUUAAUUUUUAACCAAAAAUAUCUUAAUUAUCUCACAUAGAAUCUAAAUAACAUAGUAUUUAUAAAAUUAUGUUUUGUUGUCAAACAUGAAAAUUAAUCAUUCAUCCAAAUAUAAUAAAAAUCAUUUGUUUCUUAUAUGUACAUAGAAAAAUUAGGAAAUUGUUUAUUAAGAAGAUCUUUAUUGAAAAUUAGUCUAAUUACAGUUAAAAAUAUAUGUUUAAUUUCUAUUUAUGUUCAAUAAUCAUGAAAAGAUUAGUAUUAAAUCAUAACUUUGCAUAAUAUUCAAAAGAAAUGAAAAACAAAUUCAACCAAUGGAAUUGAGUUCUAACAUUAUUGAAAUUAUUAACAAUAAAGAAUUUAUGCAUAUAUCUAUUUUAAAUACUCUAAAUUUUUAUUCAAAUAUAGAAAACUUAACCAACAAGUAAAAAAAAUUAUUCUUAUCUAUUUGGCCUUACAUUAAUUAAUAAAUAUAUUCUUAUUUGAUCUUAUAUUAUUAUAAUAGAAAGAUUGACAUUAGCCUUGUUAAAAUUUUCUUAAUAAAAAUAGAUGAGAAUUCUUUUGAAUUUAAUAAAAUUCUUUUUUUAACUUGGUUUUUUAAUUUUAAACUAAUAAUUUUAUUUGAAUAAUUUUUUACAAAAACUUAGUAUAUUUAAAUUAUAUAUUGCCAAUUAGAAUUAAGACCUUAUUAUUUUUUUAAAAUUCUAAGCUUGUAAUUUUUUUGGAUUAAAUCAAACUUGUAUUUUAAAUCAAAUACUAAAUUCAUAUAAUAUAUAAAUAUUUAUCCAAAUUUUUUUAACUUUGUCUUUUUGACAACAACAUUAAAUGACAUAUUAAAUUUAUUUAUUUAUCAAUAUAAAUUUCUAUAUGUUGGUAAUAAAUUCAAACAUUAGAAGAUUGAAUUGCUAUUAAAUAAUCACUUUUAGUAUUGAUUACUAAUUGAUAUAUUUAAUUUAUAUAUAUUUUAGUUGUUUCUAAAGUAUGUACUUACAAAAAGUGAUGCUACAAUAUUUUUGUGAUUCUUCUUUUGUUGCUGAUUAGACAUAUUUUAAAAAAAACAAGAAUAAAUAUAAAAAUCAAUUUAAGCAUAAUACCUCUAAAAUACAUUCUUGCUUUUAAAAUCAAUGAUUGUUGCUCUUUUAUCUUUUCAUCUUUUAGAAAGUACAAUUAACUUUAAUACUUCUUUGUUAAUUUUUAUAAUAUCACUAUUUUUUUCUUGCCUAUGAUUUGUAAUAAUAUAUGAAUCUUUAUUUUUUUUAAAAUUAUUUAAUUAAAAUAAAUAAAAUAUUUAAUUACAAAUUUAAAAAAUUUCAUCUUUGUACAUAAAAUAUUAAUGUAUAUAUUUGUUGACAAAAAAUUAUGUAAACUUGAGAUAGAUUGUAUUAUCCAAUUAUGCGUUCUAGCAGUCCAACAAAACAAGUUGAGUUAAUCAUUGCACAAUGGUCCUACAAGAGAACACCAAACAAUUGACACCACAUCAACAAACUUCUUGCUGCACGUUAUUGAUUGUUUAUGCUUCAUAAAGACAUCACAAGUAUGUCUCUUUGUGCCAUUUGUAUCAAAUAGCCAAAUUUAGAUUUGUACAAAUAGACCAAGCAUUGUUAUGGCCCAUAUCCUUACUUUCACUAUUUAUGUGUUAGGAACUAGACUUCAUCAAAUUCAUCAAAUCACUUAUGCAAGUGCAAAAUAAAUAUAUACUCAUAGUGAUAAAUUAUAUCACUAAAUGGUGCAAAGCACGUCACAAACAUGCAUAUUUACUCUAAUAUUUAUCUAUAUGAUUAAGUAGAAGUAAAUAAAAAUAGAUUUAUUUCAUAAUAUUUUUUAGAAUAGUUUUUUAAAAGCUUCAUAGAUGGUGCUUUGACUUUACAUAUGUUUAUAGUUGAUUGAUAUGUUAGAAACUUCGUCAACAAGUUAACCACAUAUUGGUAGCUUGUAAAAUAAGCUAAUUAUGUGGCAUACAUAUAGAAAACUUGCCUUGUAAGUUAAGAUAUGUAUCUUAUAAAGUCAACAUGUUUUGGAGGUCCUAUAGAACAUUGCCUUGUAGCUCCUAGUUAAGAAUAUAUAUGGAGGCAAGAGUGAAGCCUUUUUCAUUCUUAUCAACGCCUUUUUAGUCGUUAGUCUUAUUUCAAGUCUUCUUAGUCUUCUUUUCUUUGGCAAUAGCCAUUGUAGUUUAAUACUAUGUCAUCUUUGAGUGCUUUUCUAGUCUUUUUGAGUAACACAAGAGUAUUGGCAUUUUAAUUCUUUGAGGUUCAUAUCCUUGACAAUUUGACAAGAGUCCCAAUUCAUUUUUUUUUAUCUUAUUUUAGAAGUAAAUGGAUUAUUUUACUUCUAUUAUUAUAUUUUAAAGGUUGUAGAUUAUCUACUUUUAAAUAAAAUAUUUAAUUUUUUGAUACUAUUUUUUUCUUUAAAGAGAGUGAAUUAUCUCUUUUUGUAGAAAUUUUCAUUUGAUAUUAAAGAUUCGAAAUUAUCUUCUUCUAAUUUAACUUUUUGAAUUUAUUUGAAUUAUUUAUAGAAAGAAAGAUUAUAAAUUUUAUUUUCAAUAGAAAUAAAAAUAGAUUUGUAACUAUUGUAGAUCUUCACAAAUUAAAGAUUUACAACUCCUUUAUAAUUUGAAUUCAUUCCUAGAAGUAUUUAUGGCCAUAUUUGAAAAAAGUGAUUAAAAAAGAGUAGCAGAGAUCAAACUUUUAUCUUUACAAUAAAAAUCAUGGUCAGCCACCAUAUAUAUUGCUAAAUUCCAAAAUCUUGCUUGUGAUGUGGAGUAGAAUGACAAAACCCUUAUCAAUGAAUUUUGAUAUUUAUUGAAGGAAAAUAUCAAAGAUUUGUUAUUGAUAAUGUCAAAAGAAUUUUUUUUGGAACAAUUUAUUGCUGAAGCCAUUACAUGCAACAAUCAAUUAUUUAAAAGAUGUCAAGAACAAAGAUUCAACUAAAGAAGAACAAAUCAAGUAAUGAUGGUAGCUCCUAAGUUUUCAAAAUCUUAUUCAUUAAAGCUAAAACCAAUGCAAAUUGAUAUGGUAUAUUUUAAAUCUCUAAGUGAACAAAAAAAGAUUCAUUGUCAUAAAAAAGAUUUGUACCUAUAUUGUAGAGAAUCCAAGUACAUUGCUUAAUAUUAUCUAAAGAAGCAACACAAUCAAAAAAUGAAGAGUAUAGUUAUUAAAGAAGAUGAUAUAUCAAAAAAUGAGUCUCUUCAACUACAAUAGGAUCCAUGCAACUAAAAUCUUAUACAAUUUCUAGUAAAGAUCUUAUUCUCUCCUUAGAUCCUUCACCUUAUUUUACAAUAGAAUUUUUUUUAGGACCAAAAAAUCACAAAGACUUAGCCUUGUUAGAUUCAAGAGCCUCAAUCUAUUUUAUAAAAAAACUUUGUCAAAAAACAAGAUAUAUUUUUAAUUAAGAAAAUCAAAUUUGUGCAUAUAGAAAUAAUAAAUGGUCGUUUGUUAUCUUUUAGAGAUAAUUCAUAUGAAACUAUUCUUAUAGAAGUAGCAGCUAGUAGACAUAAUAGUCUAGUAAUAUUUGAUGUGAUUAGAUCUCUUUUUAAUCUAAUUAUUUUAGGAUUAUCUUGAUUAAAAAGAUAUAAUCUUUAGAUAGAUUAGAUUUCUUGUAAUCUUGAUUUUUUUCAUAGUUUAGGCCAAGAUUCUAUUAGGCAAUUAAAUAUCCAUAAGAUCAAUACAUGCAAAUUAUUAUUAGUAGGUACAAGAACUUUCAUACAUGCUACAAAAGAAGGGUCAAUUUUUGUUAUAUAUGACAUAUCUAUUGUUAAUAGAGAAAAGAUUUUAAGUAGUAUUCUAAGCCAAUAUCAAAAUUAUUAAGAUAUCUUUAAAAAAAAGAAUGCAAAUAUUCUUUCAAAGCAUUAUCUUUAUGAUUGUUCCAUUGAUCUUCAAGAAAGAACUCAACCACCAUUUGGACCAAUCUAUAGCCUAUCACAAAUAAGUUGAGUGCACUUAAGGAAUACAUUGAUGAAAAUUUGGCUAAGAACUUCAUACAAAAUUCUAAAUCUUUAAUUGAGGCUUCUAUCUUAUUUGUGAAAAAAAAAGACGGAUCUCCGCAAAUGCUUGUAAAUUAUUGGGGACUUAAAAAGAUCACCAUCAAGAGUAGGUACCCUCUAUCUUUGAUUGCAGAACUUCUUGAUCAACUAAAUCAAGGAAAGAUGUAUAUAAAAAUAGAUCUACUAAGAAUGUAUAAUUUGAUAUGCAUUAAAGAAGGAGACAAAUAAAAAUCUAUGUUUUGAUCAAUAUAUGGACAUUUCAAAUUUAAUGUCAUGCCUUUUGGAUUCAUGAAUGCACCAAUUGCUUUUUAGCAUUUAUUAAAUGAUAUUUUUUACAAGUUUCUUGGUAAAUUUGUCAUUUAUUAUUUAUACAAUAUUUUGAUCUAAAAAUAUAAAGGAGCAUAAACUUUAUAUUCAUUAUCUAUUACAAAAACUAAGAGAUGCAAGAUUAUAUGCAAAGAUGAAAAAGUGUAUAUUUUUUCCUACUCAAGUUGAUUUCUUACAAUACAUUAUUUCAAACAAUAGUCUUAUGAUGGAUCUUGAAAAUGUCUAAAGUAACAUUGAUUAAAAGAUUCUAAAAAUAGUCAGAGACAUAUAAUAUUUUUUCAAAUUUACUAAUUAUUAUUAGAACUUCAUCAAGAUUUUUUUUCAAGUUGCAGCUCCUUUUACAUGCUUAACAUGUAAACACAAACUAGAGUGGAAUAAAGAAGUUGAAGCAUCUUUUUAAGCCUUUAAGACAACAUUUAUUUUUGUACCAAUUUUAUACCAUGUCGACUUUUCAAAUACAUUCUUUAUGAAAACAGACACAUUAGACUUUGCUAUGGGUGCCAUUUUUUUACAAAUGGAAGCAAGUAAUAAGCUCUACUUAGUAAUUUUUUAUUCUAGGAAAUUUUUAGGACCCAAAAUUAACUAUGAAAUCUAUAACAAAGAACUUUUUUCAAUUAUGGAUUCAUUUCAAGAAUGGCAUCAUUAUCUAGAAGGCACUUUUAGUCCAAUCACCAUAUAUAUGGAUCGCACAAAUCUUGAGUACUUCAUGUUAGCACAUGUUUUAAAUCAUUGUUAAGUCAAUUAAAGCAUAUCUUUAUCAAGUUUUGAUUUUUAGAUUACUUAUUUAACUGAAAAAUAAUAAGGUUUAUUAGACACUCUUUUUAGAUAUUUUUAUUUUAUACCAAAAGAAGGAGAUGUAGCUUUUGAUAAACAAAAAAUGAUCCUCUUGAAGCCAAAGUAUUUUCAUCUUUGAGUAAUAAAAUCAACACUGACUAUUGAUUCAACUCUUAUCCAAAAAAUUCAAUUAAAUAUGUCCUUUGAUCUUCUUGUUGUCAUGGACAUACAAAUGAAGAAGGUUCAAAAAGAUUCUAAGAAGAUUUUUAAAGAUCCUAGAAGGUUCCAAUAUAUUCUAGGAAGAUUCUAAAAGGUUCCAGUAGAUUCUAAGAAAGUUUUAGAAGAUUAUACGAGAUCCUAGAAGAUUCUAGGAGGCUUUAGAUUAUUUAGAAAGUUACUGAAGAAAGAUCUUAGGCUUGCUUUAUUCGCAAGCCUCAUAGAAACUUCUCAAGAAGCUUCUUAAGACCUAAUAUAUAUAGGAGUCAAAGGUGAAGGGAUCUUCAAUCUCAACAACUCACUUCUUGUAGUUUAGCUAGGACCUUCUUGCAUUGUAUUCAAUUAUUGUUCUAAUGACAAGCUAAAUCUAUUUUUUGGUCUUGAAUCCUUAUCUUAUAUACAGUUCCUAAUAGUUUGUCGAGACUCCCAUAAAACAAUAUUAGAAGCUUGGUUUUUCUUCAUAGAAAGUGGAUUACCCCUCUUCUUGGAAGUACUAUAUCAUUUAUGAGGUUGCAGAUUAUCCUCUCCUACACUAAUAUUGUUCUUUUCUUAAUAUUCUUUUGAUUUUUUUUCUACCAUAGAUCAAUUUUAAUUUUUUAUGGCAAAAGGUGGAAAAGUCAAUAUGACAGAUUCCAAAGAGAUCAAGUUAGAUUUUAUUAUUAAUGCUCUUGAAGCAUUGAAGAUCAAAACAAAGACUUUAUUGAAGAAAAAUGAAGAAUUAUAUAUAAUCAUACAUAAUAGUCAAGGAGCUAGAGUGCCUCAACCACUACAUCAAAUGAUAAUAGAGGUUCUAAAUUCUCAAAAAACUAUAUCUGCUUCAACAAACAUGGGAGGUGCAUCCAUUCAAGGCAAUGAUCUGACAACAAUAACAACAAAAGAACUACGGAUUAGCCUUUCAAAAAAGUUUGAUGAUACCCGCUCAAAAUUUUUUCGCUUUGUAAACCAAGUGUAAUUAAUCACUUUGUUUCAACCUCAAUGAUAUUCUACUAAAGCAUCUUGUAUUGGUUUGGUUGGAACCUUACCCUCAAGUCAAGCUUUAUCUUGAUUCGCUCUAUUAUUUGAAAAUAAUUUUCAUAUAUUGCACAAUUUUGAAACAUUUUUGGUAACAUUUAUAGAAGCAUUUGGUAAACAUGAUAAGAUUCAUUCUUUAACAACUAAAAUUUGAAGCCUUUGACAAAAAACGUGUUUUAUAUCAAUGUAUGCUUGAGAUUUUUAAUAAUUAGUAUAUGAUAUAAAUUGGAGAGAAGAUGUAUUGAUGAGCCAAUUUCAUUGGAAAUUAAGAGAUGAUGUUAAGGACUUAUUGUUAUCUAUGCUAGAUCUUCAAAUACUCAAUGAAGCCAUUAGUUAAGUUGUGAAGUAUGAUAACCAUUUAUUUCAACAAUGAUAAGAUAAAUCUUCUUUAAUUAUGCCACAUAUAUACACCAAUUAUUCUGCUGUUUCUUUACCAUCCGAUUCUAAUGAGUAUUUGGAAACAAAAGAUAUGUAAAUUGAUGUAAUUUUCUUUGAACCUCUUUCUAAGGAAGAAAAAAAGUGUCAAAGGGAACUUGGCCCAUGCUUAUAUUAUAAAAAUCCUCGCCACUAGAUUGAUAAUUAUUCAAAGAAAUGCUAGCAUAUAUUUCAAAUAAAGAGUGCGGCCACUUCAUCAAAAGCUUUGUAAGAAAAUGAAGACAUCUAGCCACAGUAGGGACCGUUUGGUUGGAUUCUUCACUAUCACAAAUCAAAAAAGAUCUUGUAUUCUUUGCUAGUCCUUUCCAUUGUUUUACUUUAUGUGUAUAGUUAGGAGUCACAAAACUACAGUGUCAUGUAUUACUUGACUCAGGAGCCUUUGCAUGUUUUAUUGACAAAGAAUUUUUUAGAUCACAUCAAAUCUGUAUAGUCAAAAAAUCCAAGCUAUAUAUAUAGAAGUAAUAGAUGGUCGACCUUUUUUCCUUUAGAGAUGUCACUUAUGAGACAAUUCCAUUAGAAAUAACCUUCAACAACUAUAGCAAUGAAGUAGUAUUCAAUGUCAUUAGAUUACCAUCAAGUUUAGUCAUUUUAGGAUUCUCAUGGCUUGAAAAAUACAAUCUAUGGAUAGAUUGAAUAUCAUGAAAGUUAAAAUUUCUUUUAAUAGAUUAUAGAAUUUUUAGAUCUAUAAAAAAGUUUUUAAUAUCUGAUAAGCCAAAAUUAAAAAAAUAUUUAUUUAUUAGAAUUAGAGUAUUUUGUAAAGGCAGCCAAAUAAGGUACUACGUUUGUUGUCUAUACAAAUCUACAAUCAAAACUUAAAGUUGCUACAACAACAAUUCUAGAGGCAUAUAAAGAUUUUGUAGAUGUAUUUCAAAAAAAAAAAUACAGAUAUCUUGCCAAAACAUCAUCUUUACAAUUAUACAAUGGACCUUUAAGAAGAUAUUCAACCAUUGUUCGGAUCCAUCUAUAAUUUAUUUCAAAAAUAGCUUACAACUUUAAAAGAAUACAUUGAUGAAAAUUUGGCUAAGAAUUUUAUUUGACAUUCCGAGUCAUUAGCUAGUGCUUUGAUAUUAUUUGUGAAGAAGAAAGAUAGGUCUUUACGGAUGUGUGUCAAUUAUCGCGGUCUUAAUAAAAUCAUAGUAAAAAAUUGAUAUCUAUUGCUAUUGCUAUCCAGAUUUUUUUAUCAACUUAGCUAAUCAAAGAUCUUUACAAAGAUUGAUCUACGAGGUGCUUAUAAAUUUGUACACAUUAAGGAGAGAGAUGAAUGGAAGACAAUAUUUUGCACCACGUAUAGACAUUUUGAAUACAAUGUCAUGCCUUUUGGAUUUAUCAAUGUACCAACUAUAUUCCAACACUUAAUGAAUGAUAUAUUUUGCAAGCAUCUCAACAAGUUUGUUGUGAUCUAUUUGGAUGAUAUUCUAAUCUUUUCCUAGAAUUUGGAAGUCCACAAAAAACAUAUCUAUCCUAUAUUGAAAAAGUUACAAAGUCUUAAACUAUAUGCAAAACUGGAGAAGUAUAUAUUUCAUGCACCUCAAGUCGAAUUUAUUGGAUAUAUUAUUUCCAAAAAAUGCCUUUUUAUGGAUCUAAAGAAGCUACAAGUAAUCAUCGAUUGGGCAAAACCAAAAACUGUUAGUGAUGUCCAAUACUUUUUUGGAUUUACAAACUUCUACAAGGUUUUUGUUAGGAAUUAUUCCAAGAUUGCUACUCUAUUUAUGUGGUUGACAUACAAGUACAAGUUGGACUAGGGCCCUAAAGUAGAGAAAGCUUUUCAAAGCUUAAAGGAUGCUUUCAUAAUAGCUCCAAUUUUGAUACAUUAAGAUUUCAACAAGUAAUACUUUAUAGAAAUUGAUACCUCAAACUUUGCAUUGGAAGCAAUCUUCUCGCAAUAUGGAGAAGAUGACAAACUUCAUCUAAUUGUAUUUCAUUCUAAAAAUUUUUUAAUGAAAAAAUCUACUAUAAAAUUCACAAGAAAGAGUUGUUUGCUAUUAUAGAUUCUUUUCAAGAAUGGUGCCACUUUCUUCAAGGCACCUUUCAUCAGAUGAUUGUAUAUAUAGAUCAUAAGAAUCUUGAAUACUUCAUAUCAACUUGAGUCUUGAAUUGUUGCAAAGCGCGUUAGAAUAUAUGUUCUUUGAAGAAUAUUUGUUCAUUCUUGAAGGACUAAUUUGCUUAUGUAUUUUUCAAAUAUGCCAUGAUUUUCUUACAAUCGAACAUUUCAGAUUCAAUAAGACCUUAGAACUUUUGUCUAGAGACUUUUGGUGCCUUAAAAUAUGGAAGGAUGUUAAGGAAUUUGUACUAUCAUGUGAUACUUAUUCAAGGUGAAAGAACCCUUGACAUCAGCCAUAUAGACUUUUUCAACCCCUUUCUAUUCGAAAACAACCAUGGUCAUCUAUCUCUAUGGAUUUCAUUACAGAUCUUUGACCAUCAAGUUCAUUUGACACUAUCAUUGUAGUUAUUGAUUGAUUGAUCAAUAUGGCACAUUUUAUAUCUUACAAGAAGUCAAUUACUGCUAAGAAGAUGGCAAGAUUUUUUAUUGAUAAUAUCUAUCAUUACCACGGAUUGCCAAAUAAUAUCUAGAAGGCAUAUUAUAAGAUUCCUAAGUUUGAUAUCAACCUUUCUUUUGUCUUCUAUCUCAAAACUGAUGGCUAAACGGAGCCGGCCAAUUAAAUUCUUGACCAAUAUUUGAGAUGCACUAUCAACUAUAAACUAGACCAUUGGACUUUCUAUUUGUUGUUGGCAGACUUUUCAUAUAACAACACAAUCCAUGCAUCUAUGCAAGAAAUGCCAUUCUAUUCAAAUUAUGGUCAUCAUCUAGAAUUGGAUAUGAUAGAAUUACAAAGUCGAUAAAUCAAAUAACAGAGGAGUUUGCUACGAAAAUGGCCAAACUUCAAGCAAUCAUGAAGACUCAUCUAAAAAGGGCUCAAAAAUGUUAUAAGCUAUUAAUAGAUGAAUUAAAAAAAGAACAUCCUCUAUUCCAAAUUGGUGACAAAGUGUGGCUACUUUGGCAUAUAUAAAAACCAACAUGCUAUGUAAUAAGUUGGACUACUAAAAAUUGGAACCAUUUGUGAUUCAAAAAUAAAUAAACAAUGUAAGUUAUUGCUUGGAGUUACCUUCAUCUAGCCUUUCAUGUUUCAGUUUUGAAAAGGUAUAAAGAAUUAAACAUACCAAGUCAAAGAUAACCACCACCUCCUAUAGUUGAAAUCAAUGAUCAUGUUGAAUUUGAGGUAGAAGAGAUAUUAGAUUUAAGGAUAAGACAUAAAAGGCUUGAAUAUCUGGUUCAUUAGCGUGGAUAUGAUAUCAAUAAUUACAUGUGGAAAUUAGCUGACAAUCUUGUAAAUGCACAAAUGAAGGUUCAAAAGUUCUAUCAAUGACAUCUAUUUAGACAAAAAGUGGCAAAAUGAGGAACAAUAGCUUGAUAAGAUGGCUUCACCAUGAAGAUUCUUAGUUCUUGGUUUCAUAAAGAAGGGAAGGAAGCAACCUUUGAAGAGGCAGUUUUUUCAAAUGUUUAGAACAAUAUAUGUCAAUAGUUUGAGUUCCCAAUCACAACUUGUAUAUAUUCUUUUGAUCUUGUUUAUUUUAUGUGAUAUGAAUAGUCAAGACAUAGAUACCUUGUCGGUCAUAUGAUUUCAACUAAGUAGCUUGUGAAGAUGAUUCUAUGAUGAAGAACUACCUGAACCACAAAGAUGUUGAAGGAUAUCCAGUAAUAGAUCAUCGAUAAUUAUAUUUGAGGUAGAACCUAGCCAUGAAGGAUACCGAGAAGGACUGUUUGUAAGAUAAUUUCAUAACAAAUAUAUCAUAGUUCAUGCUUGGUCACAAGUAGAAGACUUGGGGUACUAUUGAUGGAUAUAAGGGCCUAUGAAAUAUUUGCCUUACAAAAAAAAACUAGAAUAUAUAGUGGAUACUAUGCAACAGAUCUUCAACUUUUUGUAUAUAUAUUGACUUGUAGUAAUAUUACUUCUCUGAGACCUCUAAGCCACAGGAGGAGGUGAUGUUAUGGACAUACAACUGAAGAAGGUUUAAAAAGGUUUGAAGAGAUUUUGAAAAGAUUCUUGUAGAUCCUAGAAGGUUCUAGAAGGUUCUAAUAGGUUUUAAUAAGAUUCCAAAAGAUUGUAGUAGAUUUUAAGAAAGUUCUAGAAGGUGAAAAGAGAUCCUGGAAGGUUCUAAGAGGCUUUAGAUGAUUUAGGAAGUUGCCAAAGAAAGAUCUUAGGCUUACUUUUUUUUUCAAGCCUCUUGAAAAAUUCUCAAGAAGCUUCCUAGGAUCUAGUACAUAUAGGAAUCAAGGCCGAGGCGAUCCUCAGUCUCAACAAUUCACUUCUUGUGGUUUAGUUAGGACCUUCUUGCCUCGUGUUUAGUUAUUGUUCUUAUGUCAAGCUAACUCCAUUUCUUGGCCUUGAAUCCUUAUCUUCUAUACAAUUUCUAAUACUUUUUUAUAAUAUAAAGAAUAAUUUUUUUAAAUCUUAUGAUACUUUUAAAUUCAAGUUUAAGAAUAAUCUAUCUUAUUUUGAAGGAUGAUUAUAUAUUUCAAAUAAUGAAGCACAAUUAUGUGUUCUUUAAGCUUUUCAUGACUUUCUAACAACAAAAAUUUUGGACACAAUAAGACUUUGGAGCUAAUAUUAAUAGAUUUUUGGUGGCUUCAAAUAUAGAAGGUAGUUAAAGAUUUUUUUUAUAAUCAUGUGAUAUUUUUUUAAGAUCAAAAAUUCCUUAUCAUCGAUCUUAUGGACUAUUUUAGCCACUACCUAUAUUGGAACAACCAUGGUCUUUCAUUUCUAUGGAUUUUAUUACAAAUCUUCUAGUCUAAAGUUUGUAUGAUUUUAUAUUUGUAAUAUUAGAUAAUUUUAUCAAGAUGGCACAUUUUGUAUUAUGUACAAAAUGUACUAUAGGUAAAGAAAUGGCUAAGCUUUUUUUUAAGAACAUCUAUGACUAUCAUGGAUUAUGUAAAGAUAUUAUCAGAUAGGAAGACUCAAUUUGUAUUAAGAUUUUAAAAAAUAUUUUUUAAGAUUUUAAUGAUGGAUUUAAAGCUCUUUUUUGUUUUUCAUUCUCAAAUUGAUGGACAAACAGAACAAAUGAAUGAAGUUCUAGAAUAGUAUUUAAAAGGUACCAUUAAUUAUCAUCAUAAUGAUUCGACAACUCUUUUUCCAUUGAUAGAGUUUGAAUACAAUAUUUUGGUAUAUUCUUCUAUCCAACAAAUAUUUUUUUGAAAAAAUUAUGGUUAUUAUCUAUGACUUAAUAUUUUUACUUUUUUAAAGUUGAUAAUUUUGUAGCAAAAGAUUUGACAAAUUGUUUAUCAAAUCUAUAUGCAAAAAUGAAAGAGUAGUUCAAGGAAGUUCUAUAACAACAAAAGAUUAAUACAAAUGCUUAUUGCAAGGAACAACCACAAUUCAACAUAGAUGAUAAGAUAUAGCUAUUUUGUUAUAAUAUUAAGAUUACUUGUCCUUGUAAUAAGUUGGACUAUUCUUGGCUUGAAUCUUUUUCCUAUUUAUGAAUGCACAUGAAAGCCAAUAAAGAAUCUUACAAAUGUAAUAAAAUAGGUUGAAGCUUUUCAUUGACAACAUCCAUAAAAAUUUAAAUAAAAAAUAAUAAUUUUUUAUUAUAAAAAGAAAUAAGAUCCAAGGAAGAUAGCAUUCUAUCUUCUAUUCUUAUUUAUAACUUUUACAUAUUUGUGAUGCUAAAGACAUAGAGAAUCAACAACCAACAGAUUUAAUUCAAGAACUAUUACUUGUUGAUUUAUCAAAUAAGACAUUGCAAUUGUCACAACCUUUAAGAUGACAUAUUCAAGAUGAAGAUCUUUAAGAAUGACAUGUCUUUCCACAAAUAGAUGGCAAGAUACAACUUGUUGAUAUCACAACCUUAGAAGAGAUUUUUAAUGUUUGGUGAUUUUAUUGGAAUUAGAAACAAUUCUUAAUAGUGUUUCAAAUAUUUUAUUUGAAAGGAGUUAAUAUGUAUAGGACAUUGCCACGUAGUUUCUAAUUAAGAGUAUAUAUGGAGACAAGAGUAAAGCUUUCUUUAUUCUUGUCAAUGCCUUUUUAGUCCUUAAUAUUUUUUCAAGACUUCCUAGUCUUCUUAUCUUUAAUAAUAGUUGUGAGUGUCAAUUUCACUUCUCAAUCCAAAUUAUAAGAUGGCCUCAAUUAAAAGUUGCUUGUAAUUGGUGGUGUAAAGUGAAGUAUGUAAUUGGAAAAAAACCAAAGAAGAACAACCACUAUACAAGUAGAAGAAAUGAAAUCAAGUAAUUAGAACAUGUAAAACUAAAUUAGAGUCUGUUCACUAUCUUUUCAUCUAGUAAAAAAUAAAAGUGAAAAGUAAAAAGUAUAUUUUUAUAUAGGAAAUUUUAUUAUCUUUCCAAUGACAUAAGAACCAUGUAAAUCUAAAUUAUUAUGUUAGGAAGUUUAUGAAGUUUUAAAGAUAGGAAGUAAAUAAUUAAAAAGUGAAGUAAAUAUAUUUUAUUGCAUGGAUAACUUGCUUAUUGAUCAAGAGUUCAAGCCUCACCAAGGCUCACAUGUAGUGUAUAAGGGUAUUUAGAGACUCUAUGAGGCCUUAGUCCUAUCUUCCUAUCUAUAUCCAAGGUGCUACAAUCCAUAUAGGACUUGUACACCUCCUUUCCUACAACGGCUAGACUAGUUGUUGGUCCUCCUAUUUUUUACAAGUAAAACUCAUUUUUUUAUAUUUUUGACUUUUUCAUGGUGUUUAAAAAAAUCCUAUUAGCCUGAGAACCUUGAGUGUCCAAUUCUUACUCCAUUUCUUCAUAAUGGCUCUCUAAGUGGUAAAAUACAUUUUUACCAAAGUCUUAGAAAUUACUCUAAAAAUUCCUAAAUAAUUCUAAAUAAAUUCUAAAUAAAUUCUAAAAAUUCCUAUAAUGGUUCUAUAAUACUAUUAUCAGUUUAUGGCUAUAAUUUUCUAUCUUAAUGACUUUUAUAAUAAUAAAUUAAAUUUAAAUCUACUAUAAAUUUUACUUUCUAUAUAACUAACUAAAAAGACAUGAGGUUCUCUUUCAUGCUUCUUCUAAUUACUAACUAACAUUUAUAGUUUUUUUUUUUUAUAAUUAAUACAUAUAGAUAAAAGAUCAACAUAGAUAUUGAUCUUAAUAACUAAUGCUCACUACACAAUAAUAAGUAAAAAUCCUUAACCAACUAAAAAUAUUUACCUCGAAGACUUACUAAGAUUCCAUUUCUUCUCCAUUAAUACUAUUCUCUUUCAUUUAACAUCAUCUAAGCACAUCUUUACCUAUAAUGUCUUUCAUGAAUCAUAUGAACAAACUAUUUUGAGACCUUUUGGAUAAGUAUGUAAUUAUUUUCAUCAAUUAUAUCCUAGUCUAUAAUAAAAUCCUUAAAAAAAUAAGCAAUAUAUAAGGAAAGUAUUGCAUCAACUACGAGAUAGUCACUUCUAUUGCAAAAAAUCAAAGUAUGAAGUUUGGAAGCUGGAAGUCAUCUUUUUAGGACAUCUAGGGCAUAAGAAGUCUCUAAAAUAAAUCUCAAGGACAUAGUUUUGGAUAGAUAUGGAUUAUGAUAUUUGAGCUUUUGUGUGCUCUUGCAAGUCAUGUUAACAUAAAAAGUAUGCAAUGUAAUAUUUUCUAGGCUAUUGCAACCAAUUCCACUACCUACAACAUGUUGGAAGCAAGUGACCAUAGACCUCAUUACAUGUUUGCCACAAAUGCCUCAUAUUACACUGUGGUUGCUAUCUUUGUAGAUCAAAUUUUGAAACAACUUCAUUUAAUUGUGAUAUAAUUUGAUAUUGAUGCCCUAGCACUUGCAUGAAUCUUCUUUGAUACUAUCUUUCAUCACCAUGGAUUAUCUUAUGUCAUCAUUUUAGAUUGGAAUCUGUAUUUUAUGAAGAAUUUUUAGCAGGCCUUACUCAAGCCAUUGGAUAUACGACUUACUAUAUCUACAACUUUCUAUUCUCAAACAGAUAGACAAAUAGAGCAUAAAAAUUGGAUCUUAGAAGAUAUGCUAUAAGAAUUUGUGGUGAUUCACAAUAAUGAAUGGAAUGAAUAUUUGAUGCCUUUGGAGUUUAUUUACAAUGAUAAUAUUCAAGCAAGUACUGAUUAUUCACCAUCAUUUUUUAACCUCACUUAGCAUCCAAUUAUGCUAGCAAUUCUCUAUCAUAUCAUCAACACUAGCAAUCUUAUAAGGAGAGAGUUUAUAUAAUAGCUUAUAAUUGCCUUGCAAGAAGCACUAUAUUGGUUUUUUUAUUGCUUAGAAUCGAAAGAAACAAUAUGUAGAUAACCAUCAAUGUCAUAAUGUAAUACAAUUAUAUGGUGAAGAUAUAAUCAAAAAUAAAAAUUUAAUUAAUAUUUAAUUAUCUUAGUUCAAUAAUAAUUCAAGAUAUUUAAACAUGGCUUUUAUAAAAGUCUCUUAGUUUAUUUUUUUUUUCUUAAUAGUUAGUAGGUUAAAGGUUGGUUAGUAAUUUUACCUUCUAGGCUGUAGAGACUCUUUUAUUGCCUUAGAACGACCAUAAAUUGAUAAAAUCAAGUUAAAAGACAUAAAUAAUUAGCAUGAUUGUUACUAGGAUUAAAUUGAACAUAGGAUUGGACUAAAAAAUCUCUAUGAUAGAUUAGAUUGAUACUCAAGGGUCGACCAUUUGUUAGAUAGGGUGAUAAUCAGACCUCUAUCCACUAAAACGAUGACCUAGGGCUAAAUAGGGUUUUAUUUGAAGAUCAAAGAUUAGAGUUCAAGAGAUAGCUUAUAGCUUAUUUCAAAGACAUAAGGCUUUUUUUGUAGGAUUUAUUUAGACUUAGCAAUUGUUGUUCAAAUCAAGGAUUAUAUUGACAACAUGGAAUUUAUGCAAUACAAAUAGGGCUAGCAUUCUCAGCUAGUUCAUAAAUUUGAUGUCACAUCUAUAGUUCAAAAUUUGAAAGUGCUUGAUUAAGUAGGUGUGCUAAAUGUAUGUAAAAAUUUACAAAAAUCUAACAAUGGGUUUGAAAGAUAUUUGGAUUUUGAUACAAGAAGGUAUCAAAAAUUAGAAGUUUGAGGUUGGAUAGAAUUUUUAUGAUAUUUGAAGAUCUACUAAUUGGAUCAAAGUAAAAUUUUGCAUGAUAUUAGAAGACUUAAAGAUCAAGCUAUAUACCAAUCUUGAAUUGAAGUUAAUAGUUGGAGAAGGAAAAAUUAGUGUUAGAACAUUUGUAUCAACUUUCAAGUUGGCCGCCAAGUAACAUUAGUGUGGUUUUUAGAUAUUUUUUCACAAUUUAUAAGUUGGAUUGGAAUGAAUUCUUUUUGAGCACAUAGAAGACUUAAAGUGGCAUUUGUGUGCAAAAUUUUGCUCUAAGUGGACUAUUAGAUUAGAAGCUAUUGCUAAAGCUUAUUAAUUAGAGUUAAAGUUUGUAAAGAAAAUUUGAAAUUGCCUAAUUAUGAAAGUAACAAGGCAAUUGGAGUUUAUGUAUGGUUGAAAUUAUUAAAAAUAUUCUUUUUUAAUAAUUUGUAUUAGAUUUAAGCACUUUUAAAUUAAAAUUCGAAUUGCAUUCUUCUAAUAAAGAUGAAACAUAUUAAAAUUCUUAGAUACUUAUAAAAUAUAAUUCCAUCUUCUACAAUGAGAUGUCCAAUGCAUUUUCAAACAAGAUGACAUAUAAUACAAUACCAACAACAUAAGACCUUUUGGAAGGGUGACCAAAUAUUAUUCUCUAAUGUCAAUUUUUUACUUACUACAUCAAUCCAAGUCCAUAAGUUGACACUUUAGUGGCUUAGACCUUUCUACAUUUUUAUAGUGAUUUUUGAUAUUGCAUAUCAUCUCAAGCUUUUGCCAUAUAUUUAGGUCCAUCUAGUCUUUCAUAUUUUGUAGCGCAAGGAGUUUCAUACUCAAUCAAGGCACUUUUUAAACUAAUACUAACCACCACUACCACUAAUUUUAAUUAAUGACUAAUAAGAAUAUGAAAUAGAUAACAUUUUGGAGCAUUGCUAUGUUUGUUGUGGCAAUGGACAUUUGCAACUUUAAUACAAGGUUUUUUGAAAAGGCUACUCCAUCCAUGAUAUAAUGUGAAAACUUGUAUAGAACCUCAUUCAUUGUCAAGAAACAAUCUAGAGGUACCAUCAAAAGCAAAAAGAAGAUGUUCCGCAUUACUAAAGAAGGAUUAACUAUAAUGGGGCAUGGAUAAGAUAAUUAUAUUAUUAACAUGUAGAAAUAGGUAAUUAGGGCCAUUUUUUAGAAGUUUUUAGAAGUUUUUAGAAUUGGUGGCAAGUUGAUGGUUUAUGUGGGAUCUACCAUAGAACAUCCUAAAAGAACUAAAGGCAGUUACUGAAAUGGAGUCUACGAUAAAGAAUAUUUUAGAAAGUUCCAAGAUGGUUAGAAAAAAUAUAAAUAAGAUUGAUAAAGGCCAUUUAGUGCAUUCAAUGUGAUAUAACUUUGGUUCUUUUCUCUCAGUAAAGUUUGAUUUGUAUUUUCUAUUUUUAUUUAUUCUAUUUUCUUUUGUUUUCUUUUGUCUUUUAUGUUCUAUUUUGUUUAGUUGUAUUUAGUUUUGUUUUAUUCUAUUUUAUCCUACUUUGUAAUAGAAAUUAUGUUGCUAUAGACUAAAUGGAUUUUAGAUCUUUAAAAGAAUUUAGUGGAUGAUGACUGUAGUUUUAAUAGAAUGACAUUUACUAUAUAGAUACAUGGAUUGUAUUGUUAUAUGCAAACUUUGUCAACAACAAGUAAGAAGUUUAAUUGUCUUAUUGAUAGUUGAUGGUGCACCUCAAAAAUUGCUCAAGAAUUUGGUUGACCUGCUUUGUUUGGCCAUCAGUUUGAGGGUGGAAGGCAGAGAAAAGGUUGAUAUCAAUCUUAAGAAUCUUAAAGAAAGCCUUCCAAAACCUUGAUACAAAUUAUGGCCCACAAUCCAAUUUAAUAUCAUUUGGUAACCUAAGAUAAUGACAUACAUUAUUAAUAAAGAGUCUUGCCAUCUCUUCAUUAGUAAUUGACUUCUUGCAAGGUAUAAAAUGUGCCAACUUGAUCAAUUGAUCAACAACUACAAAGAUAGUGCCAAAUGAGCUUGAUGGUAGAAGAUAUAUAAUGAAAUCCAUAGAAAUAAAUGACCAUAGUUGUCUUGAAAUAGGAAGGGAUUGAAGAAGUCCAUGUAGCCGAUGUCAAGGGUUCUUUGACCUUAAACAAGUAUCACAUGAUAGUAAAUUUUUUUUAACGUCCUUCCAUAUUUUAGGCUACCAAAAAUCUCUAGAUAGAAGUUCUAAGGUUAUAUUGAAUCUGAAAUGUCCGACUACAGGGAAGUCAUGGAGUAUUUGAAGAAUGUGCAUGCGAGUUGGCCUUCAAGAAUGAACAAACAUUCUUCAAAUAACAAGAGGUUGUCUUCAUACUUGAAUUUAAAAGACUCUUCAAGAAGGUUAUUAGUAAGACACUUGAUAUUAAGAACAAGAGGGUCCAUAUUUGAGGCUUUACUAACCUGAUUAAGAAAUGAUAAAUCCAUAGGCAUUGAUAUAUUGGUUGCUUGAAGAUAAAAUUACUCAGGCUUUAAUAACAUUGCCCGCUGUUGAUCAUAUGCUACCUCGCCUCCUUUUGGUUCAAGGUAGGAACAUCAUGAUAAUACAUCUGAUAAUCUUUCUUAGUUCCCGAGUUGAUAUGUGAUACAAAAGCCAAAUCAUAAUAAAGAUAUAUUUCAAUGUACUUGAUAAUGAUUUAAGACUCGGGCUGACAUGAAGUAUUCAAGAUUCUUAUGAUCUAUAUAUAUAGUCACUUGAUGAAAGGUCCCUUCAUAAAAGUGGCACUAUUCUUAAAAAGAAUCCACGAUAUCAAGGAAUUUUAUUAUUGUGGAUUUUGUAGUUAAUUUCUGAUAUUAAGAAUUCUUUAGAAUGGAAUGCAAUUAGAUGAAGUUUGUCACCUUCUCCAUAUUGUGACAAGAGUGCUGUCAAUACAAAGUUUGAAGUAUUGGUCUUUAUAAAAUAGAGCUUGUUGAAAUUUGAAUGUAUCAAAAUUUGAGGUGUUGUAAAAGCAUGUUUUAAGCUUUGAAAAGCUUUCUUUGCUUUAGAGCCCUAGUCCAACUUGUCCUUGCAUGUCAACCACAUAAAUGGAGCAGUGAUCUUAGAGUAAUUUCUAGCAAAAAUCUUAUAGAAGUUUAUAAAUACAAGAAAGUAUUGGACAUCACUUACAAUUUUUGGUUUUGCUCAAUCGAUGAUUGCUUGUACCUUCUUUAGAUCCAUAAAAAGGAUUUUCUUGGAAAUAAUAUAUCCAACAAAUUUGACUUGAGGUCCAUGAAAUAUACACUUCUUCAAUUUUAUAUAUAGCUCAACACUUUGUAGCUUUUUCAGUAUAAGGCGGACAUGUUUUUUGUGGUCUUCCAGAUUCUUGGAAAAGAUUACAAUAUCAUCCAAAUAGAUUACAACAAAGAUGUUGAUAUACUCGCAAAUUAUGUUAUUGAUUAAAUGUUGGAAUAUGGCUGAUGCACUGGUAAGUCCAAAAGGCAUGACAUUGUAUUCAAAAUGUCCAUACGUGGUGUAAAAUGCUGUCUUCUAUUCAUCUCUUUUUUUAAUGCAUAUGAAGUUAUAAGUGCCUCAUAGAUCAAUCUUUGUAAAUUUCUUUGCUUGGCUAAGUUGAUCAAGAAGUCUAGAUAUUAGUAGCAAUGGAUAUCAAUUUUUUACUAUAAUUUUAUUAAGAUUGUAAUAAUCGAUACACAUUCAUAAAGAUCCAUCUUUUUUCUUCAUAAAUAAUAUCAAAGCACGAGCUAGAAACUUGGAAUGUCAAGUAAAGUUUUUAAUUAGAUUUUUUUCAAUGUACUCUUUUAAAGUUGCAAGCUCAUUUUGGAAUAAAUUGUAGAUGGGUUUGAAUGAUGGUUGAGCACCUUCUUGAAGGUCAAUCGCAUAAUUGUAAAGGCGAUGCUUUGAUAGGAUAUGUACAUUUUUCUUUUCAAAUACAUGUGCAAAAUCCUUAUACACCUUUAGAAUUGUUGUUGUAGCAACCAUAGGUUCUGAUGGUGGAUUUGCAUAAACAGCAAAUGUAGUACCUUGUUUGGCCGCCCUCACAAAUAUUCUAGCUCUAAUAAAUAAAUAUUAUUUAAGUUUUGGCUUGUCGGGUGUUAGAAGCUUUUUUUUUAUAGAUUUGUGGGUUCUAUGAUCUAUUAGAAGAAAUUCUAACUUUUGGGAUACUCAAUCUAUCCGUAGAUUGUAUUUUUCAAGCCAUGAGAGUCCUAAAAUGACUAGACUUGAUGGUGACCUAAUUACGUUGAAUACUACUUAGUUGCUAUGAUUAUCAAAGAUUAUUUUUAAUCAAAUUGUUUUAUGAGUGAUAUUUUGAGAGAAUAAAGGUCAACCAUCUAUUACUUCUAUAUGCACGACUUUGGAUUUUUGACCAUAUAGAUUUUGUGUGAUCUAAAAAAUUCUUUGUCAAUAAAACAUGCAAAGGCUCUCAACUCAAGUAAUGCAUGACAUUCUAGUUUUUGACUCCUAAUCAUAUAGGUAUAGUAAAACAAUGACAAGGGCUGGCAAAGAAUAUAAGACCUUUUUUGAUUUGUGAUAGUGAAGAAUGGAGCUACAUGAUCCUUACUAUGGUUGGACGUCCUUAUUUUCCUGCAAUGCUUUUGAUAAUGCAGUUGCACUCUUCAUUCGAUAUAUAUGCUAGUGUUUUUAUGUACAAUUAUUAAUCUUAUGGCCAAAUUUUCUACAAUAUAAGCAUAAGCCAAGUUCCUUUUGAUAUUUUUUUUCUUGCUCAAAAAGAGGUUUCAAGUGAACUACAUUAAUCUACAUAUCUUCUGCUUCUACAUGCUUAUUAGAAUUAGAUGGUGAAGAAGCUAUAGAAUAAUUGGUAUAUACAUGUGGCAUAAUUAAAGAAUAUUUAUUUUAUCAUUGUUGAAAUAAACGAUUAUUCCACUUUAUAGCUUGAUUAAUGGCUUCAUUGAGUGUUAGAAGAUCUGGCAUAAAUAACAAUAAGUCCUUGGCAUCAUCUCUUAAUCUCUAAUGAAAUUGGCUUAUCGUUACAUCUUCUCUCUAAUUUAUAUCAUAUGCUAAUUGUCAAAAAUGUGAUGCAUACGUUGAUGCAGAAUACGUUCUUUGUCAAAGGCUUCAAAUUUUAGUUAUUGAAGAAUGAAUCUUAUCAUGUUCACCAAAUGCUUUUGCAAAUGUUGCUAAAAAUGCUUCAAAAUUAUGCAAUAUAGGAGAAUUCUUUUCAGAUAAUGGAGUGAGCAACGAUAAAGCUUGACUUAAUAACAAAGUUCCAACCAAACCAACAAGAGAUACUUGAGUAGAAUAUUGUUGAGGUUGAAGCAAGGUGAUUAGUCGUACUUGGUUUACAAAGCCAUGAAAUUUUGAGCGGGUGCCAUUGAACUUUUUUGGAAGACUGAUCCUUAGUUCUUUUGCUAUUAUUGUUAUCAAAUCAUUACCUUGAGUGGAUAUGUGAGCAUAAUUAAAAGCUUCAAUGGUUAGUUACAGUUUUUUUUGUAAUUUUUAACAUAUUUUUAUUAAUUUUAAUGCUAAUAUAACUAAUCAAUAGAUCCAAAUUAGUUUUUUAGUUAAUUAUUACUUUGAUCAUAUCUUUAGAUUGUUAAUUAAAUAGAUAAUUUUAAUUAGUAGAUUGAUUGACUAUUUUAAAACUUAAAAAAAAAAUAGUAAAUUUAGAAGGUCUAUGAUUUUGUUUUCUUGAAUUACUUUAAAUCUUUUUUUUAGUAAUAAAAUUAUAAUUUUAGUAGAAUUUCUCUUUUAAUUCUUAGAAAUUAUAUCUUAAAUUAAUCCACAAUCUUGAUUUUCAAUCCAAAAGCUAAUUUCUAAUUUGACUAUGGUUAAAAAGUCCCUUAAACCUAAUUGCUUUAUCUUUUUAAUUAAUUUUAAAGAUUUUUAAGCUUAAAUUUUAUUUUAUAAUUUAAUUGGAUUAAAAAUAUAAAUUCUAAUUGUUAAAUUAAUGAUAAUCUUAAAAAGGUGGAGACAAGCUAAAUGUUUGGUGGAGUUUCCUCUCAUAGUGAUUUUAAUCACUACUUGAAGUUGAAAAAAAAGAAAAAUUGGAAAAAAUCACAAAUUCAAGGCCAAUUUGCAAUUAGGUUUUGGAUUUGUCAAGAGUUCAUGCUUAAGGGAGUUUAAAUUGAAGAAUGGUGACUAUGAAGGCUUUGAUGGCAAGAACCCUUGCUGAUUUCCAAAUAUGUUAAUUAGAAUUAGAACUGUAGUUAAAAUUUAUAACUAAAUUAGUAAAUUAAUUAAUUCUUAUGCUUUAGAACUUAGAUUUGGGCUUGUGAAUAGUUGAUCUUUAGAUAAAAAUAUGUUUUAGAGACAUUUGUGGUGUUAGUUUCACCAAAAAGAUGUUAGUUUUUGAGUUCUAGGCAUUUCUAGCAUUAAAAUCGGGUUUGGGCUAAGAGUUAUUGAGGACCCUUGAUCUUAGUUAGAGAUUUUCCAAUUUUGAUGGUGGAGAUGUGUCGGCCACUUUUGGACCUCCUUCCACCUGGUUAAGAGGGCUUAGGUGACUAAGCUCCCUUUCUCUCUCCAUCUUCUUGUGGCGAAGCCAUAGCAAAAUAUUCCCCCAUCUUGUGAAUACAAAUCUUCUUCUUUAAACUUAUAUGGCCUCAGUUUUAACUCGCUCAGUCUAUUUCUUUUUAUUUUCUACCUGUAAAACUUUGUGAACAGAUUCUACUCACCUUAAGCUUUGUAACGGCAUAACGCACGCCUGAUUUGAAGUUUUGAUGAAUUUUUGGCGAGUUUUCAAGAUGGCAGGGGUCUACUACCUUGGUAGUGUAGGAGCAUUAGUUUAAAAAAUCUAUAACUCGGUGACCUGUGACUCAACUUUGAUAUGGAUUAUUGAAAUGAAUGCACUCUAAAGCUUAGUUUAUUAAAAAAAUUAAAUCACUGAUUCUUGAUCUAUAUCAAAUUUUUAAUGAAUUUUUAAAUAUGAAGUGAUCUACUACCUUGGCAGUCUUGAACAACCAGUUUUGAAAAAUUGUAUCUUAGUACUUACUUAAAUUUUUUUGGCUAGGAUUUGUUGAACAAGUAACUCUACUACGUGUGGUUUUAGGAAAAAUUAUACUUGUCAAUUUUAAACUAUUAAUUUAUUUUUAGUGAAUUUUUAAGUAGAAGAGGGUCUGCUGCCUAGGCAGUUCAAGUAGCCUUGCUUCGAAAACACACAUCUCGAAUGUUAAACCUUGGAUCACCAUGAAAUUUGGUAGAUAGGAGCAACUCUAUGUCAACCUCAACCACAAAAAGUUUCAAGUACAUAGGAGCUGUGUAUAAUUGCUAGAAAUUUUUUGAAUGACAAGGGAUCUGCUGCCCUCAACUUGACAUACUCUAAGUAAGUUUUUCUUCCCUAAUCACCGUCUAAUCACAUCCCUUAGCACCUAAAUUGCUAUAUUAUCAUUCCUUUGUCUUAUUACCAUCAAUUAAUAUUAUUUAAUAAUUUCAAAGGACUUUUAUUUCACUUGGAAAUUAAUCUUAAAUUCUUAUCUUUCCAUCCAUUUUUAUCCUUAAGGAUAAUAUAAAAAUAAAUAAAUAAAUAAAUAAAAAUUAAUCUAAUCUUUUAAUUUUUUCUUUUUUUUUUAACUUUAAUCUUUUAACUUUAAAUUUUAACCUUCAACUUUAAACUUUUACUUUUAUUACUUUUAAACUUUCACUUAAAUUUUAAUUAUUAAUUCUAACUUAAAUUUUAAUUUAUUUUUUUUAUUUUAUUUUAUUUAUUUUGAUUUUUUAAUUUUCCAACUUUCAUCUUUUAUCUUAAAAAAGGAAAAUCUUAAAAUCAUGUUAGUGCUGAACUUAAAUAUUCAAGGCUGUUUAUUACUGAAUUUCUAAUUCUAGAUGAAGUUUUGUCAUAAAAACUUCAUCUGUAGAUAACUUCCUAUAUAGAACUCCGAUUUACAUGAUUGAUACUACCUUGGAAAGCCUUAAACUAGCACUUUGGCAUGAUAUUCAUUAUUUUUAUUUUAUUUUAUUUCAAUUCAUAAUUUUCAGAAUUUAAGUUUGAUAGAAUAAGUCUUGGAAGGCACUUAACUAAAUGAACUAUAAAUGCUAAAAAUUAAAUCAUAAAAAAGUGUAACUAACUUUUUGUAUUGUUGGAUUAAUCUUGAUUAUUACCUCAUUUUGGUUUUUCUAUCUUAUAGAUGAUUUGCAUUUCCACAUUAAUUAGUAUUGGGCUCUGAUGUAAGUUAUGAUCUAAUUAAAUCAAAUUUAAGUGAGAGGAGAAAAAUCCACUUACAGAAUAUACCUCCUAUAUUUGAAGUACUCAUAGUUGUUUGAGGAUUUGGAACCUCUAUUGCGAUUUGAUGAUGUAGUUGAGGUGCUUCGGCUCCUUGACCAUUAUGUAUGGUUAUAUAUAAUUUUCUAUUCUAUUUUGAAAAAGUCUUUGUUUUGAUACUCAAUGCUUCAAGAGCAUUAAUAAUAGAAUCUAACUUGAUUUCUUUAGGGUCUGUCAUAUUCACUUUUCUACCUUUUGCCAUAGAAAACACAUGCCUUCAAAGGAAAAAAAAUAUGAUCUAUAGAAUUAAAAAAAAAAAAAAUAUUAAAAAAAUAAUAAUAUUAGUCUAAGAGAAGAUAAUCUGUAACCUCUAGAAUACUAUAGUAUUUUUAAAAAGAGGGAUAAUCCAUUCUCUACCAAAAAAGACCAAGCUUCUAAUAUUACUUUAUUGCAGUCUCGACAAACUAUUAAAAACCAUAUAAAAGACAAGGAUUUCAGAUCAAGAAAUGGAGUUAGUUUGACAUUAUAACAAGAAUUGGAUACAAAGCAAGAAGAUCUUAGCUAAACCAUAAGAAGUGAGUUGUUAAAACUGAGGAUCUCUUCAGCUUCGACUCAUAUAUAUACUAGGUCCUAGGAAGCUUCUUAAGAAGUUUCUAUGAAGCUUGGAAACAAAACAAGCCUAAGAUCCUUCUUUGGCAACUUCUUAAAUCAUCGAAAGCCUCCUAUAACCUUUUAGGAAUUCCUAUGACCUUCUAGAACUUUCUUAGAAUCUAUUGGAAAUUUUUAGAACCUUCUUAGAAUCCAUUAGAAUCUUUUAGAAUCCUCUAGAAUCUUCUAAAAUCUCCUAGAACUUUUUGGAGCCUUCUUAGAUUUUAUAAGAAUCUUUUAGAACCUUUUAGAACCUUCUAAAACCUUCUAGAAACUUCUUCAGUGAUAUUUCCAUGAGAGAGAUAGUACCCCAUUGAGAGUUGUGGAUGAUUUGGAGACCAAACAUAAGGUAUUAGGUGAGUUUCAUGAUACAAUGUAGGCUGGGCAUAGAAGAAUUUGGGCUACCUACACCAAAAUCAAGGAACGUUAUUGAUAGAAGGACUUAUACAAGGAUAUAGAGGAGUUUUUAAGCUCUUAUAAAGAGUGCCAAUUGCAAUGUAAGGUAAAGUAUAGAGAUGGUUUAUGGCUUAUCUAUCUACUUGCCAUGUAUUUUUAAUCAAUGAUUGAUUUGGUUUUCAUGCCAAUGGGACUUUGGAAUAUGAAGUAUUUAAUUUUGGCAAGAAAAAAACUCUCCAAUUAUGUAAAAAGAAGGUAUUGAGAUCAAAGUCUACAGAGGUAGUAUAUUGAUUUAUUUUGGAAGAUAUUAUAUAUCAUUAUAGGAGUAUUGUGAAAAUAAAAGUAGAUCAGAGUGAGCUUAACAUGCGAGAGACACGUGAUUUUUUCAAAAGGUAUAAAAUGCAAUUAAAAUAGAACAACUCCUACAACUCCAAAGCUAAUGGUAAGAAUAAAAGAGGAUACAAUGCAAUCAUUCAAGCUUUGGUCAAAUCAUGUAGGAAUCAAGCAAGGUUAUAGCCAAGGCUUUUGUUAUUUGCUUUAUGGGCAAAUAGGACUACUCAUAGCAUAGUCACUAGCUAUAUGCUAAUGGAGUUGAUGUUGGGACAAAAGUCUUUAAUAUUUGUAGAGAAGUCUAUUCUUUCUUGGUUGUUUUUGUCUAAAGAAGAUGGCAUUAACAAGGAAAAAUUGUUGGAACUUUAAAUUCACUAACUAGAAAGAUUGUCAAAGGAUUAUUAAGUUGCUAUGAAGAAGCUUAAGAUGACAAGGUUACAUAACAAAAAGAGGUUUGUUAAAAUUUAUUAAUUGAGUCCUAAGCCAAUUAAAGUAAGUAAUUAGAUUUUGAUUUAUAAUAGUAGUUUGAUGUACCAACAUUCUACUCUUUGUAAAUUUACACGAUAUUGGUUUAGAUCCUAUGUAGUACUUGAAGUAUAUAAUAAUGUAACUUAUUCUCUUCAAGAAUUAGAUAGAAUACCAUUGAAGAUUAGAAUUACAAGAAAGCAAAUUAAAGUCUUUAAGCAAUGAAAUAAAAUGAAUUAUAUAGAGGAUUUAGAGGCUGUUGAGCUUCAACAUUUUAAUCAAUGAUUCAAAAAAGAUACAACUCAAAAUGACUUUGAUUUUGAUAAUGGUGGUUUUGUGGUUUAAUACUUUGACACAUAUCAAAGUAUGUACAAAUUUAGAAGAGAUGAGUGUUGUGAUGUAUUUAAUUUAAACAUAUCAAAGUUAUUUUGAAAGAAAGUAGAUCUAAUUGUGAACUUUUCAAUAAGAUAUAGCAUGUUAAAAAUAGAGAUGUGAAGAGGGAGAUUUAAGCAAAUUUGUGAAAAGGAGAUUAUUAGAGAUUUUGGGAAGAAAGAUUCAACAUUGAUUUGGAUUUUUCUAUGCCACUUCUUGUAUUUUUAUUUUUUUGCAUUUAUAUUUGGAAAAAAACUAGAUCUAAUUGUGAGCUUUUCAAUAAGCUAUAGUACAUAAAAAUAGAGCUUUGAUAAAGGAAAUCUAAACAAAUUUAUAGGAAGAGGUUGUUAGAAUUUUUGGACAAUAAAUUUCAAGAUUGGAUUUAAGUUUUCUAUACCAUUUAGUAAAUUAUAGAUAUUUUAGUGAAUAGAGGUUUGAAUUUGAGAUUAGAUUUAGGAAUUGGAUGCAUCCUAGUACAAGAAAGAAAUUAAUAUAUAAAUUAUAUCUAAUCUUUGAGCUAUCUUUUAUAUUUGAUUUUGUUUGGGACAACAGUGUGCCUUCUUAUAAGCUACUUGUGAUCAAAGACCUUGUGUUUUCUUGAGGAGGCUUGCCUUCUUGAAAAUGCAUUAAUUUUUUUUUUCAUUCUUGAGCUUCUUUUAGUUAUGCCUUUAUUAUUGUAUAUAGCUUUAAAAAAUAUUUUUUUAAAUCUUUAAUUAAAGAAUUGUCAACUUUUAAAAAAUAAAAAAAUAUCAAGUCAUAGAUGAUAAUCAUAAUUGGUAAAAAAAGUAUUUAUUGAGUAGAAGAAUGUAUCAUGUUAUUGUAAAAUAAAUUUACAAAUGAUAAAAGAGUUAUCUAAUCAACUUAUUGGUAAUUGAUGAUAUACCUCAAAUUCUAUUCAAAAACUUGAUUCACUUGUUAUAUUUGGCCAUUAGCUUGAAGUUCAAAAGCCAAAGAUAGUUUUAAAUCAAUCUUUAGAAUCUCAAAAAGAAUUUUCUAAAAUCUUAAUUCUUUUAUUUAAUAUUCUUUAAUAAUCCAUAAUAAUAAUAGAUAUUGUCAAAGAAAUAUUUAGUUUUUUCUUUACUUAUAAUAGAUUUUAUACAUGAUAUAAAAUAUACUAUCUUGAUAAAUUGAUCUAUUAUUACAAAUAUAAAAUAAAAAGAAUCUAAGAUUGAAAUAUUUAUUAUAAAUUCUAUAGAAACAAAAGACCAUAGUUAUUUUGGAAUAGGUAAUGGUUGAAAAAGUCUAUAGGAUUGAUGAUAAGGAGUUUUUGAUCUUGAAUAAAUGUUACAUUUUUGUACAAAGACUUUAAUUUCUUUUUACAUUUGAGGCCACUAGAAAUCUCUAGAUAUUAGCUCUAAAGUUUUGUUGUAUCCGAGAUGUUUAAUUGUUGGAAAGUUUUGAUGAAUUUGAAGGACCAAUAAUCAUGAUUUACCUUUUAAAAUAUAUAAUUAUCUAUCAAAAUAAAAUAGAUUAUUUUUGAAUGAAAAUUUAAAAGUAUCUUGAGACUAAGAAGAACCAUUCCUAAUAUCAUGAAUAAGAAGAUCAAUGGAUAUAUUCGAUUGAACUUUCUUGACAAUAAUUAAAUCAAUAAUUAAUAUAAAUUUCAUUUCUCAAAGAUGGAAAUGCUCUAGCUAUAAGAAAAUCAUUUUUUAUUGAUUAUAAGAUGCAUUUCUUUCUUUUGGUGCAAGAUAAUAACAUUUAGAAAGAAAUUUUGAUAAACCUUCUUAUUUUUUGGAUGAUAAGUGAUCUUUAAAUCAAAUCUUGAUAAAAAUAUGCUUUAACAGGCUUAAAAAUGAUUUAGAAUACAUACCAAUAUAAAGUAUUCGAGGUUCUUAUGAUCCAUAUAUAUAGUUAUUAGAUUGAAAGUGCCUAUUGUGAAUGUAGAAAAUAUUUUUUUGGCUUGAUUUGUACCUCUCCAACCAAAUCUUUGUUCUUGGCAUCUUUUAAAGAAUUGAUUAUUAUAUGUAAUGGCUUAAGUAAUAAAUUGCUUUAAUAAGCUUACUCUUAGCAUUAUCAAUAAUAAACCUUUAACGCUAUCUUUUAAACCAUAUCAAAAUUGAUUAAUAAGGUUUAUCAUUCCAAUCUAUAUCACAAGUAAAAUUUUAGAAUUCUAUAGCAUAUAUGGUAGUUGAAUAUGAUUCUUAUUAUAAAGUUAAAAAUUUGAUCUAUGCCAUCUUUUUUCAAUUAUUUUCUCAAAUUGUGGCUAUAAAAACUUCUAAAAAUGAAUUCAAAUCAUAAAAAAGAUACAAAUAUUUUUCUAUUAAAGAUAAAAAUUAAAAAAAAUUACUUCCAAAAAAAAGUGCAUUUAUAAAUCCAACUUGAGUAAAUCUAUUAAUGUAUUUAAAAUGAUGCAACUUUAAAUAGAACUUUAUUUAUUCUAAAAAUCUUUAAAAUUUUUAUCUUAUUCCAUCAAAAUUCUUGAGCAUAUUUAUCUUUAUUUCUUUCUUACUUGGAGUAGUAAUACUUCUUAGAUUUAGUUUUAAACUUGAUCUACAUACUUCUUUCAAUUACAAAACUUCUUCAUGUAGAUUUUAAACUUUGUUAUUGAUUUCUUCGAUAAGCAUGAAAAUACUACCUUCAUACUUAAUAUUAGAGAUACAUGAAAUUUCUACCCUCAAAGUGUUAAUAAGCUUGUAAAGAUUUGAAAUGGUUGCAGAUCUAUUUUUACUUAUGCCAAGAGUUGCAUCUAUAAUUUAUUUUUUGUAAAUAAUUAAAAUUUAAAAAAAAAUCAAACUAAAAGAAGAUAAUCCAUAAUCUCUAAUAUCAAAUAGAAGUUUUGACAAAGAAAGAUAGUCUAUUCUUAUUUUAAAAUAAAAUCAAUAUUAAAAAAUUAAAAGUAAAUGUAAAGAUGAAUAAACUAGAAUGUUCAAAAAGAAAUAAUAGAAGUGAAAUAAUUUACUUACUUCAAACACAAUAUAAAGACAACAAGUUAGCACUCUCAUCAAAUUGUUAAAGAUAUGAAUCUUAAAUAAAAAAAAAUAUCAAUACAUUCAUAUGUCACUUGAAGAGACUAGAAAAUCAUUCUAAGAUAGUAAUAUAUUAAACUAGAAUGACUAUUACCAAAGACAAGAAGAGUAGAAAGUCUUGAAAUAAAACUAAAGAUUAGAUAGGUGUUGAGAAGAAUGAAGAAGGCUUCAUUCUUGCUUCUAUAUAUGUUAUCCAACUAUGAGAUAUAUGACAAUGUUUUUUUUAUAGACAUCUAAUAAGAAGAUUUUAGAAAUAUUUUUAAAAUAUUUUAUUAGAUUUUAAAAGAUUUUAUUAGAUUUUAAAAUAUUUUAAAAUAUUAUUAAAAUAUUUUAAUAAGAUGAUUUGAAAAAAUUAAAAUAUUCUAAUAAAAUAUUUUUAAAAAUAUUAAAAUAUUUUAAAAUAUUUUAGAAGGUUCUUAAAAUAUUUUAAUAAAAUUUUAUAAUUUUUUUGGAGAGUUAAAAAAAUUGUCUAAGAAGCUUUUUGGUAUUGAUUCAUCUUCAAACAAUACAAUAACUUCUUGAGAAGCUACUUAAGGUUGCUUCAUUUUCAAGCAAUAUAAAAGCUUCAUAAGAAGCUUUUUAAGGUUGCUUUAUCUUCAAGCAAAAUGAAUUUUUUUUAAAAAGCUUCCUAAGAUUGCUUCAUCUUCAAGGAACAUAAAAACUUCACAAAAAACUUUCUAAGAUUUCUUUGUUUUUAAGCAACAUGGUAAUUUUUUGAAAAGCUUCCUAAUAUCAAGUAUAUAUUAGAGUCAAGGCUCAAGAGAUACUUAGUUUAAACAACACAUCUUUUAAAGCUUUAAUUUACUUCUCUUUGUGUUGAUUUAUACUGAUUUGGUUGUUAAAGACAAGAAUUUGAUGAAAGAAAUAAACAAGUGAGACUCUCUUAUAGAAAUAUGACAAAAUAGAAAUAAAACAUAUAUAUAUUUAAGAAAGAAAUUGGAAUGGCUAUUAUCAAAAGACCAAAAAACUAGAGACUCUUGAAACUAGACUAGAAGCAAGAAAGGAAUUGACAAGAGUGAAGAAGGCUUUAUUUUUGCUUCUAUAUAUACUAUUUACUUUGGAUCUAUAUGGCAACAUUCUAUAGGAUCUCCAAAAAUGUGUUGACUUUGCAUGACAUAUAUCUUAAUUUACAAGAUAAGUUUUUUAAAUGGACACCUCAUAGUUAGCUUUUUCUACAAACUACUAACACAUGUGGCACGUGGUUAGCUUGUUGAUCAAAUUUUUAACCUAUCAUUCAACUAAAAAUACAUAUAAAGUCAAAAAAAUAUUUAAAAAGCUUUUAAAAAGCUUUUUUAGAAGAUGUUAUGAAAUUAAUCUAUUUUUACUUACUUCUACCUAUUCAUAUUACUUAGAUAACAAGUAUAAUAGAUAUAUAUCCAUAAUAUUAUCUCCCCUUUUAGAGACGAGUUCUACAAAGAGCCGUGAUCACAUAUUGAAGAAGUCUAAACUAUAAUAAAUUAUAUUUGCUAUGUACUUUGAUCUUUGUUUCUUUUGAUAAUAGUUGAUAAGUCCUUUCAGCCAUUGGUAAUGUCCUAUUCUAGGAUGCAAAGAUCACUCUAUUAUUUGAUCAUUGUUGAAACUUUUAUAAUUUUUUUCAAAAAAAACAUUUGUAACACCAUCAAGAGUCCUUUCUACCUCCAAUAAAAUCACCAAGUAUUGUGAGUCUCUUCCUAGAUCGUGAUUAAAUGCAUUGUAUCUAUCAAGGACAUAAAACUUGAAAAAAAAAAAUCUUCAAUACAUUCUUGUGUCACUGAAGGAAACUAAAAAGUCAUUCAAAGAUGAUAUAAUAUUAAACUAGAAUAGCUAUUUCUAAAAAAAAAAAUAUUAGAAAGUCUUGAAGCAAGACUAAGGAUUAGAAAGACAUUGACAAGUUCCACAAGGAGCGGUCUUUAUAUGUUGAAAAAAUCUAAGAUGUGACAAAUUAUAUUUGUUACAUACUCUGAUCUUUAUUUUAUUUGAAGAUGGUUGAUAGGUCUUCUUAGUCAUUGAUAGUAUCUUAUACCAGGAUGAGAAGACUACCUUGUGAUUUGGUUUUUUUUUAGGACUUUAAAACUUCUUUCAAAUAAAAUUUAUGAAAUACUGUUAAGAGCUGUUUCUACCUCUAAUAAAAUCACAAAACAUCAAGAGCUUCUUCAAAGGUUGUAAUACCAAGCAUGUUAUAUCUUACCAUCUAUAGGAUAGAGGACAUAUCGUUCUUGAAGAUCUUCACUUUGAUUUUGUCAUCUUAGAGGUUGUGACAAUUGUAAUAUCUCAUUUGAUAGGUCUGCAAAUAAAAGCUCUUGAAUUGAAUCUACUAGUUGUUGGUUCUCCAUCUUUUUAGCAUCACAAAUACACAAGCCAUAAAAAAAAUAGAAGAUAGAUUAUUAUCUUUUUUUUGAUCUUGUUUCUUUUAUAAAAAAUAUUUGUAAUUUCUCAUCUUGAUUUUGAUGGAUAUCACCGAUGGAAAGCUUCAACUCUUUUUGUUACAUUUGCGAGAUUUUUUACUCUCAUGUAUAUUUAUUAAUAUCAUAUCCACAUCAAUUAACAAAAUAUUCCAAUCUAUUUUAGCAUCACCUUAAAUCUGAGGCUUCUUCUACCUCAAAUUCUUGAUUAUUAUCCAUUUCUAUAGGAGGAAGUGGCAUUUGUCUUCUUCCCAAAAUAUUCACUUUUUUAUAUGACUUAAGAAGAAACAUGUGAAAUAUGAAUUAGAUCUUUAUAGACUUUGGUAGAUAUAAUCAAUAAGCAAUAAGAUUGAUUUUUUUUAUUAAUAAAAAAAGGUCCAAGCCUACGAUAGUCCAAUUUGUCUUAAAGACAAGUAGUCUUGAUAUUGUAAUGAAGUAACAAUACUUUAUCAUCCUUAUUGAAUUGUAGUUGUUUCUUGUAAUAGGAAUUAGUUUUUUAUCAUUCUUGAGCUUUCAAUAAUUGCACCUUUAUUUUUAUAUGUAGCUUUGACAAACGAUUUGCCAAAUCUUCUACCAAAGAAUUAUGAACUUUUAAAAAGUCAAAAGUACCAAGUCAUAGAUGAUAACUAUAGUUGAUAAAAAAAAGUGUUUGUUGAGUAGAAGAAUGUAUCAAAUUAUUGUAUCCAAACUCUGCCAAUGGUAAAAAAGUUGUUCAAUCAUCUUAAUGAUAGUUGAUGGUACACCUCAUGUAUUACUUCAGAACUUAAUUCACCUAUUCUAUUUGCUUAUCAAUUUGAAGAUGAAAAGUCAAAAAAAGCUUUACAUCUAUCUUUAAAUCUUGAAAAGGAUUUUUUAAAAUCUUAAUAUAAAUUGAGUUCUUCUAUCCAAUAUCCUUGAUAAUAAUAGAUAUUAUUAAGAAAAAACUUAGCCAUUUCUUUACUUAUGAUAGAUUUUGUAUAUGAUACAAAAUAUGCCAUCUUAAUAUAAUAAUCUACUACCAUGAAUAUAGAAUCAUAUGAACUUGAGACUAAAUGAUUUGUGAUAAAAUCCAUAGAAACAAAAGAUCACAAUUGUUCUAAAAUAGGUAAAGGCUGAAGAAGUCCAUGAAGUCAAUCGCAAGGAGUUUUGGAUUUUGAACAAAUAUCAUAUGAUUGUAUAAAUUCUUUGACUACCUUCCAUAUUUUAGGUGAUCAAAAAUCCCUUAUAUUAGUUAUAGAGUCUUGUAGCUAAAAUAUCUAGCUCUUGAAAAGUUAUGAUGAGUUUGAAGAAUAUGUAAUCAUGUUCCACCUUCUAGAAUGUAUAAUAGUCCCUUAAAAUAGAGUAGAUUGUUCUUAAAUUCAAACUUAGAAGUAUCAUAAAACUUAAAAGAAUUAUUCUUAAUAUCAUAGAUAAAAAGAUCAGAAGUUAUAUUUAAUUGAAUUUGCUUAAUAAACAUUGAAUCAAUAGUUAAUAUUGAUUUUGUUGCUAAAUGGUGAAAAAUAUUUUAGCUUUAAGAGAAUUGUUCUUUAUUGAUCAAAAGAUAUAUUUCUUUCUUUUGAUAUAAGAUAAGAACAUCUAAAAAUAAUGUUGUUGUAUUGUAAAUACUUAUAGUAUAUAAAAAUUAGUUAUAACAUAUUAUAUGUUGAUAAAUCUAGAUGUAUGUAAGAGUGGUUAGUAGAUUAAAUUAAAAAGAGUUGAUAUAAAAAACUUUACUUUGUUUCUUUUACUUGUUUUGGUUUUGGCAUAUAUAUAUAUAUAUUGUACCUAAAUAUUUAAUAUGAAGCCUUUAAAGAAGGUGGAAGCUUAAGAAAAAAAAUCCAAAUUAGUGGGAGACUAAUUGAAAGGGAUGAAAGCAAGGCAUGGUUGGAUGAAGGCAAGGAAUAGGAAACUUCAUCUCUAUUGGUCGAAUAUCAUGCCCAAUGGACUUUGAAGAGGCUGCCUAUGACCUUAACAAGAGUUCCGGCAACUUCAAAGGAGGCAUUUCGAAAUUAAAAGCCAAGAUUGUAAGAUUUAGAAUUUGGACUACAAUUCGUGUAUAAAAAUUAGGAGAUUUGGAGUUAGAAUGAAGAAGUUAUAGUCAUUUGAAGUUGAGGUAUUAAUUUAAGACAUAUUUUUAUUCUUUUGUAAAUAUGAGGAGUUGUACGGCAUUUUUUGAAGAUUGAAAGAUGCGACUAAAAUGGCGAUUUUAAGGCCUACAUCUUUUACAAAAGAAUUGAUGCUUUUGGAGUUUAUAUAAAGGAGAUAUAAAGAGUUAAAGGCAAUGCUUCCAAAUCAAAGGCAGUAAGAGAGCGGUUUUAUUUAAAGUAAUGGUUGGACCCAUAAAUUGAUUUUUUGAACAAAUUUUUAACUCAAAAUUUUUGGAAAAUGAAAAAUUUUAUAUUAUAAAGCUAUACAUAUAAAUUUCGUGGAAUUUGAGCUUUUAUUUUUUAAGAUAUAAAGAAAAUUGCAUGUCAGGAUAUAAAGACAAGGGUUUGAAGUGAUUUUUAGGGUUUUCAAGAUAUCUCAAGUUUUGCAACAAAUUUGUAGUUGAAAUUUGUUGUAAGAGUUGAUAAGAAUACAUCAGUACUUCAUAUAAAAUUUGAAUAAGUUUGGAUGAUCGAAUCAAAAGAAAUGAGGUAUUGAAGUUUGAGAAAAUGUUUACAUAAGGAUAUACAAGGUUUUAGAGGAUUUUAUCAUAUUUUGGGUGUUUUCGGUUACUUGAGGCUUAUGUAUUUGGUAUAAUUGCUCCAAAAAGAAAAUUUUAUAUAUAAACUUAGGGCUUUUCUUAUUUUGAAGCUUGAUUGAGCAAUUAGUAAUAGCCAAGAGCCCAAUGCUUUUUUUAAGCAAACUCUCUCUACCCUAAUAGCAUCUAAGAAACCUUAUUGUUUUUUGAAUCAAUAAAUUAUUUUAAAAUCAAAUCUUGUUAAAGUCAUGCUCCAACAAGCUUGGCAAUGAUUUAAAAUAUGUAUUCACAUAAAAUACUUGAGGUUUUUGUGAUUAGUAUACUUAGUGAUUAGACUUAAGGUGUCUUCUAAAUAAUGAUGCCUUUCAUUUAAUAGAUCUACAAUUAUAAAGAGUUCUUUGUCAUAGAUCUCAUAAUUAAUCUUUAUUAAUAAAGAGAUUCAAAAAUAGAAAGCUAUUGGAUAGAAUUUAUCAUUUAUUCCUAUACUGAUCGAAUGCAAAGUUUGAUCCAUCUAUUUCUAUAAAAAAUACCUUAGAAAAGUCAAUACAAUAUAAGAUGGGUGCAAAAAUAAAUUCUAUUUUUAAAGUAUCAAAUGAUGCUUCAACUUCUUUAUUUUGCUUAAUUUUGUCUUUAUAAGUCAAACUUGUAAGUGGAGCUAUAAUUUGAUAAAAAUUCUUAAUAAAGAUCUGAUAGAAAUUAGCAAAGUCCAAAAAGUAUUACACAUUCUUUAUUAUUUUUGAAAUCUUCCAAUCCAUGAUAGUCUAAAUCUUCUUUGGAUCCAUCAUUAGCUCUUCAUUGGAAAUAAUAUAUCAUGGAAGUCAACUUGAAUAGUAUAGAAUACAUACUUUUUUAACUUAUGAUAUAAUCUUAUAUCUCUAAGUUUUUGUAACACACAACAAAUAUGAACUUCAUGCUUUUUUGUAUUCUUAGAGUAGAUUAAGAUGUCUAAAUAACAAAUAACAAAAUUAUCAAGAAACUUGAAAAAGACAUCAUUCAUUAGAUGCUAAAAAGUAGCUAGUACAUUCAUAAGUCUAAAAGACAUGACAUUAUAUUCAAAAUACCCAUACCUAGUUUAAAAUAUAAUUUUUUAUUUAUCUCCUUCUUUAAUAUGUAUCAAAUUAUAUGUUCUUUGUAGAUCUAUUUUUAUAUAGAUCUUUACUUUAUUUAACUAAUAAAAAAUUCUUAAAAUAAAAGAUAGAAGAUACCUAUUCUUAAUAGAAAUCUUGUUGAGUCCUCAAUAGUUUAUACACAUCCGCAAGGAUUUUUUUUUUUUUCUUUGCAAGUAAGCUAGGAGCCUUGGUUAGAGAUUUAGAAUAAUAUAUGAAAUUUUUAGCCAAGUUCUCAUAAAUAUACUCCUUCAGUGCAAGUAAUUCAUUUUGUGAUAGGCUAUAGAUUGGUUCAAAUGGUGGUUGAGCUCUUUUAUGAAGAUUGAUGGAACAAUCAUAAAGACAAUGCUCUAAAAGAAUAUCUACAUUCUUCUUUUAAAAAAUAUCCUAAAAAUCUUGAUAUUAGCUAGAAAUACUACUUGACAACUUCUUGCCAUCAAAAAUGGGCGUGACAUAUAAAACAAAAGAUAAUUCUUUUUUUACAACAUACAUAAAAGCUCUUGCACAUAUCAGUAAAAAUUUGGAUAUAUUAGACUUAUAUAUUUUUAUUUUGCUAGUAAGAUUUUGGAUUAAACUAUAAGAAAAAUUAAGGUUAUGAGAAAUCCAAUCUAUUUAAGAAUUAUAUUUUUUUAAUUAAAAUAAUUCUAAAAUAACCAGAUUUGAUGAAGAUCUCAUUAUGUUAAAUAUUACUAUGCUAUAAUGAACUUUAAUUGCUACAUCUAAAAGAACAGUCUCAUGCGUGAUAUCUUGAGAAGAUAGCAAUCGACUAUCUGUGACUUCUAAAUGUACAAGUUUAAUUUUUUUGACUAAUGAUAUCUCUUAUUUUUUGACAAAAUAUUCAUCUAUAAAAAAAAAUUAAGGCUCUUCAAUCUAACAAAGCUAAGACUUUGUGAUUUUUUUAUCCUAAAUAAACUUUUAUUAUAAAAUAAGAUAAGAGAUCUAAGGAGAGAAUAGAACCUUUAUUAGGAGUUAUAUAAGAUUCUAAUCGUAUGGUCCCUAUUGUAGUUGGAAAAAUUUGUUUUCCAAUACAUCAUCUUCUUUGGCAACCAUGCUUCUCAUUUUGUGGUUGUGUUGUUUCUUUAGACAAUCUUAAGCAGUGUGUUUAGCUUCUGUAUAAUAUAAGCAUAAGUCCUCUUAAUAUCAUCAAGUCUUUUUGUACUUUUUAAACAAUUUAAAGUAUAUCAUAUCAAUUUGCAUUGGUUCUAGCCUUAAUGAAUAAGUUUUUGAAAACUUGAAUUAUUGUCACUAUUUGAUUUGUUCCUUUUUAGCCAAAUCUUUUUUCUUGAUAUCUUUCAAAUAAUUGAUUGUUACAUGCAAUGGCUUAAGCAAUAAAUUAUUUCAAAGAUUUUACUUUUGGCAUUGUUAGUAAUAAAUCUUUGAUAUUAGCUUUCAAUCCAUAUCAAAAUUGAUUGAUAAGGGCUUUGUCAUUCUAGUCCACAUUGCAUGCAAGGUUUUAAAAUUCAAUAGCAUAUAUGAUGAAUAAUGGUGUUUUUUGCCAUAAAGAUAAAAACUUGGUUUGUGCUACUCUUUUUUGAUCACUUCCUCCAAAUGUGGCCAUAAACAUUUCUAAGAAUGAAUUCAAAUCAUAAAAGAAUUGUGAAUCUUUUUCCAUUAAAGGUACAAAUUAAGAGAGAUUUUUUUUGAUUGAAGUGUACUUAUAAAUUUGACUUGAAUAAAUCCAUUUGGAUAUUAGAAAUGAUACAACCUGUAGAAUGGAUAUGAUAUUUUUUGUUUUACAAUACAUAGUAUGUAGGGUUAAGAAAAACUAGUAAACUGAUAAAUAGAUAGUUUAAAAGAUAAAAUAAAUGAUGUAUGAAAAAAAAUAGUUAUCAUUGAUUGUAUAGUGGUUGGCAUUUCAAAAAAAGCAUUAGUAUUUUGAAAAAGAAGUAGAAAGGACUAGACUAUGAUAGUCAUGAGUCAAGGUAAGCUUAGUGCUACCUCUUUGUUUCUUUGUUUUUUUUGUAGAAGAAGAAUACUAGAUAGAAUUUGAAUAAUGUGAAAUAAAAUUAUGGAAUGAAAGAAAGAUUUCAUUUAGAUGAUGUCAAAUGAGAAAUUGAAUUUAUUGUGUGCUGAAUUAUAAGUAAAGAAUUAGAAAGUUGAUAAUAGAAGAUAUUUUUGGAGUAUGGAAAUAAAUAAAAGAAUUAUAAUGCAUUGAUUUUUGAGAGUUGAGAGUGUGCCAAGAAGAAAACUAUGGAGUCUAGAAUUGUGUGAAGUAGAUUACUAGAAAUGACAAUUAAUUUUAGAUAAUUUUAGUAAUUGAAUUAUGAAAUAUUUUAUACAGUCUUUUAAGAUAGUGUAGUAUUACCUAUUAUUGUCAUAAGUUUGGAAAAGAAAAGAAGUAGUGAAUACAUAAGAUAGACUUAUCGAUUGUAAUAUUUUUUUUGAUAGAAUGCGGAAGAAAUAUAGCAUUCUUGGAUGUUUUAGUUGAUCAAGAAACAGUUAAUUGUGUGAUCCUAAUAUAAAAAUUCAUACAGAUAGUCUUUCUCUAUGUUUGAAUCCCUGUAUAUAAGUUUAUUUUGAUUAGAUUAGUUUAAAAUAAGUAAAACAACAAUCAUAUUUUAGCACUGCUAUCAAAAAAUUGAAAAUAGUAUUGAGUGUUAGGAAUUAACUACCAAACAUGUAGUUGUGAAUGUUGCAUGAAGAGGUUACAAAAUUGAUGUUGGUUGGAAAGUAAAGCCAAAUGUGUAGUUAGAUUAGACAUAAAAAGUAAUUUUGGUAUUAUAUAAUGAAUAAUUAUGAUUAUUAAGAAUAAAAAUAUUGUACUUAGAAAAUAUGUCAAUUGAAAGAAAGACAAGAGAGAACGUAAAUAAGAAAUUUAUUAUGGGACAAGUAAGAACGUAAUCUAAAAAAGAAACAUUGACAAAGUUGGAUUAAAAAAUAGUUGCAUACUUGUCGACAUAUCCAAACAUACCAAAAACCUACUAGAUCGUCAAUAUUUCAAUCAUAUAUACUAUUAAGAAAAUUAUCAAGAGCAUUCAUUGAAAAUUUUUUCAACAAUUUAACGUAUCACUUGAAUCCAUUAACUGAAAGUAAAGGAAGUACAAGUUUAUGGAUAGUCUAUUAGAUACUUUGUCAAUAGUGGGUAUAGCCAAUUCUAACAAAAUUGGCUCCCUAAAAUGGCAUAAAUUGCUUGUCAAUAAGAACCAAUUUAAUAUGUUUCAAAAUCUAUCAUUUUUACCCCUAAUUUAAUCAAAAAAAUUAUUUACAAAUAAAAAUGGUAAAUUAAGGAGGUCUUAAAGUCUAAAAAAGAUAGUUAGAAAAGAUAAUGUUUAUUUUAAUAAGGAAUUAAGUGGAACAUUGUCAUCUUCAAUAGUGACAAGAAGCCCAGUAGUUCCAAUUGCGGUUCAAAUAAAUGUUGUGGGUAAUUGCACAACUAGUAUAGUUCCAUUACCUACUUUUAGAGGCUUUAUCAGGUGCAUAUCUAAAUCAACAUUUAUCUCAGUUUGUAACUGUAUGUGUAGCCAAUAAUAGUAGAACUCAAGAUAUUUGGUUGAAAUGGUUGCCAGUAACCUUAAAAGAUACAAUAUUUGAAUAUUAUAAUCGUUAGCCUUUGAGCCAGUUUCCUAAUUAGGAGGUAUUAAAAAAUAUGUUUUUAACCCAUUUUUGACCAAUUGGAUUUGAAGAACGUCUAAGAAAAAGUUUAAUGAAUAAUAGAAUGUUAUCAGGAGAAGCAGUAUAAUUAUGUUAUGGCCGAAUAGCAGAUAUCCUUCAUAAAUGGCCAAAUAACCAAAUGCUGGAUUUUUUUGUUUUGUCUAUAUUGGUUAACGGACUAUACCCACUAAAAUUGAAGAUGUUUGUAAAGGAGGUUCAAUCAACCAUUGUUGCUUCUUCACUUGAUUGAGCUAAGGUAUGGAAAGAAUGUCAUUAUUUCCAUACCUUCUAUAUCAAAAACUAGUAUCUAUAAAAGAGCUAUCUAAUGAAAUAAUAUUGAAGGAUCUAAAUGUAGCCUAAUUGUUAACUUUGACAAAGAAGAUGGAUGAAUUGGCUAUUAAUCUAGCAAAGAGAUAAGGAGAAGAGGCAUAAAUUGACCAAUAUGUAUUCCAAUAUUUGGCUUAGUAAUUAUAAAAGUCAAGGCCAUAUUAUAACAAAAUAUUUUUCACCACUCCAAAUGAUUGUGCAAUGUACAUUUUGUGGAGGUAAGCAUGCCACCACCAAUUGUUGGAAUUUACAAAAACAACAAAAAUUUGAUAAUCAGACCAUGAUUCAAUUGACUUCGUAGGAUGUUAAACAAGUCUACACAGGAAAUAGAUUUGGCUCGAUUGAAAAUCGUUUGAAUAAAUAAAAUAGGAGUUUUUCUAAUUUUCAAAAUUUUGGGUAUAACCAAGAAUGUGGACCCAAUUCUCAAUAUAUUGAGUAAAACUAAUAAGAAUAUUUUUAAUAUCCAUUUAUUCAAAAGCCAAUUUUAGAUUCUAUAAUAUCAACUAGAUAGACUAGAUCAUUUAUCCAUCCAACUUAGAACAUGCUUAAUCAAUAUAUACCAAUAGAAAUACCCAAUAUUCUUGAUGGAAUUGGAAGAAGACCACUUUGGUAUUAUCAUUGUAGGCAGAUAGGACAUUAUACUAAUGAAUGUCUCAAUCCAAGAGCCAAUGAUAAAUAUGCUUCUGUAUGUAGAAAUUGUAAGUAGUCGAGACAUAUAUAUCAGCAGUGCAAUGCUUCGUUUAAUUUUAAUAAUUGAGACCAGCAAAUCCAGCUGCAUAAUAAGAGAGAAGAAAGUAAUUGAAGCCCAUAAGAUUUUCUUGUAAAGCAGGUGGAAUACAUUCAUGCAAUACUUACUAUACACCAGUAAAAAGAAAAAGAUCCAAUUUUAUAAUUAGAUGCACCAAUUACAAAGGACCACUUCAAUCCAAUUAUGGGAACUCCAAAUUUAAUACAUAUAUAAAAAAUAUCACCAAUUUUGGGACCUAGUCCAUGUGUACAAUUCAAUAAUAUUUCUAGGAUCGAGGUAUUAGUUCAAUCUAAACCAAUACCGUUAUCUAGGAAGUUUCAGGAGCCAUCUUAUACAUUAAAGGAUCUUUUCAUAGAUAGAUAUUUUGACAAAGUUUAUUUAGUUAUUCCACAUUCAAUUUUUGUAAAGAAAGAUAUAUGAUCUCAAGGAGUUAAGUUGAAAUCCAUGAAAAAAAAGAGGGCACUAGGAAUCACUACCAAUAUGGAACCAUAUGAUAUUUUCAAAAAUUUGGAUGCAAUUUAGGCCUCUAUUAUAUUGAAGCAACUUUUGGUGAUAGCCUCAAAAUAUUAUUCUAUAUUGAAUUCCUCAUUAAUAAGACAUAGGUCCCGUAAUAGAAAAAUUUAUAAAAUUAGUUUAAAUUCAAAUCCAAGAGUACCAAUUAUUGAUAUAUUCAUUGAUGGUAUUCUUAUUUUUGGAGUUCAAGUAGAUGGUAGCUCUAGUAUAAAUCUAAUGAACAUCGAUACAAUGGAGGAUUUGGACUUAAAAUAAUUAUUAUCUACCACAUUGAUAUUAAGAAUGGCAGAUCAGAGUCAGAUGAAACCAAUAGGUAUCCUACGUAGUAUUGCCAUUCUAUUCCUUGGGAUCAUAUAUAAGAUUGAUUAUACUAUUUUUUGACUACAUAGUUCCACAUUAUUCUAUCCAAUCUUAUUGGAUCAACCAUGGCUAUAUCAAACCAAAACUAAGAAUGAUUGAGGCCGUGGAAUGUUGAUUAUUAAGAAAGAGAAAGAAAAGAUUGUGUUACAAAUGUAUCUAUUUUAAUAUCAUAGGGAGUUUCAAAUUCUAGGUUUAGAGGUGACGUCUGAUGAUAAGGGCCAAUCUGAUGCAAAAUAUAAUGAAGUUACUAAUACAAUGCAAGUUGGUGAUAAUCCAUGUCAUUUGCAGAAGCAAGGCAUGUUAUACCAAUAUGGAAGACCCGAAAAAUAUUUAGUAUAUCUAGAAGAUACAACAAACUCUGAUCAUGCUAUUGCCAAUUGGAUGAAUAAUUUUGCAAUUAUUGAAGUUAGUACAUUGGAACCAGAAUUGGAUAGUUCCAAUUUUUUGGAUUAUAUGAGAGAUUACAAGCCAAAGAGAAAAAUCAAACUGGAUGUUGUCAAGGAAUUUGUGUACCAAUCCCUCAACUUAGACACUAAUGAAACACUGAAGGUUAUCAAAGUAUAUAAUGGAAUUAAAAAUAUCGAGUUGAAAAACUGGAAGGCUUUCUUCCUAAAUCAUAAAUCUUCUUUUGCAUGGUCAUAUGUGGAUUUGAAAGACAUACCUACUAAAGUUUGUGAACAUCAAAUUAUUUUAGAGGAGAAUACUAUAUCAGUUCGUCAAAGAUAACAUUGACUCAAUCUAAAAUAUUUUCUUAUGGUGAAAGAGGAAUUAAACAAACUUCUUGAUGUGGAUUUUAUUUAUUCAGUUCCAUAUAGUAAUUGGAUUUCAUUAAUUGUAAUGGUGCCAAAGAAGAAUGAAAAAAUUUGAAUGUGUCAAGAUUUUUGUAAAUUAAAUGUGGCUAUUAAGAAGGAUUAUUUUCCUUUAUCUUUUACGGAUAGUAUCCUAGAUGUGAUAGGAUGUGAUAGCCGAGCAUGAAUAUUAUUUCUUUUUGGAUGGAUUUUUGGGUUACAAUCAAGUUAAAAUUGCAAAAAAAGAUCAGUUAAAGAUUACUUUCACCAUAGAUUGGGGGACCUUUGCUUAUAAAGUUAUGCCAUUUGGGUUAUAUAAUGCCCAGCCAUGUUUCAGAGGAUAAUGAUACAAGCUUUUCAGGAUCAUUUAAAAUAUUUAAUGAAGAUAUUUUUAGAUAAUUUUUGCAUAUUUAAUACAAAGGUCGAUCAUUUGAAAUGUCUUGAUAAGUAUUUGGACUAUUGUGGCUAUUAUGACAUUUCAUUGAAUUUGAAGAAAUGCCAAUUUGGAAUAUUGUUUGAUAAAUUAUUGGGACAUAUUAUCUCAUUGGCUAGUAUUGCUACUGACUUGGAUAAAGUUAUUUGUAUAUUGGCUUUACCAAAGCCUGAAACAGUAUCAAGAAUUCGUGGUUUUGUUACCCAUGUCAGUUAUUAUUGAUGAUUUAUUCAUUCAUUUGCAAACAUAUAUUAGCCUUUAACUAAUCUCUUAAAGAAAUCCACAUCGGAUGGCUCUAAUCUAAUUUGGACUCAAGAAUGUACAAUUGUGUUUAAAGAAUUGAAACAAAAAUUGGUGUCUGCACUAGUAUUGGUUGCACCUUGUUAGACAAAAUUAUUUCAUAUUUAUAUUGAUGCAUCCAAUGUUGCUAUUGGAUAUGUAUUGAAUCAAAAAGAUGAAAAAGAUUUGGAUCAUUUAAUAUAUUAUACUAGUCGACAAUUGAUUGCAACUGAACAAAAUUAUACUACAACUAAACGGGAAGCUUUAAAAAUUAUUUAUUAUGUUAAAAUUUUUUUGGCAUUAUUUGCUUGGUUAUGACUUUGUGUUUUAUAUUGAUCACAAUGCUCUUAAAUAUAUAGUUAAUAAACCUCAAUUCAGUGGACGUAUUGUUUGAUGCAUGUUACUACUUUAGAAAUUUAAUUUUAUUAUCAAUAUCAGACGAAGAAAGAAAUAUGCCAAUGUGGACCACAUGUCUUAUUUAUCUAAUAUAUUGGAUAAUGAGCCUAUCAAUUAUAAGCUAUCUAAUGUGGAAUUAUUUGUUGUCAAUAUGAUUACACCCGAAUAUAUUGAAUUAAUUUGGUAUCUAACAUUUCAAACAUUUCUACCUACUUAUAAUAAAAAACUUAAGAAAUACUUGAUUUUAAAAAGUGUGCCAUAUAAGAUGAUUGGUGAUACUUUGUGUAAACAAGGGCGGAAUGAAAUUUUUUGCCACUAUAUCUUUCAAAGUGAAGUACGUAUCUUAUUGAAAGGUUGCUAUUUAAAUAGCUUUGAUGGAUAUUUUGUGGGUGAUAGUAUUGCUCAUAAAGCUUUAAUGGCUGGUCUUUGGUAGCCAACAAUGUUUUUGGAUGUACACUAAUAUGUCUGAUGUUGUGAUCCUUGUCAAUGAAUUAGUCACCCUGUUGGAACUUUUGCCAUGCCAUUGAUACCAAUUUUGACACAAACAGUGCCAAUUAUGUAACAAAAUAGACACAGGCGAUAGUACCAAAAAUUGAUAAUGCCAAUAUAGUAGCCAUAUUUUUAUAUGAUAACAUUAUCACUUGGUUUGGAUGUUCCAAGGAAUGGGUUAGUGAUUAAAAAAUCCAUUUUAUUAAUUCUACGAUUAUAGCCUUGACGGAUAAAUAUGAGAUCAAACAUCGAAAAACAAUCCCAUAUCAUCCUCGGGCCAAUAGACAAACUGAAAAGACUAAUGGUAUUUUGUACAAAAUUUUAACUAAGACAAUGUCUAGUGCAAGAACAAAUUAGGAUACUAAAUUGUUUGCUGCUUUGUGGGCUUAUCAUAUUGCGUAUAAAGUGACUAUUAAUUCUAUACCAUUUCAAUUGGUAUACGGGUAAGAUGCAAUAUUACCAAUUGAAUUGGAAGUUCAGAGUUUGAGAAUUGCAUUGGAUGAACAACUUGAUGACAAAGAAUCCCUUCUAUUUUAGUUUGUAGAAUUGGAAAAAUUAGAUGAAGUUAGAGCUACAACUCUUCUGACUAUGGAAGCUAUAUAACGUCAACAUAAGAGUUAUUAUGAUAGUAAAUUAUGCCUCAAAUCAUUUUUGCCUAAUGAUCUAGUUCUUCUUUAUAAUAGCCAAUUUAACAAUUUUUUGGAGAAAUUCCAAGUCCGUUGACAUGGAUCGUAUCAUGUAGAGGAAGAUUUUCUUAAUGAUUCAGUUCAAUUGGAAGAUUUUAUGGAUAUCUAAUUUACCACACGUAAUAACAAAAAUCAAUUAGGACUUUAUUAUAUGUAAACUUGGGAUGGAUUUAAAAAUAAAAAUAAAAUUGAAGGAAGAAUAUUUAUUUAUUAAUGAUAGAUUGUCUAUACUUAUAGAUGUAUGAUGGAUAUUAAAGAUGGCUAAUAUUUGGUUGUGGAUCCUAAUAUCAAUUAGUCAAGAAAAUCAGAAGUGAAAUUCUAGUUAACAAGAUUAGGGAUUCUUGAUCCAUACCCUGAGUAAAAAGUUAGGAGCACGGUACUUAAUGGAAGUUUUCUUCAAUAUUUUGAACAUUGUUGUUUAGGGUGUAACUAUUAAAGUGAAGGAUUUACUUCAGUAAGCAAGAAAGUAGUGUUAGUAUAAGCAAGGAGUAAAAAGUAAGUAUUCCAAUAUAUCAAUGGAAAGAAUAAAGAGAUCUACAGACAAAAAAGAAAGCUCCCAUAAUGUGAGAGCUAAGAGCAGUUUGAGGUCACUGUCUUUAAGGAUUCUUAUCAACAUAGAACCAAUGAAGUUGGAAUUCUGUCGGAAUGUAAAAAGAUAGAGAGAUUUUAGAAAUGUGUAGUUAUAUCAAUUUCUGCAAAGGUUUGAUGACUUGCCACCAAUUGAUAUAGAAUUGUUGUAAGAAUAUAUAACCAAUUAUGACCCAAAGGAUGAUUUGAGUGUUGUCAAAGGAAGCAUUAUUGGGAUUGAUGAGACUAUCUUACAAAAAGUAUUGCAUCUUUGAAUUGGUGAGCUUGCAGUGAAUGUUGAAGUAUCUAACAAUUUUAGAUCGAGAAGCUAUUUCAAAGAUGGCAUGUUGUCAUUCAAAAAGAAUCAAGGUUGGCAAACAGCGGAAGCACUUACACUAAAGCUUAUAGAGUAGAUGUCUUUUAUUUAGAAAGAAUUAAGCUUAAAUUAACACACAAUAUACAUGUCCAAACGGCUAUUGUUUGCUACGAUACAAAUGCUGGAAGGUAUGGUGUUUAAUUGGACAGCUUUUGUAGCCAUUAGUUUCCAUGCAAAGAUGGGAGGUAAGCAAAAGAUAGAAGAUAAGCAAAAGAUGGAAAAAUUUGCAUCUUUGCUUUGCUCCAAUUAUGUGUACUUUAUGAUUGCAUACUUGUUGAGUCAAACAUCGCCAAUAAGGGAGAAAAAUAUACCCUCUUUAGUACCUCAAUGAAGUGUUUAGAGUUUAAUGGCACUGACAGCUAGUCCAAAGGUUGUGGUGUAAGAAAUUAGAGAAUCAAGAAACUUAUUAGAACGGGAGGCUAUACUAGAAAUUACACCAGAGCAGUGUCAUAUUAUAAAAGCUUAUAGUAUGUAAAAAUUAGUUAAAAUAUAUUAUAUAUUAAUAAAUCUAGAUGUAUGUUAGAAUUGUGAAUAGAUUAAUUUAAAGAGAGUGGAUUUAAGAAACUUUAUUUUGAGUUUUAUCUUUUUUGAUUAUAGCAUUUAAAAAAAUUAUAGGACCUAAAUGUUUAGUAUGAAACCUUGAGAGGAGAUUAGAGCCUAAAGAUGAAAAUCUUAACUAGUAGGAGGCUUAUUGGGAGGCAUGAAAGCAAGAUAUAGGUAGAUGAAGGCAAGAAAUUGGAAUCUUCAUUCCUAUUAGUCGAAGGCCAUGUCCAAUGGGCUUCAAGGAGGUCGCCUGAGGCCUUAUUAGGAAUUAGAGAUUGUCUUUCGAAGUCAUUCGAGCUUUAGAGGCUAGAAUCAUUAAGUUUAGGUUUUUGGAUAUAUAUUGGGUGCAAAUUUUGUGUGAUUUGGAGUUUUUAUGAAAGAAUUAUUGGCGCUCAAAGUUAAGGUGUCAAUUUCAUACCUAUUAUCACUCUUUGGAACAUAACAUACAUUUACAAAGAGCAACAAAGGAUCAGCAAUUAGGAUUGGAGAGAGCACUUCUUUAACUAGACUUUUCAUGUAUUAUUUGAUGAAUUUAGAGUUUGAAUGAAGAAGUUAUAGAAAGUUGAAGUCAGCACAUCCAAAUCAAAGGCAAUAAAUAUGUGAUUUUAUUCAUAGUAAUAGUUGGAGCAAUAUCUUGAGUUUCUAUAUGAAUUUUUGGCUCAAAUCUUUUGAAAAAAGUUGAUUAUUAUGAUAAGAAGCUAUAUAAAUAUAAAUAUAAAUAUAUAUAUAUAUAUAAUUUAGUAUUUAAAUGCUUAAUUUAUGAGAUAUGAAGAAAUUUACAAGUAAAUAUAUAAAAACUAGGAUUUGAAGCUAUUAUUAGGAUUUUUAAGAUAUCUCAAGUUCCGCAAUGAAUUUGUACUUCAAAAUUGUUGUUGUAGUUGUUAAAAGUACAUCAAUACUUUAGAUAAAAUUUAAGUAUAUUUGGAUAGUCUGAUUGAAAGAUAUGAGUUUUUAAAGUUCAAGAAUAAUACUCUAUAGGGAUAUAUAAGGAUUUAGAAGAUUUUAUCAUAUUUUGGAUGUUGAUUACUUGAGGCUAAUGUAUUUGGUGUAAUUGCUCCAACAAAAAAAAAAAUUAUAUAUAAACUUAGAGCUUCUCUUAUUUUGAAGCUUGAUUGAGCAAUUAGUGACAACCAAGAGCCUAGUGCUUUCUUGAGACAAACUCUCUCCAUCUUGACAGUAGGUUCCAAUUUUUUUGGCAACAGAGGUAGAGGCUGAAGUUUCCAUUUUGAUGGACAUAAAACAAUUAGUAUUUCCAUAGGGUAGAACAUCAAAAAGAAUGAAUCUCAAGGAUGUCAUAUUGGUUCAGAUUUUUCAAUUACAGCUCACGAUGAGUAAACUAGAUGGGAAGGGAAAUUUAAGGCAGUAGUUGGAGCCAAACAGGAAAGAGAUAUGGGAGCAAAGCUGCCAAAAUAAGGAAUAGGAUUGAGAAAAAUGUGGAAUCCAAGUUAUUAUUAGAGCAUAAAUUUGAGGAGAAACAUAAAGCUUAAGGAAAAAAAUAAAAUAAAAUACAUUCAAUAUAUCAAAGAAGGCCAAAGACAAGAUCUAAUUUAGAUUUCUAAUAUAUCAAUGUUGGAACGAAAAAAGACAAAGUGUCAAUUGAAAAUGAAAUAAGAAAAGACAGCAUUACUUGAACAGAAAAAGCGGAUAUUGGGUGAUCAGUUACAAAUUAAAAUGACAAUGUUAUGAGUAGAAAUUAAAACCUUGAAGGCUAUAGUGACAAAAUUAGAGGAUGAUUUAGCCAAUAUUGGUCAAUCACAGAUGUCUACUCUACUCGUUUCAAUAAUUGAUGAAUUAAAGGAGAUGGUGAGGCAAGAACAAUACUAUUUGGAAGCAAAAGAUGUCAGGAUUUUGUAGUUGGAGGCUCAAAUUCAUGAAUUGAGAGCGUAUAAUAAGGACUUAUCAAUUUAAUUGAGGAGAGAGUUAAUGAAAGUAUUGGAGGAGGAUGACGACUUAUCAUUAGAACCAGGAUCAGUGGAACCACCUACGGAGAACAUUGGAAUUGAUCAAUCUAGCACACCAGAGGGUUAGAAAAUUUGUAAGGAUUCUGUUGAAGAAGUUUAUUUUUACCAAUUCUGUGUUUACAAAGACGUUACAUAGUUAAGAGUGGCACUAUGUAGAAUGGAUAUGAUAUUUUUUUGUUUUACAAUACAUAGUAUGUAGGAUUAAGAAAAACUAGUAAACUGAUAAAUAGAUAGUUUAAAAGGUAAAAUAGAUGAUGUAAGAAAAAAAAAUAAUUAUCAUUGAUUGUGUAGUAGUUGAUAUUUCAAAAAAAACAUUAGUAGUUUGAAAAAGAAGUAGAAAGGACUAGACUAUGAUAGUCAUGAGUCAAGGUAAGCUUGGUGCUACCUCUUUGUUUCUUUAUUUUUUUUGUAGAAGAAGAAUACUAGAUAGAAUUUGAAUAAUGUGAAAUAAAAUUAUGGAAUGAAAGAAAGAUUUCAUUUAGAUGAUGUCAAAUGAGAAAUUGAAUUUAUUGUGUGCUAAAUUAUAAAUAAAGAAUUAGAAAGUUGAUAAUAGAAGAUAUUUUUGAAGUAUGGAUAUAAAUAAAAGAAUUAUAAUGCAUUGAUUUUUGAGAGUUGAGAGUGUGCCAAGAAAAAGAUUGUGGAGUCUAGAAUUGUGUGAAGCAGAUUACUAGGAAUGACAAUUAAUUUUGGAGAAUUUUAGUAAUUGAAUUAUGAAAUAUUUUAUACAGUCUUUUAAGAUAGUGUAGUAUUACCUAUUAUUGUCAUAAGUUUGGAAAGGAGAAGAAGUAGUGAAUACAUAAGAUAGACUUAUCGAUUGUAAUAUUUUUUUUGAUAGAAUGCGGAAGAAAUAUAGCAUUCUUGGGUAUUUUAGUUGAUCAAGAGACAAUUAAUUGUGUGAUCCUAAUGUAAAAUUCAUACAGAUAGUCUUUCUCUGUGUUUGAAUCCUUGUAUACAAGUUUAUUCUGAUUAGAUUAGUUAAGAGUAAGUAAAAUUACAAUCACACAAUCUUAGUAAUAAAUAAGACUGAGGACUAAAAAGGCAUUAAUAAAAAUGAAGAAGGCUUCACUCUUGCCUCUAUAUAUACUCUUAACUAAAAACUACAAGGUAAUGUCCUAUGAAACCUCCAAAAACAUGUUGACUUUGUAAGACACAUAUUUUAACUUGUAAAGUAAGUUUUUUAUAUAUGUACAAGAUAAUUAGCUUGUUUGACAAGCUACCAAUAUGUGGUUAACUUCUUGACCAAAUAUCUAACAUUUCAAUUAAUUAUAAACAUGUGUAAAGUCAAAGCAACAUCUAUAAAGCUUCUAAAAAGCUUCUCUAAAUGAUAUUAUAAAAUUAAUUUAUUUUUAUCUACUUUUACUUACUUCUACCUAAUCAUAUAGAUAUUUACUAGAGUACUUAUGUAUAUCCGUGACAAUAUCUUACCAUCUAUUUGAAGAAGAAUAUAUUCUUGAAGAUCUUCAUCCCUAUUACAUUGUCUCAAAGGCUAUGAUAAUUGCAAUAUUUCAUCUGAUAAGUUAGCAAAUGAUAGCUUUCAAGUUGAAUCUGCUAACUAUUAAUUCUUUAUCUUCUUAAAGUUACAAUUAUAUAGAAACUAAAAACAAGAAUAAAAGAUAGAAUACAAUCUUUUUUAAAUUAUGUUUAUUUUAUAAUAAAGAUUUGCUAUGCUUCAUCUUGAUUUUAAUAGAUGUUGUUUAUGGAAAGCUUUGACCUUCUCUAUUGUAUUUAUAAGAUUUUUUUGCUGGUUCUUAUGUGCUUUUGCUAAUAUUGUAUCCAAGCUAAUGAAUGAGAUAUUUUAAUAUUUGUUGGUGCCACCUUGAGUCUAAGACUUCUACCACUUCAAAUUCUUGAUAAUUAUCUACUUCUAUAAGAAGCAGUGGUAUUUUUCUUCUUCUUGUAAUAUUUAUUUUCUUAUAUGGAUCUAAAAGAGAUAUGUAAAAUAUGAAAUGGAUUUUCAUAAAAUCAUAUAGAUGUAAUCAAUAAGUAAUUGAAUUGACUUGUUCACAAAUAGGAAAUGGUUUAAGUCUACAAUAAUCUAAUUUUUCACAAAGGCAAAUAGUUUUAAUAUUACAACAAAGUAACCAUACCUUAUUACCAACAUAGAAAUGAAGUUUUUUUCUUACAAUAAGAAUCUAUGUUACUCUUUUUUUUUUCUUGAGCCUCUUUUAGUAGUGCUCUAUUAUUGUAUAUAGCUCAAAUAAAUGAUUUUUAAAACCUUUUAUUGUAAGAUUAUCAAAUUUUAAAAAGUCUAAAGCAUUAAGUUAUAGAUAAUAACUAUGAUAAGCAAAAAAAGGUAUUUAUUGCAUAGAAGAAUGUAUCAUAUUAUUAUAAGCAAAUUUUACCAAUGGCAAAAGAAUUAUCCAAUUAUCUUAUUGGUAAUUGAUAGUAUACCUCAAAUAUUGCUCUAAAACAUUACUUAUAUGCUUUAUUUGUCCAUUAGUUUGAAAAUAAAAAAUUAAAGAUAGUUUUAUGUCAACUUUUAAAAUCUUGAAAAAUUUUCUUCAAAAUCUUGAUACAAAGUAAAUUCUCCUAUUUGAUGUAAUAUCUUUAAGUAAUCCAUGAUAGUGAUAGAUGUUAUCAAGGAAAAGCUUGGUUAUUUCUUCACUUAUGAUAGCUUUUGUACAUGAUACAAAAUAUGCCAUCUUGGCAAAAAAAUCUACUAAGAUAAAUAUAGAGUCAUAAGAACUUGAAAUUAGAAGAUUUAUAACAAAAUCUAUAGAAAUAAAAGACCAUGGUUGUUUUGAAAUAGGUAAUGGUUGAAAAAGUCCUUAGGAUUAUUGACAAGGAAUUUUGUUACCUUAAAAAAAUAUCACAUGACUAGACACUGCCUUUCAUUACUUUCUACAUUUGUAGCCAUCAAAAAUCUCUAGAUAUAAGUUCUAAAUUUUUAUAUCUAAAAUUUUUUGCCAUUGAAAAAUCAUGACGUAUUUGAAGAAUACGUUGUUGGGAUAGAAAGAAUUUGCCUUCAGAAAGCAUUGGGCUUCUAGCUAUCACUAAUUACUCAACCAAGUCAUAAGAUAGAAAAGCACCAAGUUUAUAUAUAAAAUUAUCUCUAUAAAUACAAUUAUAUCAAUAUAUAAGCCGUAAGUACCAAAGAUCAUUCAAAUGUGAAAAAAUAUUAUAAAACCUUACAUAUCCUUAAAAUGAUUUUUUUCUAAAAUUCAACAACUCAUAUUUUAUGUUUGGAACUUCCAAAUAAAUCAAAAUUUUAUAUAAAGUACUGAUGUACUUUCAAAAACUACCACAAAAAAUUUCAAUUUUAAAUUCAUUACAGAUCUUGAGAUAUCACCAAAAUCCUAACAAUAGCUUCAAAUCCUUGCUUACAUGCACCUAUGAACAACUUUCUUCAUAUCUCAAAAAUUAAGUAUUUAAAUACUAUAAAAUUUUGAUGUAUAGCUUUUUAACCUGAUAAUAAAUAUUUAAAAAAAAUUGAGCCAAAAAUUUAUUUAAAAACUCAAGAUAUGGCUCCAACCAUUAUUAUCAAUAAAACGACUCACUUAUGAAGUUUGAUAUACAUGUACUAUCUUUAAUGCUCUAUAACUACUUUAUAAAAAUUCCAAAUAUAAAAAUUCUUUUACAAAAGAGAUAGGUCUUAAAAUCAUUCUUACAAUUAUACCUUUUGAUCUCCAAAAGCUAUCAAAAAACUCCUUAUAUCUUCAAAAGAACAAUAAUAUGUCUUAAAAAGAUUUCUUAACUUCAAAUGGCUAUAACAUCAUUAUAGUAAUUCCAAAUCCUCUAAAAUUUUUACACAAAUUAUAGUCUAAAUCAUAAACUUUAAAAUUUUUAUUUUUGAUUCUCAAAUAUUUCUUUUGAAGUUGUCAAAAUUCUUAUUAUGGUUGUAGAUAGCCUCUUGAGAGCCUAGUAUAAAUGGCUUUUGAUUAAUAGGAAUAAAGAUCUUCAUUUCUUACCUUAAUCCAUCUAUACCUUGCUUUCAUCUAAUUCAAUUUAGUUGGAUUAGAUUUUGAAAAAUAAAAUUAUGUUUACAAAAUUGAGGGUCUCUUAAGUUUUGUAGUGUAUAUAUGGAUGAAUUUUGGAUAGUGUGUUGGUAUUUUAGUUGUUAGUGUGUGUGCAAAUUUGAGCUCAAUCAAAUGAUUAGAUUGAAGUAUACAAAGAUUUUUUUAGUUUGAUAUUUUAAAAAUUAGAAUUUGAAGGUCAAUGAGUAUUUUUAAGAUCUUUAACAAUUUGUUAAUUGGAUUGAAGUGAAUUUUUUUGUGUAGAGACUAGACUUGAUUUUGCAUAAUUUAUGUAUAUUUUAGAGGUAAUUAAAUAGUUCAAGAAGGAGAUAUUAGUACUAAAAGUUCAACAUUUAGAUUAGAAUAUGAGGUCGACCAACACUUGAGGAGAAUUUAGGUUUGAUUUUCUAUUUGGUAAGUUCGAUCUUUUUCAAAUUUUAUGUACUUCUUUCAAAUUUAGUUGUUAAAAGGUGUGUAAAAUAUUGAAUAAGAUCAAUAUUAUAAUCAAUAGAUAUUGAGAUUCUAAACUACUCUAGAAUUAAAUUAAUUUGAUUAAAAUUUGGUUUAGGAUUUAUGAAUUGGUUAGGAUUUAAGAUUUAUUUAGGAUUAAGUUAGGAUUUUACUUAAGAUUUAAGUAAGGAAUAUUAGAAUUUUUACUAGGAUUAAAUUAUUAUAUGAUUGAAAUUUAUUUUAAAUAUAUUUUAGAUUUUAUUUUAAUACUUUUUUUUAAUUUUUUUUAAGAUUUCUUGAUGCUUCUUUUAUAAUUUCUUCAAGGUUUCUUUGGAUUUGAUUAAAGCUUGAUUAAUAUUUUUAUGAUUUAAUUGAAAUUAUUUAGGAUUCUAUUAGAAUUAGAAACUUGUUAUUACAAUACCUCUUCUAUCUUCUAUAACUAGGUACUCAGUGCAUUCUCAAGCAAGGAUUCACGUAAUAUAAUAAUAGUCUUUAUUAUAGGUGGACAAACUUAUUCUCCAAAAUACUAUCUUCUUUGAUGGCCAUAUUCUUCAUUUUGUAGUUUUAUAGCUUCUUUAGACAUUAUUAAGUACUAUGCUUAGGUUCUCUAUAAUAUAAGCACAAUCUUUCUUGAUAACAAUAAGACUUUUCUUGCUCAAUAAGAAAUUUGAAAUGCAUUGCAUCAAUUUAUAUAUCUUCUACUUCCAAAUGUAUGUAUUGAAUAGAUAUUGGCAUUGUCAUUGUCAUUGAAUCAUAGUAAUAUUGAAGUGUAUUUGUGCAGCUCUUAAAUUAAAAUUCAAAAAAUUGAUUGUCACACCUCAUAGCAAAGUCAAUUAUUUGACUCAAUGUUUGAGAAUCAAGUAAUUUGAGCAUCAAUUUUUUUACUUUAUAUUAUAAUCUAUAGAAAAAUUGGCUGAUAAGUGUAAUAUCAUUUUACUUGAUAUCAGAUGUAGAUUGUUAAAAUAAUGAAGCAUAUAAUAUUAUUGAUUAAUUUUCUUACUGUAAAAUACGGAUCUUAUUGAUUGCAAUACAAAUUGUAUCAUGUUCUCUAUACAUGGAUCAAAACUCCAUCAAAAAAGCCUCCAGAUUAUUCAAUUUUAGAUUUUGUCAUUCAAGAAAAGAUGAAAAUUAUAAUAAUACUGAAUCUGAAAAGAAUAUACUAAUAAAUUUAACUUAAAAUCUUGGAAUUAGAUAGCUUUCAAAUUGAAGUUUAAUCACAAGUUGUAUUUGAAUGAUAAAUCCUCAAAACUUAGAUCUUAUACCAUCAAACUUCAUAAGUACUGCAAACCUUGAUUCUCUAAUAUUAGAAGGAUAUUCUAUCAUAGAAAAUAAAAUAUGAUUUAAUGCAGAUGUUGAAACAAUUCUAAUCAUUUUUAUAUCUUUCCUCUCUACCAUUAUUGUUACUCUAUGUAGCAAUAAAUUAAAUUGAUGCAUCGUAAGUAUUAAUUUUUUUAAUUGCUAUUGUAUUUGUAUCAUUGCACUCUUAAUUUCAAGAAGAUUUGCCAUAAUAACAUUCAAAAAAGCAAAGAUGUCUAAGAUUACUCAAAACAAAUAAAAGAAAAGACUUAAAAAUAAAGAGAAAAUACUAAAUAUAAUAUCAGUUUAAGAAAUGGGAAUUUACAAUUCCGAAUAUACUUAAGUCUUAUCAAGAGAAAGGAAUAAUCUAUUUUUAAUCAAAUAAAGACAAAGAUCUAAUAUUAUAAGUGCAUUCUUAUCAAUCUAUCUAUGAAAACAAUUCAAUGAAAGUAAAUAAAUAAGUAAGAUUUUCUCAAAAAAAUAAGACAAAAUAGAAAUAAAAAAGUUUAUAUAUUAAAAAAAAUAAAAUAAAAUAAAAUAAAAUAGAAUGGCUAUUGCUAAAAGUUAAGAAAACUAGAGACUCUUGAAACUAAAUUAAAAGUAAGAAAGAAAUUGACAAGAGUGAAAAAGGCUUCAUUCUUGCCUCUAUAUAUACUAUCUACUUAGAAUGUAUGUGGAAACAUUCAAUAGGACCUCCAAAAAUAUGUUCACUUUGCAUAACACAUAACUUAACUUGCAAGGCAAGUUUUCUAUAUAGAUGCCACAUAGUUAGCUUGUUUUCUAAGCUAUGAAUACAUGCAACACUUGGUUAGUUUGUUGACCAAGUUUUUAAUCUAAUAUUUAAUUACAAAUAAUAUAAAAUCAAAAUAACAUCUAGAAAUAUUUUAAGAAGCUUCUCUAUAGAGUAUUAUGAAAUUAAUCUAUUUUAAUUACUUCUAUCUAUUCAUAUUAGCUAGUUAAUAAUUACAAUAGAUAUAUAUAUAUAUAUAUAUAUAUAUAUAUAUAUAUAUAUAUAUAUCCAUGAUAUUGAUUUCAUUAAGUUCUUACUAACUAUCUCAUUAAUACUCUUUUGUUCAAUUUAGUAUUUGAUUUUGUCUAUAAUAUAUAUAUGACAAUUUUUUGAGAUUUUUUUCUUAUGAAUAUUAGAACUUCAUCUUUUUUGAUAAAGAAUAGAUUAUCCUUCUUUUUCAAGACAUCUAAGUGCUUUAAAAUUUUGGAGUAUCUUCUUAUAAAUUAAUAUUAUUUAGAAAUUAAAUGAUGAUGUAAAACAUCUAUUAUUAUUAUUUGAUCUUCAAACACUCAAUGAAGCUAUCAAUUAAAUUGUGAAAUGUAAUAAUCAAUUAUUUCAAUACCAUCAAGAUCAACUCUUAUGAACUUUGAUAAAGCAAUAUACAAGAAAUUUGUACUUUAUUUCUUUAACAAGUAUAUUACUUCCAUAAUUUGGAAUAAAGAAUAUAUAAAUUGAUGCAAUACAAUUCAAACUUCUUAUAGUAGAAGAAAAGAAGCAUCAAUUUGAAUAAGGCUUAUACUUUUAUUGUGGUAAAAAAGGCCAUAAAUCUAAGAAUUUUUAAAAGAAAUAACAUACAAUUAGAAUUAGAAGUACAAUCAUUUAAGAAAAUGAAGAGGUCCAGUUACAAUAGGGACCAUGUGGCUAUACAUUCCAAUACCUCAAAUUCAUCAAGAUUCUUCUUUUUUUGUCCAACUUACUUGUUUUUUUAUUAUACAUUUAUUUCUUUGCUUACAAAAACUUCAAAUAAACACCUUAUUAGAUUCAAGAAUAUAUAUAUAUAUAUAUAUAUAUAUAUAUAUUUUUUAGACGAAAUUUUUUUUAAAGUUGAUAAAAUUCUUCUAAUAAAAAAGUUAAAAUAUAUAUAUUUAUAUACAUAUAUAUAUAUAUAUUUAUAUACAUAUAUAUAUAUAUAUUUAUAUACAUAUAUAUAUAUAUAUAUAUUUAUAUAUAUAUAUAUAUAGUCAACUUUUAUCUUCAAGUAAUAUUAUUCAUGAAACCAUAUUACUAAAAAUAUCAUUUAAGAGCUAUAGUAGCAAAAUAAUAUUUAAUAUUAUUAGAAUUUCAUCCAAUCCUAUCAAUUGAAGACUUUUGUGGUUGAAAAGAUAUAAUCUAUCUAUAGAUUGGAGAUUUUAUAAGAUUAAAUUUCUUGUAGAAUUCUUUUAAAUAAAACCUAUCAAGAAGUCAUUAACAACAAAGCCCUUAUUUCUUUUAAUAAAGUCUUUUAUGAAGAUAACUAAGAAAAAAUACCAUUUGUCAUUUAUGCAACUCCAACUUGUGAAGAAACCAACUUCCUAGUAGCUAUUCUAGAGUACUACAAGGAGUUUUAAGAUAUCUUUGAAAAGAAGAAUGUUGACAUAUUGCCAAAGUAUUGAUCGUAUAAUUGCGCCAAAAAUCUUUAAGAAAUGACUCAACUACCAUUUGGUCUAAUCUAUAAUCUAUCACAAAAUAAACUUUCUCCAUUGAAUAAUUAUAUUAAUAAAAAUUUUACAAAAAACUUUAUUUGGCAUUCAAAAUCUCUAGUAGGUGCACCAAUAUUUUUUCAAAAGAAUAAAGAUGGAUCUUUGCAAAUGUAUGGUAAUUAUUGUGGCCUCAAUAAAAUAAUGAUGAAGAAUUGUUAUCCAUUAUCAUUACUAUUAAAGAUUUUGAAGCAACUUGAUCAAGCUAAGAUCUUCACUAAAAUAGAUUUUUGUGAAGCAUAUAAUUUGGUAUUAGUUAAAGAAAGAAAUAAAUAAAAGACAAUAUUUUGGAUAAGGUACGGAAAUUUUGAAUAUACUGUCAUACCUUUUGAAUUUACAAAUAUUUUAAUUAUAUUACAAAAUUUGAUUAAUAAUAUUUUUUGAAAUUUUUUGGAUAAGUUUAUUAUCUGCUAUCUUCAUAAUAUCUUAAUCUAUUCCAAGACUCUUAAAGAAUAUGAAGAACAUAUGAGAUUAGUCUUGCAAAAUUUAUAUAAUAAAAGAUUAUAUAUCAAAUUAAAAAAAUAUGUAUUCUAUUAGUCAAAAUUAGAUUUUUUUGGAUAUAUUAUAUAUAAUAAAGGCUUCUUAAUGGACUUGAAAAAAUUCAAGCUGUAAUAAAAUAGGCAACUUCGAAGGCAAUUUGAAAUUUAUAAUGAUUCUUUUGAUUUGCUAAUUUCUAUGGAAUAUUUAUCAAGAAUUAUUUCCAAGUUGCUAUUCUUUUCACUUGGUUCACAUCCAAAAUCAUAUUGGAUUGGAGAUCACAAGUACUAAGGGCUUUUGAAGAUAUGUUAUAUAACUUUUAUUACAACUUUAAUUUUAAUGCAUCUAAAUUUUAUAAAUAUUUUCUAUUUUGAGACUCAUGCUUUCAAUUUUAUAUUAAAAGUAGUACUAUUAGAGAUAGAAAAGGAUAAAAAGCUCUAUCAAGUUACAUUCUAUUUUUUAAAAAAAAUUAGCUAUAAAGAUCAAUUAUAAAAUUUACAAUAGAGAAUUUCUUGCAAAUAUAGAUUCUUUUCAAGAAUGGCAUCACUUAAUGGAAGGCACUACUCAUGUUGUGAUUAUAUAUACAAAUCACAAAAAAAUUGAGUAUUUUAUACUAGCUUGAAUUUUAAAUCAUCGCUAAGCUUGUUAAAAUAUGUCAUUAUCUUAUUUUGAUUUUGUGAUUAUAUAGUAAUCCAAAAAGGAAAAAUGAUUGUCAGACGCCUUAUUAAAAAAAAAAAAAAAAAAAAAAAAAAACAUAUCUUGCUCCAAAGGCCAAAAAAUCAGCAUUUAAUUAGCAAUAUACCACUAUUGUAAAGCCAAAAAAAUUUCAUUCUUCUCCUAUUUCUUUUAUUAUACAUAUUGAUUCAAGUUUUUUAAAAAAAAUUAUCUAUAAAUAAUAAAUAAUUUUUUGAUUUGUAAUAUUAAAUAGAAUCCUCAUAGCCACAAGUUUAAAUUUGUGAAAGAUCUUUUGUAUUGUGAAGAUCAUUUACAUAUUCCAAAAAAACCAAUAUGACUUUGUAUUCUUCAAUUUUAUCAUGAUUUUCUAGCUAUAGGAAAUUUUGGAUUUAACAAAAUAUUAAAACUUAUCUCUUGAUAUUUUUGAUGACUUCAAAUGUGAAAGACCAUGAAGGAUUUUUUUUUUUCUUAUGUAAUGUCUAUUCAAGAUCUAAGAAAUUUUGACAUUGUUCCUAUAGACUUCUAUAGUUACUACCAAUUCUAAAGCAACCAUGGUCUUUAGUAUUAAUGGAUUUUAUUAUUGAUCUAUUGCCAUCAAUAAUAUUUGAUGCUAUCUACAUACUUGUAGAUUGAUUUAUAAAGAUGGUAUAUUUUAUCCUGUACAAAAAGAUAAUUUUUGGAAAUGAAAUUAUAAGGUUCUUUCUUGAUAAUAUAUAUAUAUAUAUAUAUAUAUAUAUAUACAUAUAUAUAUAUAUAUAUAUCAUAGCUUAUUUCAUGAUAUUAUUUCUAAUUAAGGAAUUUAAUUUAUAUCAAAGUUUAAAAUAUAUAUAUAUAUAUAUAUAUAUAUAUAUAUAUAUAUAUAUAUAUUAAAGAUAGAUAUUAAACUUUCUUUGCCUUCUAUCUUUAAAUCAAUGAUCAAACAUAAUGAGUCAAUCAAGUUUUAGAGUAGUUCUUGCAAUGUACCAUCAACUAUUAAGAAGGUGAUUGAACCUUAUAUUUAUCUUUAGCAAAAUUUUCUUAUAAUAAUAUUCUUUAUACUUUGAUUCAAAAAAUAUCAUUUUACUCUAAUUGUGAUUACUAUCCAAAGCUUGAUUUUUUAUAUUCAUUAAAGGAUAAAAAUCUAAUGGUUAAAGAUCUUGAAACUAAUUGUUAUAGCUCCAAAUAACUUUGAAGUUAUAUUUACAAGUAGCUCAAGAUUCUUAAAAAAAAUCUUCAAAUAAAUUUAAAAAAGAAUUCAUUUCUUUUUGAAUUAGAAAUAAAGUAUAGAUUCUUCAACAAGAUAUUAAGAACAAUUGACCUUACAAUAAAUUAGACUACUAAAGAUUGGAGCUAUUUUGUAUUCAAAAGCAAAUCAAUCUAAUGGCUUACUAAUUAAAACUACCCACAUCUAUAAAAGUAUAUCUAGUCUUUCAUGUUUCUCUUCUAAUAGCUUAUACAAAAUCAACUAUUUCAAAAAGAAUACAACUAUCAUUGCUAUGCAUUGAAAUAGAUAAUCAUAUGGAAUAUGAGGUAAAAAAGAUCCUUGAUUCUAGGUAAAAAAGAGGCAAGUUGGAGUAUUUUAUUCAUUAGCAUGGUUACAAUGCCAAUGAACAUAUGUGAGAACCAGCAAAAAAUCUAAUUAAUGCGCCAAAAAAGGUACUUAAGUUUUGUUGACACAAAAGGUAUUUUUUUAUGUACCACAAAAGGUACUUAAGUUUUUGAAGUUUUAAAAAAGUUUUCAAAAACUUAAGUCUAUUUUAGGAUGACUUUUCUAUGAAGCUACUACUAGGAUGUUGUAUGUAAUAAAGGAAAUAGGUUUUGCUUAUAUCAACCUUAGAGUUUAGUGUACCUAGUUUAUGAUCCAAUUAGUUGAAUUGGAAAAUGUUUAAAGAAUUUUUAGAUCAUAAAUCUCAAAGUAGAGCUAGAAUUGAAGCUUUUUUUAACACUACUACCAAAUUAAUUGUUCCAACUCUUUCAGCCUUCACAAGAUCAUCCUUAAGAUGGAUUUGGACCUUUUGAAGGAAAGAAUUGUCUAUUCUAUAGUGAGUUUAAAUAAAAAAAAACCUCAAAUAAGAAAACUUCAAAAAAAAAAAUCUUCAAGAUGAUGCUUAAGCUUUAGUUAUUUUAUCAUAGAUAUAAAACCAAUGAUCCUUGUAGAACUUGGAAUUAGAAAGGAAUGUAAUAUUACAAGCAUCUAACAAAAAGAUUUUUAAAAUAUUCUAUUAAAUUUUAAAAGGUUCUAAAAGAUUUUUAAAAUAUUUUAAUAUUACAUUUUAAAAGUUUUGUAAAAUAUUUUUAAAAUAUUGUAAUAAAAUAUACUUAAAAUAUUUUUAAAAUAUUUGAAUAAAUUCUAAAAAGUUCAAAGAAGAUUAAAAAAAAAUAUCCAACAGGCUUUUUAAGGUCGUUUUAUCUUCAAGCAACAUAAAAACUUCUUGAGAAGCUUUUUAAGAUUGCUUCAUCUUCAAAAAACAUAGAAACUUUUCAAGAUUGUUUCAUCUUUAAGUAAUAUAAAAAUGACUUAAAAAGCUUCUUAAUAUUUAGUAUAUAUUAGAGUUGAGUUUGAGGGAAUCCUCAAUCUUAACAACACAUCUCUUAGAGCUUUAGUUCACCUCUCUUCGAAUUGAUCUUAUACUUAUUUGAUUUAUUAUAGUUCUUCCUAGCUAUCUUAUUGAAACUCUUUUCUUCAACUUCUUGAUUGAUCUUCUAUAUAGUGUAUCCAUGAUAGUCCUAUAGAACCUCCAACACACUUCCAAUUUGUAAGACAUAUGUCUUAACUUGCAAGGCAAGUUUCUUAUAUGCGCACCAUAUUAUUAGCUUAUAUCGCAAGCUAACUACAUUGGUGAUACAUGGCUAAUUUGUUGGCUAAUUUUUUAAUCUAUCAAUUAAUUGUUAACAUGUAUAAAAUCAAAUAUGUAUUUAUAAGGCUUCUAAGAAGCUUUGUUAUAAGAUAAUAUGAAAUCUACUUACAGUUAUCUUCUACUUAUCACUUCUUAUUUAAAUAAAUAUAUAUAUCCAUUAUAUUAUUUCUACUUUUAAGGAUGAAUUCUAUGAAGAUCAAUCAUAUUAUAUUGAAGAAGUCUAAGAUGUAGCAAAUUAUAUUUAUUACAAUCUCAUACAAAUACUUCAUAGUAUUCUUGUAAAUUUUAUUUAGAUCUUAUGAUUUAAAUAAGGAGUAUUGCCUACUAUUUGACAAAGUAUGAUAUACAUGCAAUUAAAGAAUAUACAAGAAAUAAUAAAAGCUGCUCUUGAAAAAAGAUACACAUUAGCUUUAAUGCAAAAAUUAAAGAAAAAGAAUCAUAGUAGUACUUUGAUGACUUACAAACAUUGUUAUAAAAUGUACUUAAAAAAAAGCUAGUAGAAUCUAAGUAAUCUUAAUAAUUGCUUAAUACAUACUUGAAGCAAAUCAAUUACAAAAACUAUAGAAAUAGUAAAAAAAUUUGAACAUAAAAUAUUUAAAUUAUAAUGCAAUAACUAAUUAAAUACACAACUAAUAUAGAUAGGUCUAUAUUUUGAAUGUAGAAGAAAUUAUAAAAUUAAUAAUUAUAUUCAUGUAUGACAAUUAGUAAUUAUAUUCAUAUAUGAAAAUUAGUAAUUAUAUUCAUCCAUGGUACAAGUUGAUUGUAAUAUGGUAAGCAUUUGAUAUAAGAAACACUUAAAGAAACUAAACAAGAACUUUAUAUCUCAUAUAUAGAAAAUAUUGAAAAUGGCUUAAAUUUUAUUUUUAAUAAAUAUAAUAAGAGCUAUGUAUGGAUCAAGCUAUAAAACCAACUAAUUUUUUUUGACCAAAAUACAAUUAAAAAAAUACUUAACAAUAUUAUGGUCAUUUUUACAUUGGUUUUAGUACUAAAACUCAAUCACAAGAUAUUGUCUUACAUAAAAUACAAGAUCCAUCCAAAACCACUAAAACAAGAAGUUGCUCAUGAAAAUGUUACAACAAUUGAUUUAGAUGCCAUAAUUAUUAAAAUUUACAUUAAAAAAUACCAACUAUUUAAUAUAUUUAUAGAUAGAAGAUCUUAAGUCAACAUGAUGGCAAAUUUUUCAAACUACCUUAGCUUGAAGUAAUUUUGUUUGUACUUUGCAUGGCUAAAAAUGUCCAAGUUAAGUCUUUGAUCAUAUUACAAAAUAUAAUCAUUGCAACAUAAGAGAUUUGAAGGUGUGUUAUAUUUUUUUGUAAUUGAAAUGCCAACCAAGAAUCACUUCUCAAGCAUCUUGAAAAGACCAUGGUUGUGAAAUAUAAAUGCAUCUCAUGAUUCGUUCAACAAUAAAAUCACUAUUCAUUAUCAAUACCAAAAAAUUCAUAUCAAUUUAGAUAAUUAUAUUAUUCAAAAAAAGGCAUUGGAAAUUCAUCAAUUCACAUAUAAUAAUUAGCCUAUAGGAAUGAAUGUCAACUAAGAAAUGCUAGUAUUUGUAGUAGAAUCAAACUUCAUUUCUAUAGUCAAAAUAAAUUCUUUACAUAUACUUGCUAAAUUCACUCUCAAGCUUUAAGAUAGCCUUAUCAUCAAUAAACAACUAAUACAUAUCAAACUUUAAGAAAAAAUUAUUAUAAGAUAGUCGCAUAAUUUAAGAAAAAAAGUAAAAUUAAUUAAUCUUAAAAUAUUCAUAGAAUUCAAAUAUGUUAAGAUAAAUAUCAAUACAUCUAAAAAAAUAAAUAUUGCAAUAAUAUUUUUCUUCCAUGAAUAUCAAGAUAUUUUUUUAUAGGCACACAAAGAUAUAAAGAGAAUAUUUUCUAAGUUUGUUAAACAUUAGAUUGAUCUUAUCCUAAAUACCAUACAAGUUCAAUUACAAUAAUUUUGAAUGAAUUCCAAUUAUGUACAAAUUAUGAAGAAGGAAUUAGAUAAGUUUUUAGAAGCCAAUUUCAUCUUAUUGUUGGAUUAUGCCUCAUGGUUAGUACUAAGAGUUAUCAUUCUAAAAAAAACUAAGUGCAUUAUAUAUUUGUCUAGAUUCUUAUAAAUUAAAUGCCACUACCAAAAAGAUUAUUAUUCUCUUAUAUAUAUAAAAGAGAUAAUUGAUGAGGUAGCAAGCCAUGAAGUGUAUAAUUUUAUAGAUUGUUCCUUGAGAUACUAUCAAAUAGCUAUGGCAUCCAAAGAUAAGAAUAAGUUUGCCAUCUCUACAAAAUCAAGACUAUUUCAAUUCGAACAAAUAUUAUUUGAAGCAAAAAAUACAUCAUUGAUGUUCUAUCUUUAGAAUAUAUUUAGACAAUGGUAUAAUAUACAAGCCCAAAGAAAUUCAUGUGUAUCAUCUCCAACAAAUAUUUGAACCAUGUCAAUGGUAGAACAUUAGCUUCAAUGAGGAUAAAUGUAUCUUUUUAUUUUUUUCUAAACUUAUAUUUAUUCACAUCAUCUAUUGCUUAGAUAAAUUAUUAGACCUCAAAAAUAUUAAAUAAAUCUAUAAGAUAACAGAGCCUUGUAAUCAAAAAGUAAUUGAAAGUAUACUUAAGAUUGCAUAGUUUAACAAAGUCUUUGUAAAAAAUCUAGUCCAUUUCAUCUCUUUAAUCUUAGAACUUAAAAAACCUAAAUAUAAAUAUAAAAUAUAUUAUAAUCUAGUAGCAACUAAAGUUUUUGAAGAAGUCAAAUGUGCUAAUACAAAUAAUACAAUAAUACUUGUUUCCAACUAAAAACUUCUUUUUUUCAUAUAUAUGGAUGCUUCUAAAAUUACAAUAGGCAUAAUUCUUAUAUAAAAUCAUAUGAAAAAAAUAGAUUAACUUAUAUUAUAUACAAGUCAAAGAUCAAAUCUAAAUAAGCAAAAUUAUUCAACCACAGAAUGUAAGGCAUUUGCAAUAGUCUAUGCCAUAAAGAAAUAAAAAUAUUAUCUACUGAAGAAUAAAUUUUAGUUUGAUGUCAACCACCACAAGCUACUUUACUUAAUCAAUCAAUAUGUAAUCAUAAGAUAAAUAGUGGAACAAAUAAUACUGCUAAUAAUAUAUAAUUUUAAAGUUUUUUUAUUUUAAAAAAUAGAAUAUAUUUAUUGAUUACUUCUUGUAAAUAUUCAAUUUGACAACCAACUUUAAAAUCAAUAAAUCUUCUUUGGAUCCAUGUAUUCAAAAUAUUGUUGUAGAUAAUACAUUAGUCAAAAACAUUUAGAUGUAAGAUUUAAUUAAUUAUCUAACUAUGAUACAAAUUCCUUAUAUAUUCUUUGGCUUUCAUUGAAUCAAUUUUUUUGCAAAGUUCUCACAUAUAUCUGCAUCAAUAGGAAGUUUUAUAAACUUAGAAUAGACUAUAUUAUGUUGUUGUAUUAUAAUACAACUAUAUGAUGAAAAUAUAAUCAAAAAUAAAUUUCUAAUUAAUAUCUAAUUAUCUUCAUUCAAUAAUAAUUCAAGAUAUUUAAAAAUUAUUUUUAUAAAAGCCUUUUAGUUUAUUCUCUUAUCUUAAUAGUUAGUACGUUAAAGGUUUGUUAGUAAUUUUACCUUCUAGGUUAUGGAGAUGCUUUUACUCCUUUAGAAAGACCAUAAAUUGAUAAAAUCAAGUUAGAAGAGAUAAAUAAUUAGCAUGAUUGAUACUAGAAUUAAGUUGAAGAUAGGAUUGGGCUAAAAAAUCCCUACAAUAAAUUAGAUUGAUAUUUGGGGGUCGAAUGUUUAUAAGAUAGGAUUGAAAUCAAACCUCUAGCCACUUAAACGACCGCCUAGGGCAAAAAAAGAGGGCAUUUGAAGAUCAGUAAUUAGAAUUUGAGAGCUAGCUUUAAGUUAAUUCCAAAAGUGUAAGACUUAUUGUCAAAAGAUUUGCAAUGACUUUGAAAUUAUUGUUCAAAUUCAAGGUUUAUAUCGAUGAUUUGUAAUUUAUGCAAUACAAAUAGGGCUAGUGCUCUUGGCUAGUUUAUACAAUUGGUAUUACAUUUAUAGUUCAAAAUUUGAAAAUGCUUGGUUAAUUAGAUGUACUAAGUGUAUGUAAAAUUUUGUGAUAAUCUGAUAAUGCAAUUGAAAGAUAUCUAAGUUUUGGUGUAAGAAGGUAUUAGGAGUUAAAAAUUUGGGGUUGGAUAGAUUUUCUAUUAUAUCUAAAAAUCUACUAGUCGGAUCAAAGUAAAAUUUGGCAUAGUAUUAGAAGACUUAAAGAUCAAGCUACACACCAAUUUUGAGUUGAAGUUAAUUGUUGGAGAAGGAGAAAUCACUAAUAGAAUAUUUAUAUCAAGUUUUAAGUUGGCGGCUAAGUAAUAUUAGUGUGGUUUUUGGUCGUUUUCUCAUGAUCUAUAAGUUAGAUUGGAAUGAAUUCUUUUAAGCACAUAAAAGAUUUAUAGUGGCAUUUGUAUGCAAAAACUUUUUCUAAGUGGAUGGUUACAUUAAGAGCUACAACUUGCUAAAACUUAAUGAUUAGGAUUAGGACUUACAAAGAAAAAUCAAAAUUACCUAAUUAUGAAAUUAAUAAGGUAAUUGGAAUUUAUGUAUGAUUGAAAUUACUAAGAAGAGUAUUUUUGAACACUUUUUAUGGGAUUUAAGUACUUUUGAAUUAAAAUUCAAAUUACAUUCACUUUAUAAUGAUGAAUCAUAUUAGAAUUCUUGGAUACUUGUAAAAUACAACUUCACCUUCCAUAAUGAGAUGCCCAGUGCAUUUUCAAACAUAAUGACAUGUAAUACAUCACAAUUGUACAUCUCUAAAACUCAAUACCAAGAGUUGAUUCAAAUUAUGCAUGACAGUCCUACAUGCUAAUAUUAAGCAAUCAAUACAACUAUUCAAGAAUUUCUUAUUGCCCAAUAUUAGUAGCCUACACUCCAUAAAGUUAUUUAUAAAUAUAUCUCUUUCUACCAUAUUUAUCAAAUUAUCAAAUUUGGAUUUGUACAUGUGAAGCAAGCUCUUUUACGACCUAUAUCUCAACUUGUUUUAUUUAUGCAUUGCAGCCUAAACUUUCUUAGUCAUAUUAAAUCAUUCACUUGAUGGCACAAUAAAUACAUAAUUGUGGCAAAAAAAUAUGUAAUAAAAUAAUAUAAAGCUCGUACAUUAAAAUAAAAUAUAAUAUUUUUCAUCCCUAAAUUCUUCUACAAAAACAUAAUCACAAGAUAAAUAGUACAAAAGUAAAAAUUCAAUGAUUCUAAAUUUUUUAGAAUAAUUUUUUCAAAGUAUAUUACUUAUUACAUAAUAACAAUAUUUUAAAUCUCAAAUUAAUUUUUUAAUAGUUUAAUUGGAAGAUAGCUUCUUUAUGCCAAUUUUAUUUUUAAUAAUUUUCUAUCAAAAAAUAAGGUAUAAGUCACUAAACAAAAUUUCAAGCUCUAAUCUAUUAUUGUAACAAGUUAUAAGAUGGUCAAAAAUCUUUGUAAUAUAUUUCAUUUUCUUGCAUUAAUUUUCACAUUGAUUUUUAUUCAACAAAUAUUUUUUUAGUAAAACCACAAAUGAUUUAAUAUAGACUUUAGAGCCUUCCAAAUUACAUCCACAAAUACCUUCUAUAUAUGAUAUUUUGUUAAAUUUUUCAAUAUGAUUAUUGUAAGCUUUAUAAUACUUGAAGAUCUUAGGAUAAAAAAUCUAUGUAAACAAUUUAAAAUAAUAAAUAUUUAUUAUUUGAUUAAUUUAAAAAUAUAUUUUUUAAUGAACUAAUAAAAAAUAAUCCAAUUUCAAUCUAUUAUAAUUUGUAAUAAGUCACAAAAUAGAUUUAUUUUGUAUUUUAAGAGUAUUCAUCAAAUAAUCUUUUAUUUAUAUUUCUUUACAAAGCAUUCAAUUUUCUACUUUUUACAUUAAAUUUAUAAUUCUAAAAAAAUUAUUUGAUCACAAAUUUAUUUUUAUUUUAUUUAAGAUUAGUAUUUAAUUUAUUCAUAUAUUUUAAUAAAAUAAUUUUAAUUUAAAAUUUUAUAAUAAAUUUUUAAAUUUUUAAAUUAUUAUUUUAAAUCUUUAAUGGUGAUUAUUUAAAAUUUAAAAUUUUAUGACAUAAUUAAAACAUUCUUUUAAAAUCUUAAUCAAAAUAACUUACAACCAUCUUUGUUUCUUACCAUUUUUUUUAAUUCUAUUAAUUCAGACAUAAAAAAUAGGACUGAUUUCUCUAUUAAAGUCAAUUUUCUUUAGUCUCUUAGAAAUUAUCUUAAAUUUUAAUUUAAACAUGAAAAAUUUCAUAUAGCACAGUCAUUUAUUUAGACAUAAAUAUCUAAUUGAUAGACCUAGUAGUAUUAACUAUAUUAAAUCAUCACCAAGUUUUUAUAAUAUCCAACUUAUAAAAAAAAACAAACAAAACAAACAAAACAAACAAAUAAAUAAUCAGAAUAAAUUUUAAAAAAUUAUUAAUCUCUAUUCCAACUCAAAGCUCUUUUUUAAUAAUUUUUUUUGUAAUAACUUCUAUUAGUUCUUUUAUAUAGUACUACUAUUAAGUAAAAUAAACUAAUUAAUAUCUCUUUAAAAAACUUAUACUUUUGAACAAAUAAAUCAAAAAUUUCAAUGCCAUUGAUGUAUAUUUUAUGAAUAAAAUUUUAAAAAUUAAUUAUAAUAUAUAUAUGAUAAAACAUUCUAAUUCUAGAUUCUAAUUACAAGACAAAUAUAAUGCAUUAUUUUUAUUUUUAUUAAAGUAAACAAAUAUAGACCAUAUUAAAUAUACUAAGGAAACUUAGUGCAAGUAGUAUUCCUAGAUUAGAAGUCUAAGGUAAAAAGUUAACCAAUUAAUUGACUAGACAUGAUCUUGAAUUUCAAUCAUUCACAAGUUGGAAGCAAAAGACAACAAUUAUAAAUUGUUUGCAAAUUAAGAGGUUUUAAGCAUUAGGAGGAUGAAUUUUACAAAAUGACAAACUCUAAAAUCAUUUAUGAAUAAUAUUGUGAAUCAAAGUUAUUUGUGAACCAAUUUUAAGUGCAACUUAACUAUGAUUUUUUUUACAUUAUUAAGUAAUCUUUUAAGUCCUAAAUUUUCUAAUUAUUUUUAUUAGUUUGUUAUAUGAUAUCUAUUUUUACUUGUAUAAAGAUCUAAUAGUAGAUUCUGUUUGAGAUUAAAAAUAACUUUAUGGUUUUUUCCUAAUAUAUAUACAUAUAUUUAUUUAUAUUCUUUUAAAUUAAUAAUCAAAUUUAAUUUAAUAUUUUUUGAAUUUAGAGACAUUUCAUGUGGAUUAAUUUGAUAUUAAUGCGUGUUAAGGUAUUAUCUACUAAAAUGAUGUCUCUAUUACAAAUUCACAAUGGCAGUUGUCAAGAGACGAUGCCAAAUUUUACACUCACUAGUUUGUAUCUUUGUUCCUCUUUCUUGAUUUAUUUAGUCAUGUCGUUUCUAAAAUUUUAAAACCAAACUUUCUCUACUUUACAAAUUUUAAAAUAUAUAUAUAUAUAUUGAUUAUAUUUUCAUUUGUUUAGUAUUUUGAUAGUUUUAGACUUACUGGUUCUUAUAAUUAUUUUCUACUACCUUUUAUAAUAAAGAUAAUAAUCUGUGUGUAAUUUGAGUUGAUAUAUAUAUAUAUAUAUAUGAAAAUUGAGUAUAUAUGUGUAAUCAAACUUCAUUUCUUUUAAGAAACCAAAGGUUUCUAAUCCAACAAAAAUAUUAUUUUUAUUAUUUUUAAAAAGAUUUAAUAACCAAAGAAAAAAUAAAAAUUUCUUAUAUCAAUAAUAUGGAGCAUCACCUAGAAUUCUUUGUUGAAGUUUUGGUUAGUCUUUUGGCUUUACAAAACUUGUAAAAAGUUAGAUCAUGUUAUGUCUUAAGUCAAUCCACCUACAUGCUUUCAAAGCAACUUUUGUGGCUAAUCCCACUUCCAGGCAGAACUGCGAAGAAUAUCCUAACAAAGACUAUGUACACUGUCAGAACCGUUGGCCAUCCCGCUGACGACCACACACAAUCCGUUGAAGCUUUCCGACUUGAUUUCCUAGUGCCAGAAUGUCACAAUGUUGGCUAUGGCGAUCACUUGGAUCAGCUUGCAUUUGCUGUCUCCAUCUCAUUGCUUACCCCAUCUGGACUGUAUUGGGGUCUCCUUGCAAUCCAUCAAGGCUUGCGAAGGGAAACAUCACUCUAGCUAGCUAGCUUGCCAUGGAUCUUAAGAAUUCGCAAUCUUGCACCGAGUGGGUCCAGCGACAAAUUGGAGUCCAGUUAACUUGGGCAAUUCUGGUGACCGCGGUUGCAACAAUUGUGGUACUCUAUGUUGCGGUGGUGUAUCAGCGUCGAAAGAAGCUUCCUCCAGGUCCCUGGCCGUGGCCCAUCGUUGGAAACUUGCCAGUCGUGUUCGGGUCCCAAAAGCACAAAUUGGCCCACAAGUAUGGAGGCCUCAUGUAUCUUCAACUAAGUACGUCUGCAUUUGGUUGAGAGGGACGAAUUUUCUCACGCAUUGGCUAGAAUAUGCAUCCAUUUGUCACAUGUGAUUGGUUCAUGACUACUUCGAGGUUCUGUAAGGAUGACGCCUAUAUUGAGAGUGCAACCAGGCCAAAAGCCAUGUCUGGUAGUUUGGACUGCUGCGGCGGCCAAGGAGAUUUUCCGCAAGCACGAUGCUACUUUCGCAUCGCGACCGUCGAUGCUUAUCUUCUACAUUCUCACAGGUGGUAGAUACAGAAACUUGGGCUUCGCACCUUACGGACCUUUCUGGCGCCGUUUUCGACGAAUUGCCAACACGCAGUUGUUCUCCCCAGCUGUGCAUGCUUCACAUGAGCCGAUCAGAGAAAGGGAAAUUCACAGCAUGUUGCGAGUUCUCCUGGAGGACUCUUACAAGGGCAAGCCCAUCAAUAUCAAGAGCUGGCUCACCUCAGUGACAGCCAACAACAUGACCAUGAUGCUCACCAACAAAAGGAUCUUCGAAAUAGGCGCUGACAACGACGAGAAAAAGAGGGAUUUAGAGGACUUGAUGCGCCGCACCUUUGCCUUAAUGUGAAGCUUCAUCAUCAGCGACUAUGUUCCUUGGCAAGAACUUUCAAGUAGACGAGCACAGGAAGCGAGCGAAAGAAAUGGACCCCAACGACACGGAGAUGCCAGAUGACAUCGAUGUGUUGUUGAAUACGUCUCUCGAUGAUGGUGACUGGCUUGCUGACAGAGACAUAGCAUCCCUCGUUGUGGUAAGGGCCUCCCUGUCCCACUUGAUGUCGCAGAAAUCGAUCGAGCUGCUUAAUCAAAACCAAGAAGUCGGUCUGUUGGUUUUUGUCAGCGAUGACAACAAUGAGCAUUGGACAUACUUCAGGGCUUGAUGAAUGCGGGAACAGAUACGAGCGCCAACACUGUGGAAUGGGGGAUGGCGGAGCUAAUGGCGAAUCCCGAAAUCAGGAAGCAAGCACAAGCAGAGCUGGAUGCAGUCGUGCAGGACCGCCUCGUGAAAGAAUCAGACAUCCCCAACCUUCCUUUUCUGCAAGCCAUCGUGAAGGAGACAUACCGAAUGCAUCCUUCGGUCCCUCUCUCUCAACGCCAUGAAUCACACCAGCCGUGCGUGAUCUCGGGGUGGGAGUUCCCAGCCCUCACAGAACUGAUUUUGAACCUCUACGCCAUCCAUCGCGACCCUAGCGUGUACGAGAAUCCAGACAAGUUUGACCCCUCCAGGUUUACAAGGAAUCCAAAGGUGGAUCCUUUGGCGGGGAACGACUUUUACGAGCUCAUUCCGUUCGGCGCUGGGCGACGGAUGUGUGCGGGGCAUCACCUUGGCAACGUGACAGUGACGUCCAUGCUGGCGAAUCUGCUGCAAUGCUUCGAGUGAGAGCGGGGACGCGGUGUACAUGUCGGACUUCUACAGCUUCAUGACCUUCCGCCAGAAACCCUUGAUAUUGCUCGCCAAGCCCCGUCGCCCUGCCUUCCUGCUCCAGGCAAUGCCAUAUCUCGAGAGAGUAUUACGAGUGAUUUGAAUAUUGUUUUGCAAAAGAAGUAAUGCAAUGAAUCUUAUAUUAAGUAAGCAUGACACUCAUCUAAAUUUACAUUGAGCAUUGAACGGGGUGAAAUAGCGUAGCAGAAGAUGGAUCGACGCCUAAAAAAUGAUGGGAAGAACAAGGCCUCGUUUCCCUUCUCCUUUGUUUUCAGUUUUCACAAGUGAUGAAUACAAAUUGACCAUUUUUUAAAGUUUUGUGUAUGAACUAGGUAACAUUAUAUUUAAUUAUUAAAAACUUGGUGUUGAGUUAAAGAUGAAGAAAUUUAAGGUAACAUAAUAUUAAUGUUUAAGAUAGUUGUGAAUGGAGGAUAGCCUAUCAUUUAAUGUGGAAGUUAUGGAAACAUUUUUAAGAUAGAAAAAGAGGUUUGAAUGUUUGAAGUAAGCUUUACAAAGAUUUAAAAAUAGAAGAGAGUUGGAUAAAGAUGAAAUAAAUAGUGACUAUAAGAUUUAGAACAUAUUAAGAAUAAAUUUUAUUAAUUUAGAAGUUAUAAUAAAAUAUUUUUAGAUAUAUGUUGUUAUUUUUGUAUUAAUGUAUGUUUUUAAGGCAUGUUGAAAAAAAUAACACUGCAAUUAUUAGCUAAUAGUGAUAAUAAAAUUAAAAAAAAAAAAAAAAAAAAAAACUAAAACAAGAUGUAGAAUUUAUAUUAUAUACAUUUAUUUUCUAAUUUUUAAUCAAAGAAGAUGAAUUUGAAACUAUAAGAGUAUAUGAUGCAUUACAAAACAUGAGUAGAACGAUUCUUGAAAUCAAAUGAAGUAAAAAAAAUACACAAAUGAAGACUUUGAAUAUAGGAUUAUUUUAUUAAUCAUCAAAUAAGGUAAUUUAUAUAGCUAUUAUCAAAAUGACAUUAUCAUAUAACAUAAAUUGUUGCUUGACAAUGGAUCAAGCACCUAGUAGUGGAAAGUAAAUUGAAAAUGCAACAACAAGUUCCUACCAAGCCUAAUAGAAUCUUAAAUAAAUUCUAAAUAAUCUUUAAAAACCCUAAUCAAAUUUUAACUAAUCCAAAAAAAAUUUAAAAGAAAUUACAAGAGAAAUAUAAAGAAGUCAUAAAUUAAUUUUAAAAAAUAAUAAUAAAGAAAUCUUAAAGAAAUACAAAAUAAAAACCUUAAAAAAAUAAAAAUAAUCUUAAAAAAUACUAAAAUAAAAAUCUUUAAAGAAAUAACAAAGAAUCAUUAAAUAUUAAAAAAAGAAAUUAUAUAUAAAUCCUAAAUAAAUCUUAGAUAAAUCUUAAUCAAAUCUUAAUAUAGCCAUAAUUAAACCUUAAUUAAAUCCUAUUUAACUUAAAUCUUAGACCAAACCUUAAUAAAAUCCUAAUAAAAUAUUAUUGAAAUCCUAAUGAAAUCCUAAUCAAAUCAUAGAUCAAAUCUCAAUCAAAUUCUAAUCAAAUCCUAAAUUUUAAUUAAAUCCUAAUAAAAUCUUAAUGAAAUCUUAACCAAAUCUUAAACCAAAUCCUAAAACAUCUUAAAUAAAUCUUAAUCAAUUGCUAUAAUUAUUUUAAAACCUCAAUAAAUAUUAAUCAAAUUGUUGAUCUCAACUAAAGCUUUAUUCACAUCUCAAUUCAUAAGGAAUUAACAAGCAUAAAAAUUUUGAAAAAUAUUGAUACUUAAAUUCAAAAGAAAAAGUUCUUAAGUCGUUUGAAUGUUGGCAACCAUCCUUCUUCAAUUUAAAUAUUGAUAUUCCAAUAGCUAUUUCUCCUUGCUAAGUCAUUUAAUUUCCUUAGAAAUUGGCUAGUGAAUAGAAUUCUUAAUCCAAAUAGCUAUCACCAAUUUUAGCUUCAAUUAAAUAAUCACAUGUUGUAAGAUUGUCAAAAACAUGAACUAGAAAAAGAUACAUAAAUCUAAGAAAUCUGUGUAAAAAAAAAAAGUGACAAAAUAAAAAUAAAGUAGUAUGUAUAUUAAAAAGAAACUGGAAUGGCUAUCGCCAAAAGAUGAGGAAACUAGAGACUCUUGAAUCUAGAUUAGAAGCAAGAAAAGAAUUGACAAGAGUGAAGAAGGCUUCACUCUUGCCUCUAUAUAUACUAUCUAAGUAAGGGCUAUGUGGCGAUGUUCUACAGAAUCUCUAAUAUGUGUUCACUUUGCAAGAUACAUGCAUUAACUUAUAUGGCAUAUUUUCUAUGAGUGUGCCACAUAGUUAGCUUAUUCUUGAAAUUACCAAUAUGUGUGGCACAUGGCUAACUUAUUGACUAUGUAUCUAACCUAAGAAGUCAAUUAUAGACACUUAUAAAAUCAAAGUAGUAUCUAUAAAGCUUCUAAAAAGCUUCUAUAGAAGAUGUUAUAGAACGUAUAUAAGACAAGGAUUUAAGAUCAAAAAAUGGAAUUAGCUCAAUAUUAGAAUUAAGGAAGAAGAUCCUAAAUAAACCACAAGAAGUGAAUUGUCAAGUUUGAGGAUCCCCUUAGCCUCAACUCCUAUAUAUACUAGGUCCUAGGAAGCUUCUUGAGAAGUUUUUAUGAGGCUUGGAAACAAAGCAAGCCUAAGAUCCUUCUUCAACAACUUCCUAAAUCAUCUAAAGCCUCCUAGAACCUUCUAGGAUCUCUUAUGACCUUCUAGAAUUUUCUUAGAAUCUACUAGAACCUUUCGAAAUCUUCUAGGAUCUAUAAGAAUCUUUUUAGAACCUUUUAGAAUCUCAUAGAAACUUCUCAAAUCUUCUUCAGUUGUAUGUCCAUGAUAUCACUUCUUCUUCUAGCUUCGAGGUCACUGAGAAGCAAUAUUGGUACAAGUCAAUAUAUACGCAAGAAGUUGAAGAUUUGUUGAAUGGUGUCGACUAUAUACUUCAAUUUUUUUUUCCAAGGAAUAUAGUUCAUAGGCCCUUAAAGCCAUCAAUAGUGCCUCAAGCCUUCUGCUUGUAACCAAACAUGAACUUCGGUAUCUUUGUUAUGGAAUUAUCUUACAAAUACUCUUUCUUAGUAUCUUUCAUAGGCAAGUUCUACUUCAAAUAUAAUUACCAGCUACUUAUUACAAGAUAUCCUUCAACGUCUUUAUAUUUUAGGUGUCUUUUUAUCUCAAGGUUAUCUUCGUUAGCUAUUUGAUUGAGAUAGUAUGAUUAGCAAGGUGUCUAUCUGUGGACUAUUCAUAUCACAUAAAAUAAAUAAGACCAAAAGAAUAUAAAUAGGCUAUAGUCAUGAACUCCAACAAUUGAUUUAUACUAUUCUAAACAUUUGAAAAAAAUUUCUCUUCAAAGGUUGCAUCCUUCCCUUUUUCAUGACUCGAAGAACUAAGAAACUUCAUGGUAAAGCCAUCUUAUCAAGCUAUUGUUCCUCAUUUUGCCGCUUUUGGUCUGGAUGAAUGUCGUUGAUGGAACUUUUGAACCUUUAUUUGUCCAUUUAUAAGGUUGCCAACUAGUUCUCACGUAUAAUUGUUGAUAUCAUAUCCAUGCCAAUGGACCAGAUAUUCAAGGCUUUCAUAUCUUAUCCUUGAACCUAAUACCUUUUCUACUUCAAAUUCAACAUGAUCAUUGAUUUCAAUCAUAGGAAGUAGUGGUUGUCUUCGACCUGGUAUGUUCCAUUCUUUAUACUUUUUCAAAAGUAAAAUAUAAAAUGGAGGAUGUUCCUUCUCCAAUUCAUCUACUACUAGCUUAUAACGUUGUUGAGUCCUUUUUAGGUGAGUCUUCAUGGUUGCUUGAAGUUUGGCUAUUUUCAUAGCAAACUCUUCUAUUAUUCAAUUUGUCGACUUUGAAGGCCAUAUCAUAUCGAACUCUAGAUGAUGACCAUAGUUUGAGUAAAAUGAUAUUUGUUGCAUAGAUGCAUGGAUUGUGUUGUUAUAUGUGAACUCCAUCAAUGACAAGUAGGAAGUCCAAUCGUCUUGUUCAUAGUUGAUGGUGCAAUUCAAAUAUUACUUAAAAAUUUCAUUGACCUGCUUUGUUUGGCCAUCAGUUUAAGAAUCAAAGGAAGAAGAAAGGUUGAUGUCAACCUUAAGAAUCUUGAAGAAUGCCUUCCAAAACUAUGAUAUAAAUUGUGGCCCAUGAUUCGAUACAAUAUUGUUUGGUAACCAAUGGUAAUGAUAGACAUUAUUAAUAAAGAGUCUUAUCAUCUCUUCAAUAGUAAUUGACUUCUUGCAAGAUAUAAAAUAUAUCAUCUUGGUCAAUUGAUCAACAACUAUGAAGAUAGUAUUAAAUGAGUUUGAUGGUAGAAGAUCCAUAAUGAAAUCCAUAGACAUAGAUGAUCAUGGUUGUCUUGGAAUAAAAAAUGGUUUAAGAAGUCUAUAUGGCCAGUAUUGAGGAUACUUUGACCUUGAACAAGUAUCACAUGAUAGUACAAAUUCUUUAAUGUCUUUCAACAUUUUAGGCCACCAAAAGUCUUUAGACAGAAGUUCCAAGGUCUUGUUGAAUUUGAAAUGUCCAGCUACAAGGAAAUCAUGGCAUGUUUGAAAAAUGCGCUUGUGAGUUGGCUCUUCAAAAAUGAACAAACAUUCUUCAAAAAAUAAGAGGUUGUCUUCAUACUUAAAUUUAGAAGAUUCUUCAAGAAGGUUGUUGGCAAGAUGCUUGAUAUUAAGAAUAAGAGGGUCCAUCUUUGAGGCUUUACGAACUUGAUCAAGAACUAAUAAAUCCACAUGCAUUGAUAUAUUGGUUGCUUGAAGAUGAAAUUGCUCAGGCUUUAAUAACAUUGCCCAUUGUUGAUGAUAUGCUGCCUUGCCUUCUUUUGGUUCAAGGUAGAAACAUCUUAAUAAUGAAUCUAACAAACUUUCUUAAGUCCCAGGUCGGUAUGUGAUACAAAAGCCAAAUCAUAAUAAAGAUAUAUUUCAAUGUAUUUAAUGACAGUUCAAGACUCGGGUUGAUAUGAAGUAUUCAAGAUUCUUAUGAUUUAUAUAUAUAGUCACUUGAUGAGAGGUGCCUUCAAAAAAGCAGCACUAUUCUUAGAAAGAAUCUAUGAUAAUAAGUAAUUCUUUCUUGUGGAUUUUGUAGUUAAUUUUUGCCACUGAGAAUUUUUUAGAAUGGAAUGCAAUUAGAUGAAGUUUGUCAUCUUUUCCAUAUUAUGACAAGCCUGCUUCCAAUGCAAAGUUUGAAGCAUUGGUCUCUAUAAAGUAGGAUUUAUUAAAAUUUAGAUGUAUCAAAAUUAGAUCUAUUGUGAAAGUAUCUUUUAAGCUUUGAAAAUCUUUCUCUGCUUUGGGAAUCCAAUCCAACUUAUUCUUGCAUGUCAACCGCAAAAGUAGAGCAGUGAUCUUGGAGUAAUUCUUAACAAAAACCUUAUAAAAGUUUACAAAUCUAAGAAAGCAUUGGACAUCACCUAUAAUUUUUGGUUUUAUCCAAUUGAUGAUUACUUGUACCUUCUUUGGAUCCAUAAAAAGGCCUUUGUUGGAAAUAAUAUAUCCAAAAAAUUUGCCUUGAGGUGCAAGAAAUACAUACUUCUUUAGUUUUGCAUAUAGCCUAGCACUUCGUAGCUUUUUCAUUACAAGGCGGACAUAUUUUUUGUGGUCCUCCGGAUUCUUAGAAAAGAUUAGAAUAUCAUCCAAAUAGAUUAUAACAAAGUCAUUGAGAUGCUCACAAAUUAUGUCAUUCAUUAAAUGUUGGAAUAUGGCUGGUGCAUUGAUAAGUCCAAAAAGCAUGACAUUGUAUUCAAAAAUGUCCAUACAUGGUGCAAAAUGUUGUCUUCCAUUCAUCUCCCUCUUUUAUUUGUACCAAGUUAUACACACCUUGUAAAUCAAUCUUUGUAAAGAUCUUUGCUUAGCUAAAUUGAUCAAGAAGUCUAGAUAUCAAAAGCAAUGGUUAUCAAUUCUUUAUUGUGAUUUUAUUAAGACAGUGAUAAUUAACAUACAUCCGUAAAGACCUAUCUUUUUUCUUCACAAAUAAUAUCGGAGCAUCAGUUGGUGACUUGAAAUGUCAAAUAAAAUUCUUAGCCAAAUUUUCAUCAAUGUACUCCUUUAAAGUCGGAAAUUCAUUCUGGGAUAAAUUGUUGAUGGGUCUGAAUGGUGGUUGAGCACCUUCUUGAAGGUCAAUUAUACAAUCGUAAGGGCGAUGUUUUGGCACGAUGUCUACAUUCUUUUUUUCAAAUAUAUCUAUAAAAUCUUUAUAUGCUUUUAAAAUUAUUGUUGUAGCAACUACAUAUUUCAAUUAUAGAUUUGCAUAGACAGCAAAUAUAAUGCCCUAUUUGGUCGCCUUCACAAAUGCUCUAGCUCCAAUAAAUAAAUAUUGUUUAAGUUUUGGCUUGUUGGAUGUUAGAAGUUUCUUUUAUAGAUUUGAGGGUUCUAUGAUCUAUUAGAGAAAAUUCUAACUUUUGAGAUACCCAAUCUAUCUACAAAUUAUAUUUUUUAAACCAUAAGAGUCUUAAAAUGACUGAACUUGAUAAUGUUCUAAUGACGUUGAAUACUACUUGGUUGUUAUGGUUAUCAAAGGUUAUUUCUAAUAGAAUCAUUUUAUGAGUGAUGUUUGUAGAGGAUAAAGGUUGAUUAUUUAUUACUUCUAUAUAUACGACUUUGGAUUUUUUAACUAUACAAAUUUUAUAUGAUCUAAAAAAUUCUUUGUCAAUAAAACAUAUAGAGACUCUGGAGUCAAGUAAUGCAUGACACUCUAAUUUUAUGACUCCUAACUAUACAGAUAUAGUAAAAAAAUGUGAAUGGCUGGCAGAAAGUACAAGACUUUUUUUGAUUUGUGGUAGUAAAGAAUCCAACUACAUGGUCCCUACUGUGGCUGCAUGCCUAUGUUUUUCUACAUAGCUUUUGAUGAAGUGGCGGCACUCCUCAUUCAAUAUGUAUGCUGACAUUUCUCUGAACAAUUAUCAACCUUGUGGCCAAGUUUUUUAAAAUAUAAGUAUAGACCAAGUUCUCUUUGAUAUUUUUUUUCUUCCUCAGAAAGAUGUUUGAAGCAAACUACAUCAAUCUAUACAUCUUCUGCUUCCAAAUGCUCAUCAAAAUUGAAUGGUGAAGAAGUUGUAGAAUAAUUGAUAUAUACAUGUGGCAUAAUUGAAGAAUUUUUAUCUUGUCAUUAUUGAAAUAAAUGAUUAUCGUACUUCAUAGUUUGACUAAUAGCUUCAUUGAGUAUUUGAGGAUCUGGCAUAGACAAUAUAAGUACUUAAUAUUUUCUCUUAAUCCCCAAUUAAAUUAGCUCAUCAAUGCAUCUUCUCCAAAUGAAAUUUUGAGGGGGUGCUAUCAAACUUUUUCUAAAGACUAAUCCUUGGUUCUUUUGUUGUUAUUGUUGUCAGAUCAUUGCCUUAAAUGGAUGCAUCUUUCAUAUUUGUUGAAGCAGAUAUAGUCGUUUGAGAAUUUAAAACCUCUAUUAUCAUUUAAUGUGGUGGUUGAGGCACUUCGGCUCCUUGACCAUUAUGUAUGAAUAUAUAGUUCUUCAUUCUCUUUUAAUAAAAUCUCUAUUCUGAUCUUCAAUGCUUUAAGAAUAUUAAUAAUAGAAUCUAAUUUGAUCUCUUUGGAAUCUAUCAUAUUGACUUUUCUACCUUUUUCCAUAGAAAAUGAAAGAAAUACAUGCAUUCAAAAAAAAAAAAAAAAAAAAAAAAAAAAACUUGAUCAUUAUAUAAAGAAAAAAAAAUCAAAAGAAUAUUAAAAAAAAACAAUAUUAGUAUAGGGAGGGUAAUUUGCAACCUCUAGAAUGUUAUAGUACUUCCAAGAAGAAGGAUAAUGUAUUCUUUGUUAAGAAAGACCAAAAUUUUAAUAUUAUUUUAUGGCAACCUCGACAAACUAUUAGGAAUCGUAUAUAAGACAAGGAUUCAAGAUAGAAAAAUGAAAUUAGCUUGAUAUUAGAACAAUAAUUGGAUACAAAGCAAGAAGGUCUUGGCUAAACCAUAAUAAAUGAGUUUUUGAAAUUGAGGAUCCCCUCAACCUCGACUCCUAUAUAUACUAGGUCCUAGGAAGUUUCUUGAGAAGUUUUCAUGAGGCUUGGAAAUAAAGCCAACCUAAGUUCUUUCUUCAACAACUUCCUAAAUCAUGUAAAGCCUCCUAGAACCUUCCAAGAUUUCCUUUGACCUUCUUGAACUUUCUUAGAAUCUACUAGAACCUUCUAGAAUCUACAAGAACCUUCUUAGAAUCUUCUCGAACCUUCUUUAGUUGUAUGUUUAUAACAAAAGAUAUUAUGGAAUUAACCUAAUAUUACCUACUUUUGUAUUAACUUAUACUUAUAUAAAAUUACUUAUAUCAUAUAAGUAAUUAUUGGUUUACAUGUAUAUAUCAAUGACAAAGAUUAUAAAAAUCCUCACUAACCUUAAAUUUUAAUUAUGUGAGACCAUAGUCCACAAAAAUUCUCAUAACCAUCAAUUGAAUCAUUUGAUUAAUAUCAAAUUUUUCAAAUACAUUUAAAAAUAAAAAAUAACAAAUUGAAAACAUUUCAUUCAAAAGUAUGCUACGACAUUCACAAAAUCUUCAAAAAAAAAAAAAAAAAUCUUUUUUUUCUUUUUUUUAAAUUCAAAUCUACUAAAUACAUCUCUCACUUUAAAAAAAACCUUUCAAACCUCAAUAUGCCUUCAAAUCACAUAAAAUCAACUCUCUAAAAUCCUCUCAUAAGUUCCUUCUAAAAUCUCACUCUCUAAUCAAUCAAAGAACCUUGGAUCUUAUUUCAAUCUUGGUUCACAACUAAUCCACUCUAAGUGUUAAUUCUUAGUAUUUUGAGGUAAUUUUUGCUAAAUCCUAUUCUUAACUUCCUCCUAAAAAUAAAAAUAUUAAUUAUUUAUCUCAUUUAAAAAUAAUAACAUUCAAAUGAAAAUAGUAAUCAUACACUAGUGAUAUAUUUUUUCAAAUAAUAAAAAAAAUUCAAAAAAAUAUAUCAAAUAUAAAGACAACAAUGAAAAUAUUCUAAAAUUUGAUAAUUCUUCAUAGUUACUAAAUGAUUUAUGGCCAUAGCAAAAUAAAUAUCAAAUUGGUACUUGAUACUUUUUGAACAUGAGAGCCUAAUGGCUCCUUUCAUAAGAAAAUUUUAAUAAAAUUGUGAGCUAAAAUUGACCUCUACUAAUUGGAAGUUAUUAUAGUUCACAAGUAAAUUAACUUGUGAAUUUUAGUAGUUAAAGCUGUUAAUUAGAUUCUAAUCAAAUUAUUCUUUAUUCUUUUUAAAUAAUCCAAGUACAUGAUCAGUGAAUAAUAAUUCCCUGUGUGCAACAAUCUGCAAGUAAUUGACUCCUAAAUUCAACUUCCUAUCCAACCCUGUAAACUCAAUGCACAUAUUGUAAUCCACGAUUUACAUUAACUCCAUCGAUGAAUCUCAGCAAUGAGUCACCAAUUGCACAUCCAAAUUGCCUGAGCAUCACAGACAAUAAUAGAAUCUCUACAAAUCAUUGCAAUAUGAUCUACGGAUCUCCCAAAAGACGAACAACUCGAGUGGAUUGGAAGCAUCUACAGUUGCUUGCUGCUCAAAGCGACACAGCUGUCGAUCACACUUCUUGACUUCACGAUCUUUCUAUCUAAUAUUGUGUCGCUACUCAAGCUAGCACCGUCAACAUUUCUGCUUGCAUUGAUUUAAUCUACCAAUUGAAAUCAACAGGCAUUGAAGAAUGUCUUUCAGAUCUCGCCUCAAUUGCCGACUCAGCCUAUGUUCUAUCACCAGGGAACUACAACCAUCCUCAUUGGCUCGAGUUGGCACAGAACGCCACAAAAGCUACACCAGUUUUUUUUUGUAGAGCCAUCUUGAACAAUAAUCGUGAAUCUUGAACAUCAUCGCUGAAAGAUUCCAAUCGUAUUGUAUCAUGAACAAUGGCGAUACCCCUUGUUUUUUCUAGAUCACAAUCAAAGGAGAGAAACUACAAGACUGGAAGGGGGUGAGGGUUCUCAAUCUUCCCACUGCAACGCAUGAAAGCAUCAAGUUGUAAAGACCACUGCCAAUAACUAGCAGCCCUUGUCUAACCCUGUGGCGCUAAUCAGCAAGUAAAAAUGCGGAGCCAAGUCGUCCCAGCCAUACUCAAAAAAAAAAAAAAAAAAAAAAAAACAAGUGCAAGCAAACCUAGGUGCAGCCACAAAAUCAAGAACUAUAUGCAAGGAAGGAAAGUAAAAAAAAGGAUAACAACGCUAGAACAAACCCGGUCCGAUGCAUGAAGCACACACCGCAACAACAUGUGGCGCUCCUAACUCAGUACCAGAACCAAAAACAAGAGCAGAACUCCGUAGGAAUGGAGUCCAGAAUUCUCCUCGAAAAAAUCAAAAACAAAAAAAACAAAAAAAGGAAGAGAUCAGGACAUUCUAGAAUAGAACUGCGAGAGAGACAUGAGCACUGAAUCACAAAAGAAGAAAAAACAAAGCUACCCAGAUCCGACGCUCCCACUACAGAGCCGCCAAUGAGAGAAAACACCAUCGGCGGCCUACCGCUAGCAUCCCGUCGCAUGCAACAGCUACACCACCUUCGGAGCUUCUUCCAAACAUACAAACCAGAAAAAAUAGAAGUGCUGCACCACAUCACUCUAAAAAAAUAAAAUAAAAACACAGCAGAAUCCAACCUUUGAGGGUCAACCAAUGCCAAAAAGUAAGGUUUUUCUAGUCAUGCAGAACUUGCUACUUCUCCCACCAAUCGCAACUUCCACAAGAAAUCUCGAGUACUUCCUAUGCAAGCGCAGCCACUGCCACUUGAACACGAAACAAAAAGGAAGCAAGAUCCAUUUCUCGCUGCCCUCGUCGGAGACCAGUCCAGUCGCACACACCAAAAAGAUCACACACCUGGAGAUGCUUCUCCCCGUCAGAGCAUCCACAACGUUGCUAAAAUAAAAUAAAAAAUAAAAAAAAAAAUAAAAAAAAAAAAAACAAAACAAAACAAACAAGAGUAAGAGAGAGUGAGGGAUCAGGGCGGUCGGACCCCUAUCGACCCCUAUCAAGGCUGCUGCCGUUGAAGAAUAGCCUCUUGUCCCACCUUGAUCGCCUUUCUUUAAUUAUUUAUAUAUAUAUAUAUAUAUAUAUAUAUAUAUAAAUAAAUAUAUAUAUAUAAAUAAAUAUAUAUAUAUAUAUAUGUCUUCUCUUUUCUUCGUCUCUUCUUUUUGAUUCUCCUUCUCUUCUAUUAUUAUUAUUAUUUUUUCUAUUAUAAUAAUAAUAAUAAUAAUAAUAAUCAUAUAUGAAGAAUACAUUUGCUAUUAUAUAAAACAUAAAGAUAUUUUUGAUAUUUCAAGAUACUCAAGAGGUAUAUUUGAUAUUUUUCCUUCUUACAACAUCAAAAUAUUGGAAGUCAUCAAUAAAGAUGUCAAGUUUCUCAAAACUUUUGAACAAUGUCUAUUUACAUUAUUUAAAAUUAUACAAGAAGUUGCUUCUAUAUAAGAGCUAUGAAUGUGUUUGAGUGUAGAAUUUGAUUAUUUUAGAAAGAACCACAAGCUUGAUUGCCAAGCAAUGUUGAUGUGCAAGUGUUGAGCGACAAAUACAUACACUUAUUAUAAAAACCACCAUUCAAUUAAUUAUUUAUAAAAAUUGAUCACUAAACAAGGAUCACUUUGCGGUAGCUGACAUCAAUUCUUGAUAAAGUAGUUAAGUAUUUCAACAUCAUACUUUAGGCAAUCUAAAUGGCAAUACUUUUUUUUUUAUAUAGAUUUGUAAGCCAAAAGGUGCUCUAAAAACAAUGAUCAUAUUGCAUAUCUUGUUUAACUACUUCUUUAUCACUAAAAACAAUGGCAUGUAAAUUUGUGCCUAUAUAUAAAUCCAAAGAAGCAUCCUACUUAAAUCAAUCACCAAUAUAUGAUAUUUUUAGGUAUUAUGUUGUAAUAAAUUCUAUGAUUGCAUUCUUAAUGGAAUAAAAUCCAUUGACACUGCUUAUAUUAAUCUUUGUAAUAAAAUACAAAGUAUAAAUUUUAUAAAAAAAAAAAAAAAAAAGAUAUUCAAUAAGAGGAUUUUGAAAUUAUUUUAAAAAUAUUUUCUCAGAUUCUAAAAUAUUUUAUAAGAUUUUAAGAAUAUUCUAAUAAAAGAUUAAAAAAUAUUUAAAAAAUAUUUUAAUAGAAGAUUCUAUAAAGAUUUAUAGAAUAUUUUAAUAGAAAAUUAAAUAAAGAUUCUUAUAAUAUUCUAAAAGGUUCUAAAAGAUUCUUAUAAUAUUCUAGGAGAUUUUAGAAAGUUCUUAGAGGAUCAAGAAAGAUGUCUAAAAAGCUUCUUAGAGUUGCUUCAUUUUCAAGCAAUAUGAAAACUUCUUAAGAAGUUUUCUAAGAUUUCUUCAUCUUCAAGUAACAUAAAACUUCUCAAAAAGCUUUCUAAGGUUGCUUCAUCUUCAAGUAAUAUAAAAACUUCUUCAAAAGCUUCUUAAUACCUAGUAUAUAUUGGAGCCAAGAUAGAGGAGAUCUUCAAUUUUAACAACACAUUUAUUAGAGCUUUAGUUCACUUUUUUUAGAGUUGAUGUUAUAUUCAUUAGAUUUAAUUAAGUUCUUGUUAGUUUUUUUUGUUGACACUCUUUUUUCCAACUUCUUAUUUGGUCCCAUAUAUAAUGUAUCCAUGAUAGUUUGUCAAGACUUCCUUCUUAUAAUUAUUGGAGCUUGAUUUUUUUUAUAAAGAGUAGAUUAUUUCUCUUUUUGAAGACAUCUAAGUACUUUAGAGGCUGCAAAAUAUCCUCCUUUAAGCAAGUAUUAUUUAAUUUUUUGAAAUGGCUGGAGGUGAAGAUAUUAAUAUGAUUGAAUCUCUUGAAUCCAAGUUAGAUUUUAUUAUAAACAUGUUGAACGCUUCAUCUUAAAGAACUAUUGAAAUUGAGGAUUUUUUUAUAAGAUUUCAUGGUGAUGUAAGCCUUGAGCAAUUUAGCUUGUGGUGCAACUACUUUCUUAAGCUUCUACAUCCAAAGAAGUAGUUGCAUAUGUACCUUGAUAAGAAAAUUUACCUAUUCAACAACAUAAAGAGCCUUGUAUUAGUCUUUUAAAAAUAUUUAAUAGAAUAUUCUUCAAUUUCAAGGGUUUGUUAACCAAAUUUGAUUGGUAACUUUUCUACAACCUAAGUGUUAUUUAACAAAAGAGUUGCAAGUUGAUUUAUUUGAAACCUUGUUGACAAGUCAAGCCUUAUGUAGGUUUGUUUUUUUAUUUGAAAAGAGAUCUCCAAUCUUGAUCAACUUUGAAGCUUUUUUAGAAGCAUUUAUGGAAGCAUAUAGAAAACAUGAUAAGAUCCAAUGGACGACAACAAAGAUUUGCUCAUUAUGUCAAAAAUCAUAUUCUAAAUCAGUUUAUGUAUCUAAUUAUAGUCAAUUGGCUUAAAACAUCAAUUAGGAUGAAUAAGCUCUUAUGAGCCAAUUUUAUUGAAAAGUAAGAGAUGAUGUGAAAGAUCUAUUAUUAUCAUUAAUUGAUUUUCAAACACUCAACAAAGCUAUCAACCAGGUUGUGCAGUGUAAUAAUUAAUUAUUCUAAUACUAUCAAUAUCAAUACUUGUGAACUUUGAUAAAUCAAUAUCGUAGAAAUUUUUAUUCUAUUGUUUCAAUAAAUAUAUUAUUUUUAUAGUGCAAAAUUGAUGAUAUGUAAAUUGAUGCAAUAUAGUUCAAACUUCUUACAACAAAGAAUUAGAAGUAUUGAUUUGAACAAAGCUUAUAUUUUUUUUGUGAUGAAAAAGACCACAAAAUUAGAAAUUUUCUGAAGUAAUAAUAUACAACAAGGAAUAAGAGUGCAACCAUUUAAAAAAUAAACAAGCCGAGCCAAAAGAAGGACCAUGUGCCUAAACAUUCUAAUACCUCAAAUUCAUCAAGGUCCUUCUUUCUGUCAAGGACAAAAACAUGAUAAAGACAAAAAUUAAGUGAGACUUCUCUCAUAGAAAGAUGACAAAAUAAAAAUAACUUCAUAUAUAUAUAUAUAUAUAUAUAUAUAUAUAUAUAUAUAUAUAUAUAUAUUAAGAAAGAAACUGGAAUGGCUAUUGCCAAAAGCCAAGAAAACUAGAGACCCUUGAAACUAGAUUGGAAGCAAGAAAGGAAUUGACAAGAGUGAAAUAGGCUUCACUCAUGUCUCUAUAUAUACUAUCAAACUAGGGGCUAUGUGGUGACAUUCUAUAGGACCUCCAAUAUGUAUUGAGUUUGUAGUACACAUGUCUUGAUUUACAAGGCAAGUUUCUCUACGUAUAGGCCACAUAGUUAGCUUGGUCUUCAAACUAACAACAUGUGUGGCACAUGGCCAACUUGUUGACCAUGUUUCUAAUCCCAAAAAGUCAAUCAAAGACACCUAUAAAGUCAAAAGAGCGUCUAUGAAGCUUUUAGAAAGCUUUCAUACCAAAUACUAUAGAAUUAACUUACUUUUACGUACUUUUAAUUACUUCUACCUAUUUAUACAUGUAAUUAUUGGCUUACAUACAUAUGUUCGUGAUAUUACUCCCCCUUCUAGGAACGAGUUCUAUGAGGAGCGAUAAUCAUAUGUUGAAGAAAUCUAUAAUACGACGAAUUGUAUUCGCUACAUACUUUGAUCUUUGUUCUUCGAAGAUGAUUGAUAGGGCCUCUCAACCAUCGGUAGUGUCCCAUACCAGGGUGGGAAGACCACCCAGUUAUUUGAUCAUUGUUAAGGCCUUCAUAACUUCCUUCAAAUAAAACAUUUGGAACACCAUCAAGAGUUGUUCCUACCUCAAGUAAAAUCACCAAAUAUUAGGAGUCCCUUCCAAAAUCGUGAUACCAAACGCUUUGUAUCUUGCCAUCUAUUCAAGGAAGAACAUGUCGUUCUUGAAGAUCUUCAUCUUGAUUGUAUCGUCUUGAAGGUUGUGACAAUCGUAAUAUCUCGUCCGAUAGAUCAGCAAACGAAGGUUCUUAAGUUGAAUCCGCUGAUUGUUAGUUCUCCAUUUUUUGAGUGUCACAACUACAAAGAAGCUACAAACAAGGAUUAAAAGUAGAAUGUUAUCUUGCCUAAUUCUUGUUUUUUUUAUAAGGAAGGUAUUCAUCUUGAUUUUGAUGGAUGUCGUCAAUGAAAAGCCUCCACUAGUUUUGCUACAUUUGCAAGAUUCUUCACUGGCUCCCAUGUGCAUUCACUACUAUCAUAUCCAUGCCAAUGGACAAGAUAUUCUAAUUUAUUUUGGCAUCCCCUUGAAUCUAAGACUUCUUCCACUUCAAACUCUUCAUUAUUGUCCACUUCUAUAGGAGGAGGUGGAGCUUGUCUUCUUCUUAGUAUAUCCACUAUCUUGUAUGCUUCAAGAAGAGACAUGUGGAAUACUGGAUGGAUUUUCAUUGACUCCGAUAGAUAUAAACGAUAUGCAACUAGAUUGAUUUGUGCAGAAAUAGAAAAUGGUCCAAGCCUUCGAUAGUCCAAUUUGUCACAAAGAUGAGUGGUCUUGAUAUUGUGACGAAGUAACCAUACCUUAUCACCUAUGUGGAAUGGUAGUUGUUCAUUUCGAUAGACAUCCGUAUUGACCUUUUGUUGUUCUUGAGCUUCUUUUAAUUGAGCCUUCAUUAUUGCAUGUAGCUCUGACGAAUGAAUUAUUAAAACUUUUGCAACAGGAUUAUCAACUUUUAAAAAGUCAAAAGUAUCAAGUCGUGGAUAAUAACCAUAAUUAGUAAAGAAAGAUGUUUGUUUUGUAGAAGAAUGUACCAUGUUAUUCUAAGCAAACUCUGCCAAUAGCAAAAGAGUUGUCCAAUCAUCUUGUUGGUAGUUAAUGGUACAUCUUAAAUACUGCUCCAAAACUUGAUUAACAUGCUUCGUUUGUCCAUCAGUUUGAGGAUGGAAUAUCGAAGAUAGUUUUAUAUCCACUUUUAGAAUCUUGAAAAGAGUUUGCCAAAAUCUUGAUACAAAUUGAGUUCCCCUAUCUAAUAUAAUAUCCUUCCAUAAUCCAUGAUAGCGAUAAAUAUGGUCAAGAAAGAGCUUAGAUGUUUCUUCACAUGUGAUAGAUUUUGUACAUGGUACAAAAUGUGCCAUCUUCGUAAAACGAUCUACUAUCACAAAUAUAGAGUCAUAAGAACUUGAGAUUCGAAGAUCCGUGAUGAAAUCCAUAGAAAUAGAAGACCAUGGUUGUUCUGGAAUGGAUAAUGGCUGAAGAAGUCCAUAAGGUCGAUGACGAGGAGUUUUUGAUCUUGAGCAAAUAUCACAAGAUUGUACAAAAUCUUUGACCGCUUUCCACAUUUGUGGCCAUCAAAAGUCCCUGGAUAUUAGUUCCAAAGUUUUAUUGUAUCCAAAAUAUCAUGCUGCUGAAAAGUCAUGAUGAGCUUAAAGAACACGUAAUCAAGCUUCACAUUCUGGAACAUAUGGGCGUCCCUCAAAAUAUAGUAGAUUCUUCUUGAAUUCAAACUUGGAAGUAUCAUGAGACUUUGAAGGAUUUUUCUUCAUAUCACGAAUAAGAAGAUCAGAAGACAUACUUGACUGAACUUACUUAAUGAAAGUUGAAUCAACAGUUAGUAUUGAUUUCAUUACUCAAUUGCAAGAAGUUCUUUGUUGUAGAUUUCGUAGCUGAUCUCGGCUACUAAAAAUUUUUUGGAAUGAAAAGCUAUUGGAUGAAGUUUAUAAUUUUUUCCCAUUUGUGACAAUACAACAUGUAAAGCAAAGUCUGAUGCGUCUGUUUUCAUAAAAAUGGCUUAGAAAAAUCGACGCAAUACAAGAUUGGUGUAGAAACAAAGGCUAUCUUCAAAACUUCAAAUGCUACUUCUACUUCUUGAUUCCAUUGAAGUUUGUCUUUGCAAGUCAAACAUAUAAGUGGAGCUGCAACUUGAGAGAAGUCUUUGAUGAAGAUCCGAUAGUAGUUGGUAAAUCCCAAAAAGCAUUGGACAUCUCUUACUGUUUUUGGAAUCUUCCAAUCCAUAAUAGUUUGAACUUUCUUAGGAUCCAUCAUAAGUCCAUCAUUUGAAAUGAUGUAUCCUAAGAAAUCGACUUGAGUAGUGUGAAAUACACACUUUUCUAUCUUGGCAUAGAGUCCUGCAUCUCUUAGUUUUUGUAAUAUUUGGCGAACAUGAAGUUCAUGUUCUUUCGAGUUCUUAGAAUAGAUUAAGAUGUCGUCUAUAUAAUAGACAACAAAAUCAUCUAAAAACUCCCAAAAGACAUCGUUCAUUAGAUGUUGGAAUGCUGCUGGUGCAUUUGUAAGUCCAAAAGGCAUGAUAUUGUAUUCAAAAUGUCCAUAUCUUAUUUGAAACGCAGUCUUCCAUUCAUCUCCUUCUUUGAUGCAUACCAAAUUAUAUGCUCUCCAUAGAUCUAUUUUUAUAUAGAUCUUAGCUUGAUUCAACUGAUGAUGAAGUUCAGAUAUCAAAAUUAGCAAGUACCUGUUUUUUAUAGUGAUUUUAUUGAGUCCUCAAUAAUCAACACACAUCCGCAAUGAUCCAUCCUUUUUCUUCACAAAUAAAAUUGGAGCUCUUGCUGGAGAUUUGGACUAGCAUAUGAAGUUUUUGGCCAAAUUCUCUUCAAUAUACUCCUUGAGUUCAGCUAACUCAUUUUGAGAUAAAUUAUAGAUUGAUCCAAAUGGCGGUUGUGCUCCUUCUUGAAGGUCAAUUGAGUAGUCAUAGGAAUGAUGUUUUGGAAGAGUAUCUACACUCUUUUUUUCAAAUACAUCUUGAAAAUCUUGAUAUUGGCUUGGAAUGUCACUUGAAGUCUUUCCACCAAUAGAAACAAGUGUGGCAUAAAUCAUACAAGGUGAUCUUUCUUUUGCAGCAUGUAAGAAAGCACUUGCAUCUACAAAUAUAGAUUUAAUUAUACUAGAAUUAUGACUUUUUACUUGAUUAACUACACUCUUAGUUAUACUUUCAGAAAAGUCAAGACUACGAGAAGUCUAAUCUAUUUUAGGGUUAUAUUUUUCUAGUCAUGAUAAAUCUAAAAUGUCUAGAUUAGAAAGAGAUCUAAUGAUAUUAAAUAUUAUAAAGCUACUAUGACCAUUAGUUGCUAUUUCUAUAGGAAGGAUUUCAUGAGUAACAUCUCCUAAAGACAACGGACGACCAUUUAUGAAUUCUAUAUGAAUAGGUUUAGUUUUCUUUAUUAAAAAUAUGCUAUGUCUUUUAGCAAAUUUUUCAUCUAAGAAAUAUGUUAAGGCUCUUGAAUCUAGCAAGGUAGAUGCUUUGAGAUGUUUAGGUCCUAGAAUAACAUUUAUCGCAAUACAUGGAGAGGGUUCUAAAGAGAGGAUAGGACCUUCACUAGACGUUGUACAAGAUUCCAGCCAGACGGUCCUUAUUGUAGGUGGACAAAUUUUUUUUCUAACAUGCUAUCUUCUUUGAUCACCGUACUCUUCAUUUUAUGGUUGCGUCGCUUUUUUGGACAAUGUUGAGCAUUGUGCUUAGGUUCUUCAUAAUAUAAGCACAAUCCUUCUUGACGACAACGAGUCUUUUCUUGCUCAGUAAGAGGUUUGAAACAUACUACAUCAAUUUGCAUAUCCUCUACUUCCAAAUGUAUGUAUUGAAGAGGUGUUGGUGUUGCCAUUGAAUUAUAAUAACGUUGAGAUCCACUUGUACGGUUCUCAGAUCAAAAUUUAAAAAGAUGAUUGUCGCACUUCACAGCAAAGUCAAUUACUUAACUCAAUGUUUGAGGAUCAAGUAAGUUGACCAUUAAUUUUUUUACCUCACAUUGUAAUCCAUAGAAAAAUUGGAUAAUAAGUGCAGCAUCAUCUCACUUGAUAUUAGUUACAAGUUGUCAAAAUUGUGAAGCAUAUAACAUUACUAAUCAAUUAUCUUGUCAUAAAAUAUGGAUCUUAUUGGUUGCAAUACGAAUUACAUCAUAUUUUCCUUACAUGGAUUGAAACUCCACCAAAAAAGUCUCUAGAUUAUCCAAUAUUAGAUCUCGUCAUUCAAGAAAAGAUGAAAACCAUGAUAGUGCUGAACUUGAAAGAAGUGUACCAAUGAAUCUAACUUGCGAUUCUGGAGUUGGAUAGCUUUGGGGUUGAAGUUCAAUUAUAAGUUGCACUUGAUUGAUAAAUCCUCGAAACUUAGAUCUGGUGCCAUCAAACUUCUCGGGUAGGGCAAUUCUUGGUUCUCUAACAUUGGAAGGCGUUCCACCAUAAGAGAAGGGACAUGAUUUGGUGCAGAUGUUGAAGCAGCUCUAAUCAUUUCUAUAUCUUCACUUCCUGCCAAUCUUGUUACUUCUUGUGGUGGUAAAUUGAGUUGAUGCAUGAUAAGCAUUAACUCCCUCAAUUGUUCUUGUAUUUGUGCCAUUGCACUCUUCAUUUCAGCAAGUUCUGCCAUAAUAACACUUAGAAAAGAGAAGAUGUCUAAUAUUGCUCAAGACAAAUAGAAGAGAGGACUUGAGAACAAAGAAAAUAUUAAGGACAAUAUCAGUGUAGAAGAAGGUAAUCCGCAACUUCUAAUAUGCUUGUGUCUUAUCAAAAAAAAGGGAUAAUCCAUUCUUAAUCAAGAUUAGACAAAAAUUUGAUAUUAUAGGUAUACUCUUGUCAAUCUAUCAAGGACAAGAACAUGAUAAACAUAAAUAAACAAGUGAGACUUCUCUCAUAGAAAGAUGAAAAAAUAGAAAUAACUUGAUAUAUAUAUAUAUAUAUAUAUAUAUAUAUAUAUAUAUUAAGAAAGAAACUGGAAUGGCUAUUGCCAAAAGCCAAGAAAACUAGAGACCCUUGAAACUAGAUAAGAAGCAAGAAAGGAAUUGUUAAGAAUGAAGAAGGCUUCAUUCUUGUCUCUACAUAUACUAUCUAACUAGAGACUACAUGGCGACGUUCUAUAAGACCUCAAAUAUGUGUUGACUUUGUAGGAUACAUGCUUUGACUUACAAGGUAAGUUUUUUUAUGUAUGGGCCACAUAGUUAGCUUGGUCUUCAAGCUAACAACAUGUGUGGCACAUGCCCAACUUAUUGACCACGUUUCUAAUCCCAAAAAGUCAAUUAAAGACACCUAUAAAGUCAAAGUAGCAUCUAUGAAGCUUCUAGGAAGCUUUCAUAUCAAAUACUAUAGAAUUAAUUUACUUUUACAUACUUUUACUUACUUCUACCUAUUUAUAUAUGUAAUUAUUAGCUUACAUGCAUAUGUCCGUAAUACUUUCUCUAUUCAACUUGCUUAUUAUUUUACUAUACCUUCAUUUCUUUGCCUAUAAAAACUUCAAACAAUUACUUUAUUAGAUUCAAAAACAUUUGCUUGUUCUUUAAAUAAAGAAUUUUUUAAAUUUUAUAAAAUUCCUUUAAUACAAAAGUCCAAACUUGUACAUAUAUAAAUAAUUUAUGAUCGACAUUUAUCUUCAAGCAAUAUUAUUUAUGAAACCAUACCUCCAUAAAUAUCAUUUGAAGCCCAUAGUAGUGAAAUAAUAUUCAAUAUUAUUACAACUUCAUUUAAUCCUAUCAUUCUACGACUUUCAUAGUUAAAAAGUUAUAAUUCAUCCAAAAAAAAGAGGUUUGAUAAGAUUUAAUGUUCUAUAGAAUCUCUUUAGGCAAAACCUAUUAAAAAGUCAUCAAUAACAAGGCCUUUAUUUUUUGAAGUAAAGACUUUUAUAAAGAUGGCUAAAAAUAUAUUUAUUAUUUAUUAUUUAUGCAAAUUCAACUUAUAAAGAAGUAAGCUUGAUAGUAGCUAUCCUAGAGCAAUAUAAGGAAUUUUAAGAUAUCUUUGAAAAGGAGAAUGUUGACAUAUUGCUAGAGCAUUGAUUAUAUAAUUGUGCCAUUCAUCUUUAAGAAAAGAUUCAACUACCAUUUGGCCCAAUUUAUAACAUAUUAUAGAACGAGUCUUUGACAUUAAAGAAUUACAUUGACUAAAAUCUUGCAAAGAACUUUAUUCAACAUUCCAAAUUCUCAGUAAGUGCACAAUUAUUUUUUGCAAAAAAAGAUAGAUCUUUAUAAAUGUGUAUUGAUUAUUGUAUCUUCAACAAAAUAAUAGUGAAGAAUUAUUAUCCAUUACGAUUGAUAUUAGAGCUAUUGAAGCAACUUGAUUAGACUAAGAUCUAUACCAAAAUAGAUCUCUAUAUAGCAUAUAAUUUAGUACAAAUUAAAGAAUGAGAUGAAUCAAAGACAACAUUUUCGAUAAUAUAUGUACAUUUUGGAUAUAAUGUCAUGCCUUUCUGAUUGAUAAAUGUUCGAGCUAUAUUCUAGCAUUUGAUUUAUGAUAUUUUUUUAGAAUUUUUGGACAAGUUUGUUAUCUGUUAUCUUGAUCAUAUCUUAAUCUACUCUAAGACUCUUAAAGAAUAUAAAGAAUAUAUGAAGUUAAUCUUAUAAAAACUAUGCAAUAUAAGAUUAUAUGCCAAAUUAAAAAAUAUAUAUAUAUUCCAUGAGCCAAAAGUAGAAUUUUUUGGAUAUAUUAUAUCCAAUAAAGACUUAUUGAUGGACUUGAAGAAAAUUCAAGCUGUAACAAAGUGAACAAUUCCAAAGACAAUAUGGAAUAUACAAUGUCUCUUUUUAUUUGCUAAUUUCUAUAGAAUAUUUAUCAAAAAUUAUUCCUAAGUUAUUGCUUCUUUUACUCAACUAACAUCAAAAGACAAAUUAGAAUAGAGAUCUCAAGUACAAAGGACUUUUCAAGAUUUGAAGGUAGUUUUUACUACAACUCUAAUUUUAAUGCAUCUAAAUUUUACAAAGGUCUUUUAUUUUGAGACUAAUGCUUCUAACUUUGUAUUAAGAGCUAUACAAUCAUAAAUGAGAAAAGAUUGAAAGUUCUAUCCAAUUUCAUUCUAUUUUAGAAUUUUUUUAGCUAUAAAGAUCAAUUAUGGGAUUUUUAACAAAAGGGCUUCAAUAGUUCCAUAAUUAUACAAUUAUGCAAUAAUACAAUUGUAAAGUAUUUCUAAGAAUGGCAUCAUUUGUUGAAAGGUACUAUACAUCCUAUGAUUGUAUGUAUAGAUUACAAAAUUUUAGAGUGUUUUAUGUCAGUUCGAAUUUUGAAUUACCGCCAAACUUAUUAGUAUAUGUGAUUAUAUUGUUUUAAUUUUUGCGAUUAUAUACUAGCCAAAAAAACAGCAAUGACUAUCAAACACUUUAUCAAAGCGAUCAUUUCUAGCUCAAAAUAUUGGAAAAGUAGUAUUUGAUUAGCAAUAUAUCACUUUUUUGAAGCUACAAUUAUUUAAUCUUUGUAUUACUUUUAUAGUUACAUUUGUUAAUUCAAGUUUUCUUGAACAAAUUUGAACAACAAUAGCUAAGAAUUCAUUAGUUUAUAAUAUCAAGCAAGGCCCUAAUAACAAUAAGUUCAAAUUCAUCAAAGAUCAUUUAUAUUUUGAAGAUUUCUUGUAUAUUUUAGAUGGACCGAUGUGACUUUGUGUUCUUCAAUCUUGUCAUGAUUUUCCAACUGUAGGGGAUUUUGGAUUUAAUAAAACAUUGGAGCUCAUUUCUUAAGAUUUUUAAUAGUCUCAAAUAUAGAAGACCAUGAAGGACUUUAUUCAAAAUUCAGGUUUGUCAAAUGACAUUUGUUCAAAAUUCAAGAAUUCUUAACAUUGUCCUUAUGUAUUUUUACAACCACUAUCAAUUCCAAAGUGACUGUGGUCUUCAAUAUCAAUGGAUUUUAUCACUGAUCUAUUACCAUAAGCUACAUUUGAUGCUAUCUACAUACUUAUAGAUUAACUUAAAAAAAUAGCACACAUUAUCUCAUACAGAAAGGUAAUUUUUGGAUAAAAAAUGGCAAGGCUUUUUCUUGAUAAUAUAUAUCAAUAUCAUAGCCUACUUGAUGACAUCAUUUUUUUUAAUUAAAGACCUCAAUUUAUAUCAAAGUUUUGGAUAUCUUUUUUCAGCAUAUUGAAGGUGGAUAUCAAACUUUUUUCUACCUUCCACCUUCAAACAAAUGGUCAAAUUGAACAAAUCAAUUAAGUUUUAGAACAGUAUUUGUGAUGUAUUAUUAACUAUUAAUAAGAUGAUUGGACCUUGUAUUUAGAAUAAAUAGAGUUUGCUUGUGAUAAUAUUCUUCAUGCUUUGAUUGAACAAAUACCAUUUUAUGCCAAUUAUGAUUAUCAUCCAAAGCUUGAUUUAUUAGGUACAUUAAAAGAAAAAAACUCAGCAAAAAAUCUUACAAAAUAAUUGUAACAACUCUAGACAAUUUUGAAGCUCCAUUUAUAAGCACCUCAAGAUUCUUACAGAGCAUAUUCAAACAAAUUUAGAAAAAAAAUCUAGUCAUUCAUAUCUCUCUCUUAGAAGCUUAUACAAAAUCAACUAUUUUGAAAAGAAUACAACUAUCGUCGCCAUGCAUUGAAAUAAAUCAUUAUUGGCAUGGCUACAACAUCAAUGAGUGUACGAAGGAACUAACAAAAAAUCCAAUUAAUUCGCCACAAAAGAUACUUGAGUUUCAUUGAUACUAUCUUCAAAAACCUAAGUCUAUUUUAAAAUGAUUUUUUUAUAAAGCUAUUAUUAGGAUAUUAUUUAUAACAAAAAAAGAAAAUGUGAAACUGAUGGUUUUUGUGGAAUUCAAAGUUAGAAGGAGAGGUGAUAUUACAAACAUCUAAUAAUAAUAUUUUAAGAAUAUUCUUAAAAUAUUUUAUCAAAUUCUAAAAGAUUCCUAAAUAUUUUAAAAAAAAUUUAAUAAAAGAUCAUAAAAAAUAUUCUUAAAAUAUUCUAAAAUGUUAUAAAAGAUUUAUAAAAUAUUAUGGUAGAUUCUAAAAAGUUUUAAAAUGUUUAAAAAAAUUAUCUGAGAGGCUUCUUAUGAUUGCUUCAUUUUCAAGCAAUAUAGGAACUUUUCAAAAAUCUUCUUAAGAUUGCUUUAUUUUCAAGGAAUAUGAAAACUUCUUGAGAAGCUUCUUAAUAUCUAAUAUAUAUUGGAAUUGAAGUUGAAGGAUCUUUAGUCUCAACUACACAUCUUUUAAAGCUCUAGUUCAAGACUCUUAGUGUUGAUCUUGUACUCAUCUUGUUUAAUGAGGUUCUUAUUGGCUUUCUUGUUAAAACUCUUAUAUUCAAAUUCUUAGUUGAUGUCUUGUGUAGUGUAUCCAAGAUAAAACUCUUCAAUGGUGAAUAUAAAGUUGAAUUUGUAUAUUUAAAUGAUGAAGUCUUUGUCAAGCCUAAAUUUUUGACUAGUGCUUAUGAUUAUCAAGCAAAUAUGUACAUCUUUCAAUUCAAACCUAGGAUGCCAUUUUGCAUAGUAUAUGGUAGAAACUAUUAAAAACAAUGUCUAGAAACCAAAAAACAAACAAACAACAGUAAAGGACGCAUGCACAAUUUGUGCUCAUUUCAUUAUAUUCUCUUUGUAUCUAUCAAUUCUUUACUAGAUUCAAUCAAAGAAAAACAUCAAAUAAAUCAUUUGGGUACACUGAUACAUUUGUAUUAUCAAAAAUAAUAGGGAUAUUAUUGAUAUUUUAGGACAUUUGAGGGAUAUAUUUGAUAUUUUUCCAAAACCAAAAACCAAUGGGAAAGCGCUCUCUCCCAUAGGAGGAUUGGCCGAUACAGUUGGCAGAAGUUGGAUCCAUCGAGGCAGCGCCACGUGGGCGCGGCGGAUGGAUGCUAAGACGACAAGGCAUUUUCUGACCACAGAUUAGGGCAAGUGAUGACUCAUCUGUCUAUGCAACACUGACACGAACAAGCACUGGCCUGAGCUGGCGCAAUCGCCGCAAACAACAAAGCCCGCCGUUGAGAAAACUCCGCCGUCGGAUUCAGCCUCGGACCAGCGCGGCUUCCACACCCUAAGGGACAGGAGCCCUUCAAGAGGCCGCGCCGCACAGCAUCCCACUUCACAGUGAUCGCGAGAGGUCUCGGAGCAGAGAUUUUUGUACCUAUUCGCAACCUGCUUAAAUUUUGAGGUAUGCCUUCUUUCCUGCUUCUUUUUGAUAUUAUGUCUACAAACCUCAGUCCCCUCAAAGCUGUUCAUUACCUCUUCGUUGAAUGUGACUUAAACAUUCUGGCUAAGAGCGACCUUAUCAAGUCUGCUGUCGUGGACUUCGUCGCAAGAGGUCCCCCAGGUCUUUUCCGAUCACUGGCAAUGGAGUCGUCUUUGUAAGAUAGUAGAAGAAGCAGUGAUUCCGUCUCCGUCAGUCCUGGUUUUUUAACCUACGUGGUCUAGUCACAGUUUUUGUUAGGUCAUCCAGCUUCCCUCUUUCCCAUAUUUGAGAUUCUACUCAACAGACACUCUUGUGUGCUGAAACGCUUUCACUUUCGUUGAGAGAAGGAGUCAUAGAGGAUAUCCUUUCUCCCAUAGCGAUGAUCAGGACUGAAUUAACGGCUUUAUCAUUGAAUGCGUUUAUGUUAUAUGCAGUUAGUUCAAGAUGGGUAAGGAGAAGGUCCACAUCAACAUCGUGGUCAUCGGCCACGUCGACUCCGGCAAGUCGACGACCACUGGGCACCUUAUCUACAAGUUGGGAGGUAUCGACAAGCGUGUGAUCGAGCGUUUCGAGAAGGAGGCGGCGGAGAUGAACAAGCGUUCGUUCAAGUACGCGUGGGUGCUGGACAAGCUGAAGGCAGAGCGCGAGCGUGGUAUCACGAUCGAUAUCGCGUUGUGGAAGUUCGAGACCGUGAAGUACUACUGCACUGUUAUCGACGCGCCCGGACAUCGCGAUUUCAUCAAGAACAUGAUCACGGGAACGUCGCAGGCGGACUGUGCCGUGCUGAUCAUCGACUCGACGACGGGAGGGUUCGAGGCCGGUAUCUCGAAGGAUGGGCAGACGCGUGAACACGCACUGCUGGCGUUCACUUUGGGAGUGAAGCAGAUGAUUUGCUGCUGCAACAAGGUGGGUUCGGGGGCAUUUUGGUUGAGGUUGGGGGGUAGGGACAUGGUAUGGGAGCGGGGCGCGGUGGUGGCAUUGGGUUGCGUUAUGGACAUGGCGUGGGUAAUGUCGGGGGCAGACGAGUGGGGUAAGGGGUAGGGUUUUUUGCGUGCAUUUUUGGGGGGCAGUGAGGUGGGCUGAUGUUGGUGAUGUGGAGGGUGGCAGAUGGACGCGACGACCCCGAAGUACAGCAAGGCCCGAUUUGAGGAGAUCAGCAAGGAGGUGUCGGCGUACCUGAAGAAGGUGGGGUACAACCCGGACAAGAUUCCGUUCGUGCCGAUCUCAGGGUUCGAGGGUGACAACAUGAUCGAGAGGUCGACGAACCUGGACUGGUACAAGGGUCCGACUCUGUUGGAGGCGUUGGACAACGUGUCGGAGCCGAAGAGGCCAUCUGACAAGCCUCUGAGGCUGCCGCUUCAGGACGUGUACAAGAUUGGAGGCAUUGGAACUGUGCCAGUGGGACGGGUGGAGACGGGAAUCAUCAGGCCGGGCAUGUUGGUGUGCUUCGCACCGACGGGACUGACGACUGAGGUGAAGUCUGUGGAGAUGCACCACGAGUCGAUGCCCGAGGCACACCCGGGUGACAACGUUGGGUUCAACGUGAAGAAUGUGGCGGUGAAGGACCUGAAGAGAGGGUACGUGGCCUCAGACUCGAAGAAUGACCCUGCAAAGGAGGCAGCAAACUUUACGGCGCAGGUUAUCAUCAUGAACCACCCGGGACAGAUCGGUAACGGUUAUGCGCCAGUGCUGGAUUGCCACACGUCGCACAUUGCGGUGAAGUUUGCGGAGAUCUUGACGAAGGUGGACAGGCGAUCGGGUAAGGAGCUGGAGAAGGAGCCGAAGUUUUUGAAGAACGGAGACGCAGGGUUCGUGAAGAUGAUUCCGACGAAGCCGAUGACGGUGGAGACGUUCGCGGAGUACCCACCAUUGGGACGGUUCGCGGUGCGGGACAUGAGGCAGACGGUGGCUGUGGGUGUCAUCAAGGCUGUGGAGAAGAAGGAGCCAACUGGUGCCAAGGUGACCAAGGCCGCCGCCAAGAAGAAGUAAAUCUCCUGGGAUUGAAGAGACUUUUUAUUCCUGAGUACUCGGACUUGAUAAUUUUUCGGAGUAUAUGCAGCGCAUUUCGCUGAUGCUUGUGGAGACUUAAUUUUCAUUCUUACCCGCCUGAAGAUAGUCAUGUAGUUCAUCUUGGUGUCAGGAUUAUUUUAGCGAGUUCAUGUCACGGAUACCUUUACUAUUUCCUGAGUUCUCCUUUAAUGCCCUCUGUCAUAUCCCGAAUACUUGACAUGUUUCCGUUCAAGUUCAUUCGUUGACCGUCUUGAUUCCAUGGUUGUUUUGAUAUGCUCGACAGAAUAUGUCAAUUCUGUUGUCGACGUUACAGUUUGUCUGUUGAUUGAGCCCCUCUAUGUUAUCAUUUUACAAUUACUGUGAAGUUUGACUGAAGAAAAUCCUUUUUUUUUUUGCCUCGUUCUGUAACAUAUUCUCGGCGCUAAUCCCCGUGAUAUUGCAUCUUUUAUCCUGUUCCAAAGAAACAUGUUUUUUAUCUCUAUCUUUGUACAGUUCCCGGCAAAUUUUUUAUUACCCCCAUCUACACCUAAACUACCUCUCCUAAUCAAUAAAUUACCUGAGAUGAAUGAUAUUCUUCCUCGAGAAUUAUUCAAUGAAACAUUUGUAAUUUACGAGUUGCAAUGUAGAAAUUUAGGAGGAAGAGUUGAAAUAGAGUCGGCUAUUUAAAUUCAAAGGAAUUCUUUGUGUGCUGUCGUUAUGAAGUAAACGGCAACGGCCAAAUAGAUCUUUAAUCAACUGAUAAGAUGCUGUCACUUUAAUUAUCAUCUUUGUCCAUUUGAAUUUCUAAAUAUUCAGCAAACUCAAAUCUGCAACACCUAUUUAACUGUCUUCUUUACUUUCGGCACUUUUUGAAUGGAAUCAUAUGGUUUUUUGUAGAAGGUUUUGUCCAAAGAAAAUUAAAUUGCACUUUGAAACUGUAAAUCAAUCCGCAUGUUCUACCCUUGUAUUGCCUUGUGAUAUAUAAUCCUUUCUUGUUCUUUAUAAUUCUCAAAUGGUGAAGAUUUGAUUUUUGAAGGUAGUGAUCUAUUGAAAAAAAAAAAAAAAAAAAAAAAAAGGAAUUUUGAAGUCACAAUAUAUAGCAUUAAUAAGGUUUGUACACAAGGAAAUUAUGGAAUAAAAUAACUCAUACUUCUAUAAUGCAUUUCUUAUAGGUGGUAGCUAUUGCUUUGUUGGACAAUUUUUAUCUUUGAUGAAUACAUCUAUCUAACAUUUUAUCGAUACUUUCUAUUAAAUAUCUUAUCUUCUAUAAGAAUAUGCCUUUAAUAUAUCUUCUAUACCUUUAAGAUCCUUUGUUUGUUCAUCUACCUUGUGUCUUGGCGUUUUUACAUACCAAAAGCCUAUUCUUUGAUCAAUAGCAACUUACUUAAGAUAAUAGCUUCUAAAAGGUAAUUUAUUCUACUUUCACUUUUAUUUACUUACUUUAACACUUCUACUUUGCUAUGGAUCAAAGGCUUUCAAUCUUAAUAUGUGAUGUCUAUCAUUUAUUAAUCCCUUUGCCAACAAAUCAGCAAGCAUGUCUUCCAUUAUACAAUACUUCAUAUCAAUUACUUCCAUUUCAAUCUUUUUUCUUGUGAAGUGAUGUUGAAUGUCAUUGUAUUUGGUCUUUAAAUGAUGCUUUGGAUUCUUUGUAAAUCUAAAACAUUCUUGAUUGUUAUAUUCCAUUGGAAUUGCUUAUGUUUGCACUACUUCAAUGUCUUCCAAAAGUUGUCUUAGCCAUAUUGUCUCCAUUCUAUUAUAGCUUGCUGCCAUGUACUUGGGUUCUAUUGUUGAUCUUACAAUUGUUGGUUAUAUCUUGCAAUUCCAUGAAAUAGCCCUGAUUCCAAUAGAAAAUACAUACUCUAUUGUUGACCUUUUAUUAUUUGCAUCUCCACUCCUAUCUACAUCAGAAUAAUCAUGCAAAGUAAUGUUAUUAUCUCUAAGACUUAAUUUGAAAUGCAAAAUACCUUUUAAGUACUUCAUGAUUGUUUUGAUGGUUGCUCAAUGGAUUGAUUCAACCUUUGACAUGUGUUGGCUCACAAUACUUAUGACAUAUGCAAGAUUCACUCUUGUGCCAACCAUUGUAUAUAUAAAUGAGUCCACUACUGCUUUAUGUGGAACACCUUGCAUUUGACCUUUAAUUCAAGCAAAUUCUUCAUCCGUAAACUUUAUUAACUUCAAAUUGGCCUCUAAAGGUAUUUUAAUAGGCCUACCCUCUUCCAUAUUGAAUUGUUUCAAUACCUCUUCAAUAUACUUAUUUUUGCUCAUUGUAAUGGUCUUCUUAGUAUAACCUCUCACAAAUUCUACUUCUAAAUAAUAGUGAAGAUUUUCCAAAUCACUCAUCUCAUACUCAUUUUCUAAUUUUGCCUUCAAUCAAUCCAAUAUCUUCAAGGUAUUGGUUAAGAUGAUCAAAUUAUCAACAGAGAGAAUGACAAUUAAUAUAAAUUUAUUUGAUUGCAUGACAUUCAUAUAAUGAUUAGCCUUACUUCUUUUAAAUCUUUCAUUUACAACAAAUGUGUCAAUACAUUUAUACUAUACUUUUGGUGAUUGCUUGAGCCUACAAAAAGAUUUCUUCAACUAUAAACAAGAUAUUGUUUGUCUUUUUCAACAAAUCCUUGUAGUUUAACCAUGUAGAUGUCAUUUUCCAAGCUUCUAUUUAAGAAAGCCAUUUUCACAUCUAUUUAAUGCAUCUUUGAGUCCAAUAUUGUCUUAAUUGCCACCAUAAUUCUAAUGGUGUUGAAUUUGGAUGUGAGAGCAAAUGUCUCAUUGAAAACAAUAUCAGCAACUUGUGAGUAGCUUUUACCAACCAAUCUAACAUUGUAUCUCAUAAUAUUGCCUAUAAUAUCUUUCUUGGAUCUAAGUACUCACUUAUAACCAAUUGAAGAUUGAUUUUGUGGAAGUUGAGUCAUUUUCCAUGUUUCAUUGUUCAUGAAUGAUUUAUACUCUUCUUCCAUGGUAUUUUUCUACUUCAUUGCAUCCAUGGACUUUAUUACAUCAUCAAACUCAAUGGAUCAAUAAAAAGUGUAAUAUUGAUAUGUUGUUCACUUACUUGAAGAAAGAUGUGAUUUAUCCACUAUUUACCAAAAUUUUUUCUAUCUCUCAAAAGAUAUAUCCCUUCAUUUGAUGAAGAUUCAUCUUCUUGCAUUCUAAAAAUUCUUGCAACCUUCUUCUUUCUUAAAGCUCGUCUCUUUACAUUUAGUACUUGAUACUCUCCAUCAUUAUCAUCUUCAACAUCUUAAUUGUCUUCAUUGUUGGUCUAGUAAUUAUAGACAUACUUUGAUCUAUCUUCAUUGACUCUCUAUCUUGAUUUGUAUAUCUACUAUCUUCAUUGUCAUCAUCUUUUUCUUCAUUCUUUGCUAAAAUUAAAAAUAAAUGAAACAAAAAUACCAUUACUUCUACUUAGACACAUUUCAAAGUAUUCAUAAGUAUUCUUAUGCUCUAAAAACUCUACAUUACAACUCUUAAUGAUCUUCUUGGUUUCUAAACGUAUUAGCCUAUAUACCUUUGUAUCUUCAUAAUAUCCAAAAUAUACAUAUUUUGUAUCUUUUGUAUCAAAUUUGGACCUCAUAUAAUCUCGUACUUUUGCAUAAGCAAUACAUCCAAAAAUCCUCAUGUGUGAAACAAAAGGUUUCUUGUCACUCUAAAUUCCUUGUAGAGUUAUUGAUUUCAAUGCUCUUCCGUGGCCUUUUUUCUUCUAUAUACUAUAAUAACCAUGGCUUCCGCCCAAUAUUCAUAUCCAAGGUUUUGUGCAUAAAGCAUACUUCUUGCCAUCUCCAAAAAAGUGUAAUUUAUUCUUUUAGUAAUUCCAUUUUAUUGUGGAGUGUAUAGAAUAGAAGAUUGUCUUGCAAUGCCUUGUAUCUUCAAAAAGUCAUCAAAAUGCAUUGACAUAUAUUUAGCCCUAUUUUCCAUGUACAACACUUUAAUCUUGCAUUCACAUUAUUUUUUCACAAGUAUCUUAAAUUCCUCAAAUCUUAAGAAAUAUUCAUUCUUAGCUUUAAUGAUGUAUAUCAACACCUAUUUUGAAAAAUCAUCAAUAAAUAUGACAAAGUACCUUGCUCUUCCAAUUAAUGGCAUCUUUAUCAGUCUACAAAUAUUAGAAUGUAUAAUUUGCAACAAUUUGCUAGCAUAUAUUAUAACUCUAUUUGAAAUUGAAGCCAUUUAUUGUUGACCUUGACAUAUUUUUUUAUUCUAAUAUUUACUUAUAUAAUUAAGCAAAAAAAAGUGAAAGUAGAUUUAUUUCACAAUAUUUUCUAAAAAAGCUUUCUAAAAGCUUUAUGGAUACUACUUUGACUUUACAUGUAUUUAUAGUUGAUUAAUAGGUUAAAUACUUGGUCAACAAGUUAAUUAUGUAUGAAUAGCUUGCAAAACAAGCUAACUAUGUAGUGCACAUAUAAAAAACUUCUCUUCUAAGUUAAAAUAUAUGUCUUAUAAAAUCAACAUAUUUUGGAGGUCGUUUAGAAUAUUGCAACAUAGUUCUUAGUUAGAUAGUAUAUAUGGAGGCAAGAGUGAAGCCUUUUUCAAUCUUGACAAUGCCUUUUUAGCCCUCAGUCUUAUUUUAAGUCUUUUUAGUCUUUUUGUCUUUGGCAAUAAUCAUUCUUGUUCAAAAUAUUAUCAACUUUGAGUCUUUUUUUAGUUUUUUCAAGUGACACAAGAGUGUAUCGAGGAUUUUUGUUUCGAAGAUUCAUAUUCUUGAUAGUUUGAGAAGAAUUUUAACUUAUUAUUUUUGUCAUGUUUUAAAAAGUGAGUGGAUUAAUCUACUUCUAUUGUUGUAUUUUGAAAGUUAUAGAUUAUCCACUUUUAAACAAAUUGUUUAGUUUUCUAACAUUGAUUAUUUUUUUAAAGAAAGCAGAUAUCUUUCUUUAUAGGAAUUUUUAUUUUAUAUUAGAGGUUACAGAUUAUCUUCUUUUUAUUUGACUUGUGAAUUUAUUAAGUUAUUUGAAAUAGAAGAAAAAAUCAUAGAUGCUAUACUUGGUAGAAGUGAAAACAGAUUUGCAUCUAUUAUAGAUUUGACAAACUUGUCAAUACUUUUAAGGUCGAAAUUUCACACAUCACCAAUGCCACCCAUAGAAACACUAAUCCUAUAGUUAGAGAAGAAGUUCAAAGUAUACAUCAAGAAGUUUUGUAGUUGAAGGAAGCAAAUAUAUCAACAUCAUAACCAAAUCCAAAAAAAUUAUACUUCUAAAAAUACAAUGGGAACAAGAAUUAGUAAGCUUGAGAAGUUUGUUGGAAUAAGAUCAAAAUUUUGAAGAUUUUUGCAACAAGUCAAGCUCUAACUAAGGUUGUAUUUCUUCUAAUAUCUUGAUGUAUUUACUCAAGUUGGAUUCAUAGGCGCACUUCUAUUUGGAAGUGCUCUCUCUUUGUUUAUAUCUUUGAUAGAAAAGAUUCACGACUCCUUUAUGAUUUGAAUUCAUUUAUAAAAGUAUUUAUGGUGUCAUAUUGUGACACGAUUAUAUGGUAAAAAUAUGACUAAAAAUGAUUUUUUAAUUAAUAUUCUAUUAUAUUAGCUCAAUAAGAAUUCAAAAUAUUUUAAUAAGGCUUUUAUGAAAGUCUCUUAGCCUAUUUUUUUUUAAAUAAAAAAUAGAUAAAAGUUAAUUAUUAAUUUACCUUCUAAGAUAUAGAAACUCUUUUACUACCUAAGAAAGGCCAUAAAUUAUUAAAAUCAGAAUAGAAGAUGUAAAUGGUUGGUAUGUUUGAUACUAUGAUCAAGUUGAGAGUAGGAUUGGACUAAAAAAUCCUUAGGAUAGAUUAGAUUGAUACCCGGAGGUCGAUCAUUUGUGAGACAUGGUCAAAAUCAGACCUUUGGUCACUAAAACGACUGCUUAGGAUAAAUUAAGAUGGCAUUAGAAGAUCACGGAUCAGAAUUUGAGAGCUAACUUAAAGCUCUUUUCAAUGGCAUAAGGAUUUUUUUGGUAGGAUUUUUGAAGAUUUGACAAUUUUUGUUCAAGAUCAAGGUUUGUAUUGGUGAUUUGGAAUUUAUAUAAUAUAAUUAGGGCUAGCAAUUUUGGCUAGUUCAUGCAAUUGAUAUAACAUCUAAGUUUCAAAAGUUGAUAUUAUUUGGAUUAUUAGAUGCACUAAGUAUAUAAAAAAUUUUGUGAUAACCUAAUGAUGUGGUUUAGAGAUAUUUGGUUUUUAGCACAAGAAGAUUUUGGAAGUUGGUAGGUUGGAGUUGAGUAGGAUUUUUGUGAUAUUUGGAGAUCUACUAGUUAGAUGAAGAUGAAAUUUGGCAUGGUGUUGAAGGACUUGAAGAUCAAGAUGCAUACCAAUUUUGAAUCAAAGGUAUUAGUUGGAGAAGGAGAAAUCAUUGCUAGGGUUUUUGCUUCACUUUUCAAGUUGGCAUCCGAAUGACAUCAGUGCAAUAUUUGGAGGUUUUCUCACGAUUUAUAAGUUGGAUUGAGCUAAAAAUUCUUGAGCAUAUAGAAGACUUACAUUGACAAUUAUAUGCAAAAUUUUACAUCAAAUCGACACUCAAAUUAGAAGUUACAGCUUACUAAAGCUCAUUGAUUAGGAUUGGGACUUAUAAAAAAAAUCUGAAUUGCUUAAAUAUGAAAGUAACAAGAUAGUUGAGGUUUAUGUAUGAUUAAGGUUACUAAGAAGAGUGUUUUUUAGCACUUUUGAAUUAAAAUUUGGAUUAUAUUCUUCUCAUAUGGAUGAAACCUAUUAGGAUUUUUUGGAUGUUUGUUAAAAAUAACCUCAUAUUUGACAACUAGGUGCUUGGUAAAUUCCUAAGCAAGAAAACAUGUAAUACGACAAUGGCCACAUUCAAAGAAAAUGAUUAAACAAAGAUUAAGCUCUUAUCUUUAGGAUAAGAAUCAUAGUUAGCCAUUAUAUAUGCUAUUGAAUUCUAAAACCUUCCUUGCGAUGUGGGCUUGAAUGACAAAGCCUUUAUCAAUCAAUUUUAAUAGGGAUUGAAGUAUAAUGUCAAACAUUUGUUAUUGACAAUGCCAAAAGAAAAAUCUUUGAAAAAAUUUAUUGCUUAAGCCUUUGCAUAUGAUAAUUGAUUAUUUGAAAGACAUCAAGAGUAAAGACUUGGCUGAAGAAGAACAAAUCAAGUAAUAAUGGCAAUUGUUAAGUUUUCAAGAAUUUAUUUAUCAAGGUUUGAAACAAUACAAAUUGAUAUGGUAUAUUUUAAAUCCCUCAAAAAGUAGGAGAAGACUUAAUAUUAUUAAGAAAAUUUGUGCUUACAUUAAAGAGAAGCUCAAUACACUCUUCAAUAUUGUCAAAAAAAGCAAUACAAUCACAAAAUAAGGAAGAUGAUUAUCAAAGAAGAUAAUGUAUUAGAAAAUAAGUUUUUCUAGCUAUAAUAGGGACUAUGUAAUUAAAAUCAUAUGCAAUACCUACUAAAGAUCUUAUUCUCAAUUCAGAUCUAUCACCUUAUUUUAUAAUAGAUGGAUAUUUAGGAUCUAUAAAUUACAAAGUCUUUGCCUUAUUACAUUUAGGAGCCUUAACUUAUAUUAUAGAUAAUUUUUUUUAAAAAAAAUAAGAAAUAUCUUUAGUCAAGAAAAUUAAAUCCAUAUAUGUAGAAGUCAUAUAUAGUCAUUUGCUAUCUUCUAAAGAUGUUAUUCAUGAAAUUAUUCCUUUAAAUAUAGCAAUUAAAGAUCAUAAUAGUAUAAUAAUAUUUAAUGUAAUAAAAUCUUCCUUUAAUCCAAUUAUUUUAGGAUUAUUAUAGUUAAAAAAAUAUAAAAUUCAAAUAGAUUGGAUUUUUUAUAACCUAAUUUUUUUUUAUAGUUAAAUCUAAAAUUCUAUCAGUCAGGUAGAAAUACAUAAGUCUAAUAUAUUCAAACUCUUAUUAGUACAUAUAAAAGAUUUCAUGUAUGCUACAAAGAAAGAUCAUCUUUUGUUAUAUAUGGCAUACCUAUUUUUGAUAGUGUAAAGAUACUAAGUAGUAUUUGUAGCCAAUAUCAAGAUUUUUAGGACGUUUUUUUAAAAAAAAAUACAGAUAUUUUUUUAGAACAUUGAUUUUAUGAUUAUUCAAUUGAUUUGCAAAAAAGAGCUCAAGUGCCAUUUCGAUCAAUCUUCAACUUAUUGUAAAAUGAAUUGAUUGUAUCAAAUAAAUAUAUUAAUGAGAACUUGGCUAAAAACUUCAUAUACUAUUGAAAACUUCCAACAAUAGCUCAUAUCUUAUUUUUAAAGAAAAAUAAUGGAUCUUUGUUGAUGUGUAUAGAUUAUCAAAGAUUUAACAAGAUCACCAUCAAUAAUAAGUAUUUCCUAUCUUUAUUUUUAAUACUUCUUGGCCAAUUCAAUCAAACAAAAAUCUAUAUAAAAAUAGAUCUAUGAAGAAUAUAUAACUUGAUUCUCAUUUAAAAAAGAAAUGAAUUAAAGAUUGUUUUUUAAAUUAAGUAUGGAUAUUUUGAAUAUAAUCUUAUGCCUUUUGGAUUCACAAACAUAUCAACAGCUUGUCAAUAUUUUAUGAAUAAUGUUUUUUUGUGAAUUCUUUAAUGAUUUUGUGGUCUACUAUAUAGAUGACUUUCUAAUCUAUUCUAAGAAUUUAGAAAAAUAUGAACUUCAUAUUUGUCAUAUAUUACAAAAAAUUAAAGAUAUAGGAUUAUAUGCCAAGAUGGAAAAGUAUAUAUUCUAUACUACUUAAGUUGAUUUUUUAGGAUACAUCAUUUUUAACAAAGGUUUAAUAAUAGAUCUAAAGAAGAUCCAAAGUAUCAUAGAUUGAAAGAUUCUAAAAAUAUUAAAGAAUGUAAAAUGCUUUUUGAACUUAAUCAAUUAUUAUUAAAUCUUCAUCAAGAACCUUUUUCAAGUUGCAGCCUCACUUAUAUAUUUGACUUCUAAAGACAAAUUUGAAUAGAGCACAAAAGCUAAAGCAACUUUUGAAGUCUUAAAAAAAUAUUUAUUUCUGCAUCAAUCUUAUAUCACAUCAAUUUUUUCAAGGCAUUUUUCAUAGAAAUAGAGACAUCAAACUUUGUUAUCAAUGCAAUUUUGUCACAAAUGGAAGCACAUGAUAAGUUUCACUUGAUAGCUUUUUAUUCUUGGAAAUUUUCAAUAACUAAGUUUAACUAUAAGAUCCAUGACAAAGAGCUUCUUACAAUUGUGGAUUCAUUUCAAAAAUGGUGUCAUGAUUUAAAAGGCGCCUUGAAUCUAAUCAUCAUAUAUAUAAUUCAUAAGAAUCUUACGUAUUUCAUAUUAAUAGCCAAGCUUGCUCGAGCAUGUUUUUAUAAAGAUUUGAUUUCAAAAUUAUUUGUCAAUUCAAAAAAAAAUAAGGUUUAUCAAAUGCCAUUUUUACAUGUUUUUAUCUUACAUCAAAAGAAAAAGAUGCAUCUUUUGAUCAACAAAGAACAAUUUUCUUGAAGUUGGAGCAAUUCACCUUUAAUCAAUAAAAUUAACAUUGAUUUUUGAUUCAAUUUUUGUUAAAUAAAUCUAAUUAAGUAUGUCUUCUAAUUAUCUUAUUGGUGAUAUCAAAAAUAAUCCUUUUAAGUUCAAAUAAAAUUAUACAUUUUAAAAGAUGAAGCAUGGUUAUAUAUUCUUCAAGCUCAUCAAACAAUUCUUUUGUCAUUGGUGGAGUUUGCAUAUAAUAAUUUUUUACAUUUUUUUAAUUAAUAAACAUCUUCUUUUGCCAAUUAUGAUUAUCAUCUAUAAUUUAAUACUUUUGAAUUUUUAAAAGUUGAUAAUCUUGUGGCAAAAGUUUUAACAAAUUGUUUGUCAAAGUUACAUACAACAAUAAAGGUGCAGUUAAAGGAAGCUCAGGAAUGACAAAAAAUCAAUAUAGAUGUUUAUUAUAAGGAAUAACUAUAAUUCAACAUAGGUGAGAAGAUAUGACAAUUUUGUUGCAAUAUCAAGAUUACUUAUUUUUAUGAUAAGUUGGACUAUUGCAGGCUUAAAUCUUUUCUUAUUUGUGAAUAAAUCAAUCCUAUUGCUUAUUGAUUACAUCCACUUCAGUCUAUGAAGAUCCAUCUUAUAUUUUGCAUGUUUCUUCUUGAGCCAUAUAAUAUAGUAAAUAUCUUGAGAAGAAGAUCAAUGCUAUCUUCUUCUAUAGGAAAUGAAUAAUGAUGAAGAGUUCCAGGUAGAAGAAGUUUUAGAUUCAAGAUGGUGCCAAAAUAGAUUGAAAUAUCUUAUUCAUUAGCAUAGUAUUAUGAUGUAAUAUGUCAAGUAAAUGAAAGAGAGAAGAAAAUAUUAUAUUAUAGAAGGUCUUAUUUUAAAAUAUUAUAGAAAAUUAUUUUAGAAAUAUAGAUAGUAAUAAAAAAGAUAGUAAAAAUUAAAAAGUUCUAAUGCUAUUUUUUUAUAAAAUAGGCUUCUACUUACUUUGUACGACCAUAAAUAAGAAAAAACUAAGUAGAUUAUAAAAAUAAAUAAUAUAAGCAUGCAUAAGAAAGAAUUUAAGAUUAGAUUUUAAUAAAUUUUAUCUUAAGAAGCCAAAAAUUGAUAUCUAAAUAAGAUUGGUUAUCAACCUAGGCCAAAAUCAGACCUCAAGGCAUAAAACCAUACAUCUAUGGUGAAUUUGGAAUUCUUUUAUAGAUCAAAGAGUAGGAUUUGAAGAUAGAUUUGAAUAAAGAUUUUUAAGCAUUAGUUUCAUGUCAUUUGGAUCAAUAUUAAGUUUUUGAGGUAUUUUCAAAGUUAGUAAUGUUCUUAGUAGAAUUAAGGUUAGGGAAAUAAAAAUAUGUUUAUAAAAUUGAGGAUUUUUUGAGUUUUGUGGUGUGUGUAUAGAUGAAAUUUAAAAAAUAUGUUGGUAUAAUAGUUAUAAUUGUGUUGGAAAAUUUUGAUAUAAAUCAAAUAAUUAGAUUGAAGUAUAUGAGGGUUUUUGUGAGUUGAAGUCUCAGAAAGUGGAGUUUGAGGGUUAAUUAGUAUUUCUAAGAUCUUUAGAAAUCUAUCAAUUAGAUUGAAGUGAAUUUUUUUUGUAUAGAUAUGACACUCAAAUUCCAAUGUUUAGAUGAAAUUUCAAAGAAAUUUAAUAAUUCAAGAAGGAGAUAUUGGCAUUAGAAGUUUUGUAUUGAAGUUGGAGUAGGAGGCUGUCCAACACUUGAUUGGAUUAUCUUACAUUUAUUUAAAUUAGUAAGUACAAUCAAUUUCAUCUUUCUUGUGCUUCUUUUUAACUAAGAUAUUAAAAAGUGUAAAAAUUUUGAAUUGAUACCAAUGAUUUGAUCAUUAUUUGUUGAAGUUCCAUUUUACUAUAGGAUUUAUUAAGAGGUUAUUUAAGAUUUAGGAUUUAAUUAAGAUUUGAUUUAGGAUUUAUUUAUGAUUUAAUUAAGGCUUAGAAUUUUUUUAGGAUUUGAUUAGGAUUAAGAUUUGAUUUAGAACUUAACUAAUAUUUGAUUUAGAUUUAUGUACGGUUUUAUUAAAAUUUGAUCUAGGAUUUGAUUAAGGUUUAUUUAGGAUUUUGAUUAAGAUUUGACCUAAGAUUUGAUUAAGAUUCAAUUAAGGUUUCAAUUAGGAUUACAUUAAGAUUUCUAUUUUUAAUAUUCUUUUAAAGUCCUUUGUUAUUUCUUUAAAGGUUUAUUUUUAUAUUUCUUUAAGAUUUAUUAUUAUUUUUCUUUGGGAUUAAAUCAUGAAUUUUUUAUAUUUCUUUUGUCACUUUUUUUGAAUUUAUUUUGAUAGGUUAAAAUUUAAUUGGAUUUAUUAGGAAUUACUUGAAGUUUUUUUAAGGCUUUAUUAGAUUUGAUAGAAUCAUUGUUGUAUUUUUAUUUACCUUCCACAACUAGGUGCCCAGUGCAUUCUUAAGCAAGAGCACAUUUAAUAUGACAACAAAUAUGAUAUUAGUGAAUGCACAUGGAAGUGAGAAAAAAAUCUUUAAAAUGAAGCAAGGAGGAUUAAGUCUUUUCAUUGAAAACAUGAUAUUUAAAUAUGUCUUUUAUAAAACCCUCUUAGUUUAUUUUUUUAUCUUAAUAGCUAACAAAUUAAAGAUUGAUUAGUAAUUUUACCUUUUGAGGUAUAAAAAUUCCUUUAUUGCCUUAAAAAAGCUAUAAAUUUAUAAAAACAAGAUAGAUAAGAUAAAUAAUUAAUACGGUUAAUAUUAGGAUUAAGUUAAAGAUAGAGUCAGGCUAAAAAAUUCCUAUGAUAGGUUGGAUUGAUAUCUAGAGGUCAUUUGUUUAUAAGAGAGGAUUAAAAUCAAAUCUCUAGCUAUUAAAAUAAUCGCCUAAGGCAAAAUAUAGGAACAUUUAGAAAUUAACAACUAAAAUUGAAGAGCUAGCUUUAAGAUUGUUCUAAAGGCAUAAAGUUGUUUUUAUAGGGCUUAAGAUGAUUUUACAAUUGAUAUUUAAAAUUAAGAUUUAUAUUAGUGACUUUGAAUUUAUGCAAUACAAUUAGAGCUAGCAUUCUUAGCUAGUUCAUGCAAUUGAUGUUACAUCUAUAAUUCAAAAUUUAAUUGUGUUUAAUUGAUUGCAUGUGCUAAGUGUCCAUAAAAUUUAUAUCAAUUUAAUGGUUCAAUUGGAAGAUAUUUGAUUUUUGAUACAAGAGGAUUUCAGAAGUUGGUAGUUUGAAGUCGAAUAGGAUUUCUAUGAUAUCUUAAGAUCUACUUAUUGAAACAUGGUAAAAUUUGGUAUGGUAUUGAAAGACUUGAAGAUGAAGCUAUAUACCAAUUUUGAGUUGAAGUUAAUAGGUAGGAAAGAAAAAAUUGCUAUUGGAACAUUUGCAUCAACUUUCAAGUUGGUAGCCAAGUAACAUUAGUGCAGUUUUGUCAGUAAAAUCAAUCCAUCUUAAUUGUGUUUGAUAGUCUAGUGGAGUAACUUCACUCACAUAAAGUUAGAUGUCUUUUCUUUCUUAACCAUUGUUACUUUAUAAUUUUAUUUUAUCAAAUUUUUAUUUUUAUUUUUAUUUAUUUAUUUAUUUAUAUAAUAUUUUUAAUUAUAAUUUCUUUUUUAAAUUUAUUAUUAUUAUUAUUAUUUUUUUUUAUAAAAAUUCAAUUAAUUUAUUUAUAUUUAUAUUUUAUUUAAUUAAUUAUUUAUUAUAUAUAUUAUUUUAAUUAUUUAUUUAUUUCUUUAAACUAUCUAGCAAUCAAUAUGUCAAAGUUUUUAUAUACAUCACAUUCUUCAGUAAAGAAACGACCAUAUUAAAAAAAUUGAUCACAACACCAUAAUCACUUGUUAUCAUAUCAAAAAAUAUGCACAAAAACUCUUCCACAAUUUUUGUCUAACAACUACUAGAAAUCAACUAUCACCUCAUAAUAAGAUGGUAAAUCAUAACUAAUCUACCAUAGUCAUCAACUUCCAAGCUAUGUCUUGUCUUCAUUGCUAUCAAACCAUUCUACAUCCUUGCAAUACCAUCGCUCUGAUCUCCUUCAAUAAGAAUGCCUUGACUUUACUGCUUCUUCUAAAAUGGCUAUGUAGCUUAGAUCCAUCAACAUCAAUUGGGCACAGUACUACUAUCGCUUCACUUUCACUGAGCUUGAAUUCUUCUAAAAUCUAUCACCCCGUUGUGUUGCCUCACAUUAUUGCUCUCAUUAAUUUUGUUAUAUUUAAAUUUCAAUCUUCUCAACCUCAUCCAUCCAACAUAAUUGAUAUAACUUGCUUAGUCCAGAACUAUUUAGACUGGAACCUGUGCAAUCAAAAAUUGGUCCAACAAAAUAAAUCGCCAAUUUGUGAUUUGUGGUUUUUUUUUUUAAAAAAAAAAAAACAUUCACAAUACAUCGUUCUAAGAGAUUGUUAGUAAUAUUUUUAGAAGUCUCUAUUAUUCUAUUCUUGCUUAAAAUUGGUACAUCUAAUUUUUUUAUUUUUAAUAUAUUUAUUUAAUUCUAAAGAUUUACAUAACAUAUUUUUAUCAUUAAUUCCUUUCUUCACCACUUUAUCAACAUGACACCACUGUUUUUAUUUAAUCUAAUUUUAAACAAAAAUCAUUUUAUCUACUAUUAUAAUUAUAUUUUAUUCUUAAUACUUAAAUGAGCCUUUUCUUUAGUAAUUUAUUCUACUCAACUUUCUCUUCUUAAUUCUAUUAAUUUAUUCUAAUAUUUUUUUCUAACUACAUUAUAAGUCAAAAAAAUUGGCUCACAAGUUUUUUGGACAUUUUUUCACAAUCUGCAAGUUCGAUUAGUCUAAAUUUUUUUAAACAUAUAAAAGACUUAUAGUAGCAUUUGUGUGCAAAAUUUUGCAUCAAAUGGAUGGUCAGAUUAGAAGUUAUAACUUUCUAAAAUUCAAUGAUUAAGAUUAUUGCUUGCGAAGAGAAAUUGAAAUUGCCUAAUUUAAAAGUAAUAAGGUAAUUGGAAUUUGUAUAUAAUUGAGAUUAAUAAAAAGAAUAUUUUUGAAUACUUUAUAUUGGCUAUAAAUACUUUUGAAUUAAAAUUAAAAUUAUAUUCUUUUUAUAUGAAAAAAACCUAUUAGAUUUUUUUGAAUAUUUAUAAAAUAGAAUUUCACCUUCCACAGUCAAGUACUUGAUGCAUUCUCAAACAAGACUAUAAGUAAUAGGACAUCAAAUAAGACAUUUUGAUUGUCAUAACCUUCAAGACAAUGUAAUUGAGAUAAAGAUCCUCAAAAAUGAUAUAUCUUUCUUCAAAUAGAUGGCAAGAUAUAACAUAUUUGAUAUCACAACCAUAGAAGAAAUUUUCAAUAUUUGAUGAUUUAAUUAGAAGUAGGAACAACUCUUGAUGAUGUUUCAAAUAUUUUAUUUAAAGGAAGUUAUGAAGUCUUUAACAACAAUCAAAUAAUAUAGUGAUCUUUUAGCCUUAAUAUUGGAUACCAUCAAUUGUUGAGAAGACUUAUCAACCAUCUUCACAGGAAACAAAGUCAAAGUAUGUAGCAAAUACAAUUUGCUGCAUCUUUGAUUUUUCUACACAUAAUGACUACUUUUCAAGAAACACAUCUCUAGAACGGAGAAUAAUAUCACAUACAUAUUUAUUUUAAUAUUUAUUCAUAUAAUUAAGUAGAAGUAAGUAAAAAUAAAUUUAUUUCAUAAUAUUUUUUAGAGAAGAUUUUUAAAAGUUUCAUGGAUACUACUUUAACUUUACAUGUAUUUAUAGUAGAUUAGUAGGUUAAAUAUUUGGUCAAGAAAUAAAUCACAUAUCAGUAGCUUAAGAAACAAGCUACUUAAGUAGCACACAUAUAAAAAACUUGCCUUGCAAGUUAAAAUACAUGUCUUAUAAAGUCAACAUGUUUUGAAGAUCUUAUAGAAUACUGCCACAUAAUUCUUAGUUAAAUAGUAUAUAUUGUUAUAGGGUAUAGAUAAGACAUUUGUAUUAUUGACACAUAAGGAAAGAUAGUUAGAACCAUGGAAGUUUCUAGAAUUGGUAUUAGAUUAGUGGAUCAAGUAAAAUCCAUCAUAAAAUAUUUUAGAAAGAGUCUAAGGUGGAUAUUUAGGUGAAGCCUACCAUAUAACCUUCUAAAAAAAGGCUUAAAAUGGUCACAUAUGGCUUCAAAUCUUUUUUUUUAAAACAAAUGGGAUUUUUUAUUUUCUUGUUUUUUUUAUUCUAUUCUAAUUUUGAUUGCUUAGUUUUGUCUUUCAUGUCUCAUUUUAUUUAGUUCUAUUCAGUUUUAUUCUAGUUUAGUUUGUUCAAUCUUAUGAUAAGAUUUUAAGUUUUUGUGGAUUAAAAGAGUCUUGGAUACUUGAGAUAGACUAAUCCUAUUUUAUUGGUAUCAAAGCAAGUAUUAAACUAUUUUAUUUUAAUAGUAUAUCAAUAGUCAUCACCUAGUCCAAGAUCAAUUCUUAUGGUCACAUUGGAUAUUGUUUUGAGGCUACCACAAGCUAUUCUUAAAAAAUCAAUUAUAAGGUGAGAAGAUAUUAUAAUUAUGGAGUCCAACUCAGAAAUUACAACAUAGGAGAUAUGGCACAGAAAUCUUAGAUGGAAGCUCAAAUACAAUACCUCUUAAACGAGAUAGUUAUUUUGCAAGGACAAAUAGAAGCUUCAAGGACAAGAAGGUCAAUACCUACUAGGCUAAAAUUGAAUAAGCCUACUACAUACUUUAGAACUUCAAGACAAGAAGAUGUAUAUCAAUGGCUCUUUUAUAUGCAACAAUACUUCUAACUAUCUAAGGCAAAUACCACUAAAUGAAUUAUAUAUGUAGCGAGCUAUUUAAGAGAUAUGGCAACUAUUUGAUAAUGACAUUGAAUUCAAAGCUAUGGAGCUUAAGGUGGAUUUUGUCAUUGGAAGGAAUUUGAGACCGAGUUUAAGAAUGAAUUUUGGUCCAUCAAUGUGGAGAAGAUAGCACAUGAUGAGCUGACAAAUCUUACACAAUUUAGGUUGGUGCAAGUUUAUGUCUCCCAAUUCAAGUUCCUAUGUUUCUAAAUUGAUAAUUUUUUAGAGGAGGAAAUGAUGGAUUGAUUCUUAUGAAGUUUGAAACCUAGGGUUUAGCAAGAAGUAGAGCUAAAAGAUUUACAAACAUUUGAAGAGAUAAUUUGGAUUGUAAAAAGUGUUGAUGCUAUAGAUUUUAGAAAUCAUGGAGUGUGAUCUAUACUACAAAGUCCUAUGUUGCUAUUUAAUAUCAUGGCAUAACAACCAAUACCAAUAGAGAUUGAUAUCCUAUAAAGAUCAUUGAUACAAUAAAGACAAUAAAUAUUGGUACAAAAAGAAUUUUAUUUCUAUUGUUAAGAGCUACGACAUCGGAUUGGAGAUUGUCUAAAAUAUCAAAAUUUAAGCACUAGCAAAAAAAGAUGGAUUCACAGUCUCAAAAUUCACCAAGUUGAUAGUGAAACAAAGCAAGAAAAUGGAGCUCCUUUGUAAAGAUGCCAAGGGCUAGUACUAGGGAUAGCUACUAUCUCUAAAAGUCAAAUGGCAUGACCUUGAAAAACUAUAAAAAAAAGUAGACUGAUGCAUCUAAUGGGACUACUAAGAGGACAACCAUAUUGAGUACUUCUAGAUUAUAGCUCUAGAAAAAAUUGUAUCUCAACUAAAAUUACUACAUGACUUGGAAUUAAAAUUAAGGCAAUUAAAGGAGGAAGUAUAUACCUUAUAGAUGAUCAAGAAAACAUAAUGAGUGAGACAUGUGAAGAAGAAAUCUUGAGGUUGACUAACAUAUACAUCUUAAGAAAAAGAUUGAAGGUGAUAUAGUUAAGAUAUAAUACUAUCUUUGAUAUGCCAUUACUAGAGAUGAAAAAUAAGCAAGUUGAUUGGCUAGCAAGGACAAUCUUCUAUAAAGAUGGUAGACAUAAGGUGAUUCUUUGUACCUCUACAUGAAGUAAAAAAAAAAAGACAAUCUGUAACCAAAGACUUACUUAUAGGGAUGACUUUUAAGAAGAGGCAAAUAUUGCAUAAGCAAUCAGUUUAUAUAGUGGUUCCAAAUCUUACAUCAAUAGUAGGAAAGAUAAUCAAAGGAAUAGAAUAUAUACAUCAAUUCAUAUAAGAAUAUUGAGAUGUCUCUCUAAUUCACGUACUUAGUGAGGUGCCUCCUUUCAAAUAGAACUAUUUUCUUAAGCCAAACUAACAAGUUGGUCAAUUUACCACGUAGCUUCAAAAGAAUUUGAAGAACUAUAGAAGAUAUUGGAUGAAUUCUUAGAGAAAUGCCUCAUUUGAGAAAGUACAUCACCAUAGAAAGCAUUUUUAUUCUUUGCGUCUAAAAAGGAUAGUGAACUUUGUAUUUGCAUUGACUAUUGAUGCCUCAAUAAGCAAAUUGUUAAAAUGCAUAUCCACUUUUACACGUGGAUGAUCUUCUUGACCAACUUCAAGAUAUAACUAUCUUUAAUAAAUUAGACAUUUGAAAGAGAUAUUGGCAAACACCUAUUGUAAGAGGAUGUAAGAAAAAUAAUAUUUUAUAUGUGCUAUGAAUAUUUUGAAUGGCUGAUUUUACCUUUUGGUCUCACCAAUAUUCUAGCCUCUUUCAUAGAUAACAUAAAUAUAUUCUUUUGGGACCUUUUAGACAAGUAUGUAAUUGUCUUUAUUGAUUAUAUCUUUGUAUCUAAUAAAACCCUUGAAGAGCAUGAAUAACACCUACAAGAAGUCUUAUGUCGGCUACAAGAUAGUCGCUUAUAUUGCAAGCAAUCAAGAUGUGAACUUUGGAAGUUGGAAGUCACCUUUUUGAGGCAUGUGAUGUCUUCCAAAGGCAUGCAUAUGAAACAAAAUAAGGCAAAAGUAGUGGCAAAAUAGCCAACCUCCAAAGGUGCUUCUAAAGUGCACUCAUUUUUAGGCCUUGUUGGAUAUUAUUGUCAUUUUAUUUGGCAAUUUGCUCAUGUGGUUGUUUCAUUGAUGAGCCUAUUGAAAAAAGAUGCUCUAUUUGAAUAGAAAUUGGAGCAAUAAAGAGCUUUUUAUAGGUUAAAGGAGGAACUUAUUAGUGCUCCAAUAUUACAACCAUAUGAUCCUAUUCUUCUUUAUAUGCUUGACAUUGAUUCUUCCAACUUUGCUAUUGGAGCCGUCUAUCAACAAGACUUAAGUAGGAGCAUUCAACUUGUGGCAUUGUCACGGCCAUAAUCAUGUAAGCUAAUAAUUACAUAUAGAAAUAGGUAGAAGUAAGUAAAAGUAGAUAAAAGUAAGUUAAUUCUAUAAUAUUUAAUAUAGAAGCUUCCUAGAAAUUUCCUAGACGCUGCUUUGACUUCAUAGGUGUCUUUAAUUGACUUUUUGGAUUAGAAACGUGGUCAACAAGUUGGCCAUGUGCCACACAUGUUGUUAGCUUGAAGAUCAAGCUAACUAUGUGGCUCACACAUAGAAAAACUUGCCUUGUAAGUCAAGGCAUGUGCCCUAUAAAGUCAACACAUAUUGGAGGUCCUAUAGAACGUCGCCACGUAGCCCCUAGUUAGAGAGUAUAUAUAGAGACAAGAGUGAAGGCUUCUUCACUCUUGUCAACUCCUUUCUUGCUUCUAGUUUGUUUCAAGGGUCUCUAGUUUUCUUUUGGCAAUAGCCAUUCCAGUUUCUCUUUCAAUAUAUAUACUUGUUUGUAUAUAUUUUGUUACCUCUCUUUGAGUGAAUGCUCACUUGUUUGAAUUGUUUUUUCAUUGAGUUCUUAUCCUUGACAGAUUGACAAGAGUACACUUACAAUAUCAGAGCUUUGUUUUUCUUGAGUAAGAGUGGAUUACCCCUUUCUCUUGACAAGACAUAAGCGUAUUAGAAGUUUGCGGAUUACCCACUUCUAAACUGAUAUUGUUCUUAGUAUCUUCUUUGUUAUCAAGUCUUUUUUUUUUCUUUUGUCUUGAGCAAUAUCAGACAAAUUUUUCUUCUUAGUAUCAUUAUGGCAGAGCUUGUUGAAAUAAAGAGUGCAAUGGCACAAAUGCAAGAAUAAUUGAGAGAGUUAAUGCUUGCGAUGCAUCAACUCAAUUUACCAACACAAGAAAAAACAAGAAUAGCAGAAAGUGGAGAUAUAGAGAUGAUCCGAGCUGCUUCAACAUCUGCACCAAAUCACAUUCCUUCUCCAAUUGUACAACAUCCUGUAAGUACUAGAGAACCAAGAAUUGCUUUACUCGAGAAAUUUGAUGGUAUAAGAUCAAAGUUUCGAGGAUUCAUCAAUCAAGUACAAUUGGCAAUUAAACUUCAACCGCAAAGCUAUUCAACUCCAUGAUCACAAGUCAGGUUUAUUGGCACUCUACUUUCUGGUUCUGCAUUAUCGUGAUUUUCGUCUUUUCUUGAACAAUGAAAUCCAAUAUUGGACAAUUUGGAAGCUUUUUUCGCGGAGUUUUGAUCUAUGUAUGGUGAAUACGAUGCAACUCAUGUCGCAACAAACAAGAUCCGAAUUCUACGACAAGGAAACUGCUCAGUAACAAUGUAUGCUUCACAAUUUCGACAACUUGUAAUUGACAUCAAGUGGGAUGAUGCUGCACUCAUCAGUCAAUUUCUUUAUGGAUUGCAAUACGAAGUAAAGAAAUUGAUGCUCAACUUACCUGAUCCUCAAACUUUGAGUCAAGCAAUCGAUUUUGCGGUAAAAUGUGACAAUCGACUUUUUGAAUUUCGAUUCGAGAGUCGUACACGGGAACCUCAACGUUAUUACUCAAUGGCAACAUCAGCAUCUUCGCCAAAUGUACAUUCAGAAGUAGAAGACAUGCAAAUUGACGCGGUACGUUUUAAACCCCUAACUGAGCAAGAAAAGAUUCGUCGUCGUCAAGAAGGAUUAUGUUUAUACUACGGAGAACCUAAGCACACUGCUCAACAUUGUCCAAAGAAACAACGUAACUAUAAAAUGAGGGGUACGGCGGUCAAAGAAGACAACAUGUUGGAAAACGGGUUCGUCGAGCUACAAUAGGGACCGUGCAGCUCGAACCUUGUACAAUUCCUAAUGAAGGUCAUAUCCUCUCCUCAGAACCCUCUUCUUGUUUUAUAAUAGAAUUAUAUUUAGGACCUAAGAAUUACAAAGCCUUUGCUUUAUUAGAUUCGGGAGCCUCAGCAUGUUUUUUAGAUGAACAAUUUGUUAAAAGUCAUAAAAUACCUUUUGUACAGAAAACUAAACCCGUACAUGUAGAAGUCAUUGAUGGCCGUCCUUUGUCUUUUGGAGAUGUCACUCAUGAAACUCGCCCUAUAAAAGUAACAAUAAAUGGUCAUGUUAGCUACAUAGCUUUUAACAUAAUUAAAUCUCCAUCCAAUCCAAUUAUUUUAGGUUUAUCCUGGCUAGAAAAAUAUAACCCUCGAAUAGAUUGGAAUUCUCGUAAACUUGAAUUUUUCCAAAGCAUUAUUAAUAGUUCUACCAACUAAGUAAAAAGUUAUAAAUCUAGUAUAGUAAAAUCCGUACUUAUAUAUGCAAAAGCAUUUAUAUACGCAGCAAAAAAAGGAUCAACUUUUGCUAUUUAUGCUGCACCUAUUUCUGAAAGCGUAAAGACUUCAAGUGGCAUUCCAAGUCAAUAUCAGGAUUAUCAAGACGUUUUUGAGAAAAAUAAUGCAGAUAUUCUUCCUGAGCAUCACCAAUAUGAUUGUUCAAUCGACCUCAAGGAAGGAACUCAGCCACCAUUUGGACCAAUUUACAGCUUAUCGCGAGAUGAGUUGGCUGAACUCAAGACAUAUAUUGACGAGAAUUUAGCGAAGAAUUUCAUAUGCCAUUCAAAAUCUCCAGCAGGAGCUCCAAUUCUAUUCGUAAAGAAAAAAGAUGGAUCUUUGCGAAUGUGUGUUGACUAUCGAGGACUCAACAAGAUCACAAUCAAGAACAGGUAUCCAUUAUCUUUGAUAUCAGGACUCCUUGACCAGUUGAAUCAGGCUAAGAUUUAUACAAAAAUAGAUCUAAGAGGAGUAUAUAAUCUAGUACGAAUCAAGGAAGGAGAUGAAUGGAAGACUGCAUUUCGAGCCAGGUACGGACAUUUUGAAUAUAAUGUCAUGCCUUUUGGACUCACGAAUGCACCUGCUACUUUUCAACAUCUCAUGAAUGAUAUAUUUCAUGAAUUCUUAGACAAUUUUGUCGUCUGCUACCUAUACGAUAUCCUGAUCUAUUCUAACAACGUCGAAGAACAUGAAAUACAUGUUCGUCAAGUAUUACAAAAACUUAGAGAUGCAGGAUUGUACGCCAAGAUGGAAAAGUGUAUAUUUCAUACUACUCAAGUUGACUUUUUAGGAUACAUUAUUUCAAAUAAUGGUCUCAUGAUGGAUUCUAAGAAAGUCCAGACAAUCAUGGAUUCAAAGAUUCCAAGGACAAUAAGAGAUGUCAAAUGUUUCUUGGGAUUUACCAAUUACUAUCGGAUCUUCACCAAAGACUUUUCACGAGUUGCAGCUCUACUUACACGCUUGACCAAUAAAGACAAAUUCCAAUGGAAUCAAGAAGCGGAAGCAGCAUUUGAAGCCUUGAAGACAUCGUUUGUAUCUGCACCAGUCUUAUAUCGUGUUGACUUUUUCAAGGCAUUUUUUAUGGAAACAGACGCAUCAAAUUUUGCCUUGGGUGCAGUUUUGUCACAAAUGGGAACAGAUGACAAACUUCAUCCGAUAGCUUUUCAUUCAAGAAAAUUCUCAAUAGCCGAGAUCAAUUAUGAGAUCCACGAUAAAGAACUACUUGCAAUCGUGGAUUCCUUUCAAGAAUGGCGUCAUUAUCUAAAAGGCGCUUCUAGUCCAGUCACUGUGUAUACAGAUCACAAGAACCUCGAGUAUUUCAUGUCAGCAUGCGUGUUGAAUCGUCGUCAAGCUCGUUAGAGUAUGUCUUUGUCAAGAUUCGAGUUCAUUAUCACUUAUCAGCCAGGAAAACAACAAGGUUUGUCCGAUGCAUUGUCUAGACGUUCUUAUUUUGCACCAAAAGAAGGAGAUGCAACUUUUGAGCAACAAAGAACAGUCCUCUUGAAACCAGAGCAAUUUCAUCUCCGAGCAAUGAAAUCAACAUUGACUGUUGAUUCAACUUUUCUCAAGCAAAUCCAGUCCAGUAUGUGUCACGGACAUACAUAUAAUUACCUAUAUGAAUAGAUAAAAGUAUGUAAAAGUAGGUUAAUUGUGUAAUAUCUUCUAGAGAAGCUUCUUAGAAGCUUCAUAGAUGCUGCUUUGACUUUAUAGGAGUCUAUAGUUGACUUUUAGGUUAGAAACUUGGUCAACAAGUUAGCCAUGUGCCACGCAUGUUGGAAGCUUAAAGAACAAGCUAACUACGUGGUCCAUCCAUAGAAAACUUGCCUUGCAAGCAAAGGCAUGUGGCCUAGAAAGUCAACAUAUAUUGGAGGUCUUAUAGAACAUCGCCACGUGGCUUCUAGUUAGAUAAUAUAUAUAAAGGCAAGAGUGAAGCCCUCUUCACUCUUGUCAACUCCUUUCUUGCUUCUAGUCUAGUUUCAAGGGUCUCUAGUUUUCUUGUAUUUUGGCAAUAGCCAUUCCAGUUUCUUUCUUAAUAUACAUAUUUCUAUUUUGUCCUAUUUCUUUUUGAGAAAAGUCUCACUUACUCUUUAGCUUUUAUCGAGUUCUUGUCCCUGACAGAUUGACAAGAGUACACUUACAAUAUCAGAGCUUUGUCUUUUCUUGAUUAAGAGUGGAUUACCCCUUUUUCUUGAUAAGACAUAAGCGCAUUAGAAGUUACGGAUUACCCUCUUUUAAACUGAUAUUGUUCUUAGUAUUUUCUUUGUUAUCAAUUCCUCUCUUCUAUUUGUUUUGAGCGUUGUUAGACAUCUUCUCUUUUCUAAGUGCUACUAUGGCAGAGCUUGUUGAAAUGAAGAGUGCAAUGGCACAGAUGCAAGAACAAUUGAGGGAGUUAAUGCUUGCGAUGCAUCAACUCAAUUUACCACCACAAGGAGCAACAAGAAUGGUAGGAAGUGAAGAUAUAGAGAUGAUUGGGGCUGCUUCAACAUCUGCACCAAACCAUGUCCCUUCUCCCAGAAUGGAACACCCUUCGAGUGUUAGAGAACCGAGAGUUGCCUUGCCCGAGAAGUUUGAUGGUACCAGAUCCAAGUUUCGAGGAUUCAUCAAUCAGGUCCAACUAGUGAUUGAACUUCAACCCCAGAGCUAUCCAACUCCAGGGUCACAAGUAAGAUUCAUUGGUACACUUCUUUCAGGUUCAGCAUUGUCAUGGUUUUCAUCUUUUCUUGAACGACGAGAUCCAAUAUUGGAUAAUCUGGAGGCUUUUUUGGCGGAGUUUCGAUCCAUGUUUGGAGAACAUGAUGCAAUUCGUGUUGCAACCAACAAGAUCCGUAUUUUGCGACAAGACAAUCGAUCAGUAACAUUAUAUGCUUCGCAAUUUCGACAACUUGCAACUGAUAUCAAGUGGGAUGAUGCCGCACUUGUGAGUCAAUUUCUCUACGGAUUACAAUAUGAGGUAAAGAAAUUGAUGCUUAAUUUACCUGAUCCUCAAACAUUGAGUCAAGCAAUUGACUUUGCUGUGAAGUGCGACAAUCGACUUUUUGAAUUUCGAUCCGAGAGUCGCACAAGUGGGCCUCAACGUUACUACAAUUCAAUGGCAACACCGACGUCUCCUCAACACAUACCUUCGGAAGUAGAGGAUAUGCAAAUUGAUGCGGUACGUUUCAAACCUCUUACUGAGCAAGAAAAGUCUCGUCGUCGACAAGAAGGAUUGUGCUUAUAUUGUGGAGAACCUAAGCACACUGCUCAACAUUGUCCAAAGAAGCGACGUAACUACAAAAUGAGGAAUACGGCUGUCAAAGAAGACAGUAUGUCGGAAAACGAGUACGUCCAGCUACAAUAGGGACCGUGCGGCUGGAAUCUUGUACAACUUCUUAUAAAGGUCCUAUCCUCUCCUCAAAACCAUCUCCUUGUUUUAUAAUAGAUGUGCGUUUAGGACCUAAUAAUUACAAAGCCUCUGCCUUGGUAGAUUCAGGAGCCUCAUCUUGUUUUUUAGAUGAAGAAUUUGCUAGAUGUCAUAGAAUAUCAUUAAUACAAAAAACUAAACCUGUACACGUAGAAGUCAUAGAUGGUCGUCCGUUGUCUUCUGGAGAUGUAACUCACGAAACACUUCCUGUAGAUGUAGUAAUAAAUGGUCAUAGUAGUUGCGUAAUUUUUAAUAUAAUUAGAUCUCCCUCUAAUCCAGUAAUUUUAGGCUUAUCAUGGUUAGAAAAGUAUAAUCCUCGAAUAGAUUGGAUUUCUCGUAAACUUGAUUUUCCUCAGAGCAUUAGUAACAGUUCUAUUAACCAAGUAAAAAACCAUGAGUCUAGUAUAGUAAAACUCACACCUAUAGGUGCAAAAGCAUUUAUAAACGCAGCAAAAGAAGGAUCAACUUUUGCUAUUUAUGCUGCACCUAUUUCUGAAAGCGUAAAGACUUCAAGUGGCAUUCCAAGUCAAUAUCAGGAUUAUCAAGACGUUUUUGAGAAAAAUAAUGCAGAUAUUCUUCCUGAGCAUCGCCCAUACGAUUGUUCAAUCGAUCUCAAGGAAGGAACUCAGCCACCAUUUGGACCAAUUUACAGUUUAUCGCAAGAUGAGUUGGCUGAACUCAAGACAUAUAUUGACGAGAAUUUAGCGAAGAAUUUCAUACGCCAUUCAAAAUCUCCAGCAGGAGCUCCAAUUUUAUUCGUAAAGAAAAAAGAUGGAUCUUUACGAAUGUGUGUUGACUAUCGAGGACUCAACAAGAUCACAAUCAAGAACAGGUAUCCAUUACCUUUGAUAUCAGGACUCCUUGACCAGUUAAAUCAAGCUAAGAUCUAUACAAAAAUAGAUCUAAGAGGAGCAUAUAAUCUAGUACGGAUCAAAGAAGGAGAUGAAUGGAAGACUGCGUUUCGAACCAGGUACGGGCAUUUUGAAUAUAAUGUCAUGCCUUUUGGACUCACGAAUGCACCAGCUGCUUUUCAACAUCUCAUGAAUGAUGUAUUUCGUGAAUUCUUAGACAAUUUUGUCGUCUGCUACCUAGACGAUAUCCUGAUUUAUUCUAAGAAUGUUGAAGAACAUGAAAUACAUGUUCGUCAAGUAUUACAAAAACUCAGAGAUGCAGGAUUGUACGCCAAGAUGGAAAAGUGUGUAUUUCACACUACUCAAGUUGACUUUUUAGGAUACAUCAUUUCAAAUGAUGGUCUUAUGAUGGAUUCUAAGAAAGUCCAAACAAUCAUGGAUUGAAAGAUUCCAAAGACUAUGAGAGAUGUCCAAUGUUUCUUGGGAUUUGCCAAUUACUAUCGGAUCUUCAUCAAAGACUUCUCACGAGUUGCAGCUCCACUUACACGCUUGACUAGUAAAGAUAAAUUUCAAUGGAAUCAAGAAGCGGAAGCAGCAUUUGAAGCCUUGAAGACAUCGUUUGUCUCUGCACCAGUCUUAUAUCGUGUUGAUUUUUCCAAGGCAUUUUUUAUGGAAACAGACGCAUCGGAUUUUGCCUUGGGUGCAGUUUUAUCACAAAUGGGAACAGAUGACAAACUUCAUCCGAUAGCUUUUCAUUCAAGAAAAUUCUCAGCAGCCGAGAUCAAUUAUGAAAUCCACGAUAAAGAACUUCUUGCAAUCGUGGAUUCCUUUCAAGAAUGGCGUCAUUAUCUAGAAGGUGCUUCUAGUCCAGUCACUGUGUAUACAGAUCACAAGAACCUCGAGUAUUUCAUGUCAGCACGCGUGUUGAAUCGUCGUCAAGCUCGUUGGAGUAUGUCUUUGUCAAGAUUCGACUUCAUUAUCACUUAUCGGCCAGGAAAACAACAAGGUUUAUUCGAUGCCCUGUCUAGACGUUCUUAUUUUGCACCAAAAGAAGGAGAUGUAGCUUUUGAGCAACAAAGAACGGUCCUCUUGAAACCGGAGCAAUUUCAUCUCCGAGCAGUGAAAUCAACAUUGACUGUUGAUUCAACUUUUCUCAAGCAAAUCCAGUCCAGUAUGUCCUCAGACCCUCUUGUUCAUGAUAUCGAGAAUAAUUCUUUCAAGUCUCAUGAUUCUUCUAAGUUCGAGUUCAAGAAUAAUCUAUUAUAUUUUGAAGGACGCCUAUAUGUUCCAGAAGGAAAAGCACGUUUGCGUGUUCUUCAAGCACGUCAUGACUUUCCAGCAGCAGGGCACUUUGGAUAUAAUAAGACUCUGGAACUCAUAUCAAGAGAUUUUUGGUGGCCACAAAUGUGGAAGUCAGUCAAAGACUUUGUACAAUCAUGUGAUAUUUGUUCAAGAUCAAAAAUUCCUCGACAUCGACCUUACGGACUUCUUCAGCCAUUACCUAUACCAGAACAACCAUGGUCUUCUGUUUCUAUGGAUUUCAUCACAGAUCUUCCAAACUCAAGAUCUUAUGAUUCUAUAUUUGUGAUAGUAGAUCGUUUCACCAAGAUGGCACAUUUUAUGCCAUGUACAAAAUCUAUCACAGGUGAAGAAAUAGCUAAGCUUUUCAUUGAUAAUAUCUAUCGCUAUCAUGGAUUACCUAAAGAUAUCAUAUCAGAUAGGGGAACUCAAUUUGUGUCGAGAUUCUGGAGGACUCUUUUCAAGAUUUUAAAAGUGGAUAUAAAGCUAUCUUCAGCUUUCCAUCCUCAAACUGAUGGACAAACAGAGCGCGUAAACCAAGUCUUGGAACAGUAUUUAAGGUGUACCAUCAACUACCAACAAGAUGAUUGGACAAACCUUCUGCCAUUGGCAGAGUUUGCUUAUAAUAAUACGGUACAUUCCUCCAUGCAACAAACACCUUUCUUUGCCAAUUAUGGCUAUCAUCCACGACUUGAUACUUUUGAUUUUUCAAAAGUUGAUAAUCCUGCAGCAGAAGAUAUGGCAAAUCGGUUGUCAGAGUUAUAUACAAUAAUGAAGGCGCAGUUGAAGAAAGCUCAAGAACGACAAAAGAUAAAUGUAGAUGUAUAUCGUAAAGAGCAACCACAACUCAACGUGGGUGAUAAGGUAUGGCUACUUCGUCGCAAUAUCAAGACCACUCGACCUUGUGACAAAUUGGACUAUCGUAGGCUUGGCCCCUUUUCUGUUUCUGAACAGAUCAACCCAGUUGCAUAUCGGUUACAUCUACCGGAGUCAAUGAAGAUCCAUCCUGUAUUCCACGUGUCUCUUCUUGAACCAUAUAAGACAGUGGAUAUACAAGGAAGAAGACAAAUGCCACCGCCUCCUAUAGAAGUAGAUAAUAAUGAAGAAUUUGAGGUGGAAGAGAUAUUAGACUCAAGGCGGCGCCGAAAUAAGCUGGAAUAUCUUGUUCAUUGGUGCGGAUAUGAUAUUAGUAAGCGCACAUGGGAGCCAUCCAGGAAUCUAGCAAAUGCAUCAGCUAAAGUCAAAGUUUUUCAUCAACGACAUCCAUCAAAACCAAGAUGAAAACCUCUCUUAUAAAAGAGACAAGAUUGAGGAAGUUAUGAAGGCCUCAACAGUGAUCAAAUAACAGGGUGGUCUUCUCGCCCUGGAAUGGGACACUAUCGAUGGCUAAGAGGAUCCAUCAACUAUCUUCGAAGAGAACAAAGAUCAGAGUAUGUAGCAAAUACAGUUCGCCGCAUAUUAGAUUUUCUCAAUAUAUAAUCACCGCUCCUCGUGGAACUCGUCCCUAGAAGGGGGGGUAAUGUCACGGACAUACAUAUAAUUACCUAUAUGAAUAGAUAAAAGUAUGUAAAAGUAGGUUAAUUGUGUAAUAUCAUCUAGAGAAGCUUCUUAGAAGCUUCAUAGACGCUGCUUUGACUUUAUAGGAGUCUAUAGUUGACUUUUAGGUUAGAAACUUGGUCAACAAGUUAGCCAUGUGCCACGCAUGUUGGAAGCUUAAAGAACAAGCUAACUACGUGGUCCAUCCAUAGAAAACUUGCCUUGCAAGCAAAGGCAUGUGGCCUAGAAAGUCAACAUAUAUUGGAGGUCUUAUAGAACAUCGCCAUGUGGCUUCUAGUUAGAUAAUAUAUAUAGAGGCAAGAGUGAAGCCCUCUUCACUCUUGUCAACUCCUUUCUUGCUUCUAGUCUAGUUUCAAGGGUCUCUAGUUUUCUUGUAUUUUGGCAAUAGCCAUUCCAGUUUCUUUCUUAAUAUACAUAUUUCUAUUUUGUCCUAUUUCUUUUUGAGAAAAGUCUCACUUACUCUUUAGCUUUUAUCGAGUUCUUGUCCCUGACAGUAUGUCCUCAGACCCUCUUGUUCAUGAUAUUGAGAAUAAUUCUCCCAAGUCUGAUGAUUCUUCUAAGUUCGAGUUCAAAAAUAAUCUAUUAUAGUUCGAAGGACGCCUAUAUGUUCCAGAAAGAGAAGCACGUUUACGUGUUCUUCAAGCACGUCAUGAUUUUCCAACAGCAGGACACUUUGGAUAUAAUAAGACUUUGGAACUCAUAUCAAGAGAUUUUUGGUGGCCACAAAUGUGGAAGUCAGUCAAAGACUUUGUACAAUCAUGUAAUAUUUGUUCAAGAUCAAAAACUCCUCGUCAUCGACCUUACGGACUUCUUCAGCCAUUACCUAUACCAGAACAACUAUGGUCUUCUUUUUCUAUGGAUUUCAUCACAUAUCUUCCAAGCUCAAGAUCUUAUGAUUCUAUAUUUGUGAUAGUAGAUCGUUUCACCAAGAUUGCACAUUUUGUGCCAUGUACAAAAUCUAUCAUAGGUGAAGAAACAGCUAAGCUUUUCAUUGAUAAUAUCUAUCCCUAUCAUGGAUUACCUAAAGAUAUCAUAUCGGAUAGAGGAACUCAAUUUGUGUCGAGAUUUUGGAGGACCCUUUUCAAGAUUUUAAAAGUAGACAUAAAGCUAUCUUCGGCUUUCUAUCCUCAAACUGAUGGACAAACAGAGCGCGUAAACCAAGUCUUGGAGCAGUAUUUAAGGUGUACCAUCAACUACCAAUAAGAUGAUUGGACAACCCUUCUGCCAUUGGCAGAGUUUGCUUAUAACAAUACGGUACAUUCUUCCACGCAACAAACACCUUUCUUUGCCAAUUAUGGCUAUCAUCCACGACUUGAUGCUUUUGAUUUUUCAAAAGUUGAUAAUCCUGUAGCAGAAGAUAUGGCAAAUCUGUUGUCAGAGUUACAUGCAAUAUUGAAGGCACAAUUGAAGGAAGCUCAAGAACGACAAAAGAUAAACGCAGAUGUAUAUCGUAAGGAGCAACCACAACUCAACGUGGGUGAUAAGGUAUGGCUACUUCGUCGUAAUAUCAAGACCACUCGUCCUUGCGACAAGUUGGACUAUCGAAGGCUGGGACCAUUUUCUAUUUCUGCACAAAUCAAUCCAGUUGCAUAUCGUUUACAUCUACCGAAGACAAUAAAAAUCCAUCCAGUAUUCCACGUGUCUCUUCUUGAAUCAUACAAGACAGUGGACAUACCAAGAAGACGACAAGCUCCACCUCCUCCUAUAGAAGUGGACAAUAAUGAAGAAUUUGAAGUAGAAGAAGUCUUAGAUUCAAGGCGGCGUCAAAAUAAAAUAGAAUAUCUUGUCCAUUGACGUGGAUAUGAUAUUAGUGAACGCACAUGGGAGCCAAUGAAGAAUCUUGCAAAUGCAACAAAGGCGGUGGAGGCUUUUCAUCGACGACAUCCAUCAAAAUCAAGAUGAAAACCUUCUUUAUAAAAGAAACAAUAUCUAGGCAAGAUAACAUUCUACUUUUAAUUCUUGUUCGUAGCUUCGUUGUAGUAGUGGCGCUCAGGAGAUGGAGAACCAACAACCAGCGGAUUCAACUCAAGAGCCUUCAUUUGCUGACCUGCCGGACGAGACAUUACGAUUGUCACAACCUUCAAGACGACGCAAUCGAGAUGAAGAUCUUCAAGAACGACAUGUUCUUCCUCGAAUAGAUGGUGAGAUACAACACGUUUGGUAUCACGAUUUGGGAAGAGACUCCCGAUGUUUGGUGAUUUUGCUAGAGGUAGGAACAACUCCUAAUGGUGUUCCAAAUAUUCUAUUCGAAGGAAGUUACAAAGGCCUCAACAAUGAUCAAAUAACUGGGUGGUCUUCUCGCCCUGGUAUGGGACACUACCGAUGGUUGAGAGGCCCUAUCAAUCAUCUUCGAAGAGAACAGAGAUCAGAGUAUGUGGCGAAUACAAUUCGUCGCAUCAUAGAUUUCCUCAACAUAUGAUGACCGCUCCUCAUGGAAUUCGUCCCUAGAAGGGGGGGUAAUGUCACGGCCAUAAUCAUGUAAGCUAAUAAUUACAUAUAGAAAUAGGUAGAAGUAAGUAAAAGUAGAUAAAAGUAAGUUAAUUCUAUAAUAUUUAAUAUAGAAGCUUCCUAGAAAUUUCCUAGACGCUGCUUUGACUUCAUAGAUGUCUUUAAUUGACUUUUUGGAUUAGAAACGUGGUCAACAAGUUGGCCAUGUGCCACAUAUGUUGUUAGCUUGAAGAUCAAGCUAACUAUGUGGCCCACACAUAGAAAAAAUUGCCUUGUAAGUCAAGGCAUGUGCCCUAUAAAGUCAACACAUAUUGGAGGUCCUAUAGAACGUCGCCACGUAGCCCCUAGUUAGAGAGUAUAUAUAGAGACAAGAAUGAAGGCUUCUUCACUCUUGUCAACUCCUUUCUUGCUUCUAGUUUGUUUCAAGGGUCUCUAGUUUUCUUUUGGCAAUAGCCAUUCCAGUUUCUCUUUCAAUAUAUAUACUUGUUUAUAUAUAUUUUGUUACCUCUCUUUGAGUGAAUGCUCACUUGUUUGAAUUAUUUUUUCAUCGAGUUCUUAUCCUUGACAGGCAUAUGAAUCACGUUGUCAUGAUGUAAUAUGAUUAAUAGGUGAAAGAGUGUGGAGAUUAUUAUAAUUUAGGAGAUCUUAGUUCAAAAUAUUAGAACAAAUUAUCUUAGAAAUAUAGUUAAUAGUCAAAGGGAUAGAAAAAUUAAAGGGUACCAAUGCUGCCUUUUAGAAAGGUACCUUUUAGAAAGGUCUUUACUUUGUAGUACCAUAAGUAAAGCAAAUCAAAGUAGAUUGGAAAAAUAAAUAAUAUAGGCAUCUUUAGAAGAAAGUUAAGAGUAAAUUCUAGAAAAAAUUUACUUAGAAAAACUAGAUAUUGAUACCCGGAGAGGCCCAGUUAUGAACCAGGGUCGAAAUCAGACCCUAGGGCACAAAACCGAGUCUCGACGACGAUUUUGGGGUUCUUUUGGAGAUCAGAGAGUGAGGUUUGAAAGCAGACUGAAUAGGUUUUCUAUGAACAUUGAUUUUGGAUGAUUUGGAAGUGAUAUGACUUUGUAAGAGCUUUGCAAAGUUGAAGUUUGUUUCAAAUGACUUGGAUUUUAUGAAAUAAAAUAGGGUUUACGUUUUGGAUAAUUUCAAGAGUUUUGUAAUAGAUCUGUAGGUGAAAUUUUGUGAGUUUAUGGUUAUAGUUGUGUUUAAUAUGUGUCGUAAAUUUGAGCUUGAUUUAACGGUUGAAUUGAGGAAUAGUGAGGUUUAAGUGGGUCAAGGUCUCAGAAAAAAGAAUUUUAGGUCUAGUGGGGGUUUUGAGAUUUCUUGCAAUCUAUUAGUUGGAUUGGAAUGAAACUUAUAUGAGAGGAUAUUAGACUUGUUUUUCUAUGCGUAUGAGAAUUUUGAGAUCAAUCGAAAGGUGCAAAAGAGAGAUAUUGGCUCUAGAAGAUUGGCAUUAAGAUUGGAGAAGGAGGCCGGCUAAUACCCGAGCACAUUUUUGAAGAUAUUGUCAAUUUGGUAACUCCGAUCUUUAUCAAUUUUUUUGUGUUUGUUCUUAACUUAUUUUUUUAGAAGUAUGAAAUUUUUUAGUUAAGAUCAACGGUUUAUUCAUUAGUUAUUGAGGUUUAAAUCUGUUGUAGGAAUAAUUAGGAUUUGAUUUAGGGUUUAGGGUUUGGGUUAGGGUUUGGUUUAGGAUUUAGGAUUUGGAUAGGGUUUAAUUUAGGAUUUAAGGUUUGGAUUAGGAUUUGGUUUAGGAUUUAGAAUUUCAUUAGGGAUUAAUAUUUGAUUAGGAUUUGAUUUAGGAUUUAGGAUUUGGUUUAGGGUUUAGAGUUCGGAUUAGGGUUUGAUUUAGGGUUUAGGAUUUGGAUAGGAUUUGGUUUCGGAUUUAGGGUUCGGAAUAGGGUUUGAUUUAGGAUUUAGGAUUUGAAUUAGGAUUUGAUUAGGGAUUAUGGUUUGAUUAGGGUUUGAUUUAGGAUUUAGGAUUUAUUUAGGAUUUGAUUAAGGUUGGAUUAGGAUUAGGAUUUGGUUAGAAUUUAAGGUUUUAUUAGAUUUUUGUUAAGAUUUGACUAAGUUUUCUUUAAUAUUCUUUUAUAUUUCUUUAGGAUUUCCUUGUGUUUCUUUUAUAACUUCAAUAAAAUUUAAUUGAGCUUGCUUAAUGUUUGAUUAUGAUUGUUAACAUUUAAUUGUAAAUUCUCUAUAAUCCUAUUGGAUUGUUAAAAUCCUUUGUUGCAAUUUUCUUUUACCUUCCACAUUCAGGUGCUCAACGCAUUUUUAAGCAAGACUUCACAUAAUACGACAACGUAAGCUCAGAAGGACAAGUGUAAUCACUCUAUAUGUGAUCGAGAGUAAUUACUAAUUGUACAUGCUACAAAGGUGUGGCGAAACUAUCUAUUGGGAGGACUAGUCAUUAUUUGGAUUGACCAUUGAUCCUUGCUACAUAAUUUGCAUGUGAAAAAUAUAAAAUCAUGACAUCAUCGUUAAAAAAAAUAAUUGUAAUUUUUUGAUAUUUAACUUGAGUACAAGUAAGGACGACAACAUACUAUGCAAGAAAACUUAUUAAAAAGACAAAACUUGAAGGAAAAAUCAAAAGACAAGGCAAAAGUUGCAACCAUUAAUAGUGUCAUUUCAAACCUAAUCAAAGAAGCAGAAUAGAAGGAAGCUAUGCAUUGGAAUGCUUAUUUCAAGAUGGUUAGCAAUUGGUUGAAGGUAAGUAAUAUAUAAUAUCAAAAUUACAGUCUUAAUGAUGGCUUGCUUUGUUUUAAGAAGCAGAUUUAUGUACCUGAUAAUAUUAUACUUCAAAUGUCUAUACUUCAAGAAGGACAUGAUAUCCCAAUAUUUAGACAUCUGGAACUAGAAAAGACUCUAGAAUGGAUCUCAAGGACAUGGUUUUGGGCAAGUUUGGAUCAUAAUGUUCGAGCCUUUGUAUGCUCUUGCGAAUCAUGUCAACAUAAUAAAUCACACAAUGUAGCAUCUUCUAAACUAUUGCAGCCAAUUUUGCUAUCUACGACACAUUAGAAGUAAGUGACUAUGGAUCUUAUUACAUGUUUGCCAUAGAUACCUCAUAAUCAUUUUAUAAUUGCUAUUUUUGUAAAUUAACUCUCAAAGCAACUUCACUUGAUCAUGAUCCACUUGGAUAUUGAUGUCUUUGUGCUUAUAUAAGUCUGCUUUGAUACCAUCUUUUAUCACCAUAGAUUAUCUUCUGUCAUCUUUUCAAAUUGGAAUCUAUACUUCACGAGAAGUUUUUGGCAAGCCUUGUUCAAGCUAUUAGGCAUAUAACUUUCUAUGUCUACAAUCUUAUAUUUCCAAACAAAUGGGCAAAUAGAGCAUGCAAAUCAGACCUUGGAAAAUUUAUUGUGGACAUUUGUGGUGGUUCAUCAUAAUGAUUGAGAUGAAUACUUGACACCCUUGGAGUUUACUUACAAUAAUAGUAUUCAAACAAAUAUUGAUCAUUCACCAUUUUUUUUAAUAUCAAUAAGUAUUUCAUUAUACUUGUAACUCUAUACCCUCCCAUUGAUACCAACAACCUGAUAACAAGGGAAUUUAUACAACGAAUUACAAUAACCUUAGAGGAGGCACUUUACUACCUCAUUAUCAUAGAAAAUUAAUAUAACUAAUAUGUGGAUAACCACCGACAAUAUAAGACCUUCCAAAAAGAUGAUCAAGUAUGACUAUCCAAUGCUAAGUUGCCACUUACUACAUCAAUUCAAAUCCAUAAUCUAGUACCUUGAUAGCUUGAAACUUUUCACGUUUCUAUAGUUCUUUUUGAUGUCGCAUAUUGCUUCAAACUUUUGUCACAUAUUUGAUCUAUUCAGUCUUUCAUGUUUUACAAUUAAAAGAAUUUCAUGCCGAGCCAAAGUACUUUUUGGAUCAAAACCAACCACCACCACUACUAGUUGUAGUUGAUGACCAACAAGAAUAUGAAAUGGACAGCAUUUUGGAACAUCGCUACCUCCAUCAUGGCAGUGGACAUCUACAACUUGAAUACAAAGUUCUUCGAAAAGGUUAUCUCAUUCACGAUGCAACAUGGAAACUUGCACAAAACUUCAUCCAUUACUAAGAGACAAUUUGGAGAUACCAUUGAAAGCAAAACAAUGACAUUUUUUAUUAGUAGAAGAGAUUUAAUUGUAGCAAGGUAUAGAUAAGAUAUAUAUAUUAUUGAUACAUAAGGAUAGAUAAUUAGAACCAUAGAAGUUUUUAGAAUUGGGAUUAGAUUAGUGGAAUAAGUAGGACCUACCAUGAAAUAUUCUAAAAAGAAUCUUGGGUGGUUUUCUAGGCAGGAUCCACUAUAUAACCUUCUAAAAAAGAUUUAGGGUAGAUAUUUAGAUAGGAUCUAUGAUAGGAUCUUUAAGAAGGAAUUUAAAAUGAUUAUCUCAAUAAGAUCUAUUACUUAAGAACAUUCUAAAAACUCUAGGAUAGUAGAACAAAGUAUAAAUAGGAUUACAUAAAACCUCAUCUAUUACAAGUAAUUACAUGUGAAAAAUUAGCAUCAUUAAGAUUUGUUGCAAUCAUUUCAAAAGUUAUUUUUUAAUAAUUUUUGUAUUCUUUCUUUUUAUUGACAUCAAUAUCAUGCUUGGAGGCUCUUCACUUUCAUCAAGAAUGUUUCAAAGAUCCAAUGAAGCUAACAAAAAUUCUAUUUUUUCUUUUAAUAAUAAAAGUUAUCAAUUUUAAAUUUUCAAUAAUCUUCAAGUCUUCACCUUGACUUGAAGCCAUAUCUAAAAAAGAGAUAUAUUAAAAAGAAUCAAAAAAAGAUGAGAUAGAAUUUUCAAGAUCAAAAUAAAGAAAUUAUUUCUUAAAAACUCAUUAGCCCUCUUUGUUAGUAAAUUAAUGAUUUCAUUCUUUAAUCAUUCUCAACUUUGACAAAAAUAUUUUUAUUCUCAUAAAUACCUUCUUAUCAUUAUAAAAAGACUUCUUAAGAAAUUUAGGACAUAAAAGCACAAUAUUAAUGCACCAAUGAUGUAACUUAGCAAAAAAAUACAACACUAGUAUUCUAAAACUUCAUUCUAAAGUAUCUUACAACUUCUAAGAUCAUGAAUGCAGUUAACAAUAAGUAAGAAAAAAACUACAUCAACAACUAGAUAUAAAAGAAAAUUUAGAAGAUAUCAAUCUCUAAUAUCAGCAAUAAUCAUAAAAUCUAUCUUUUACUACAAGAAAAACUUCAAAAAACUUCAAAACUCACAACUAAAGGUGAAUGGGCCCAUAACCUAUUGAAGAAAAAAGAACUUUGAAGUCACAAUACAUUGCAUUAGCAAGGUUUGUGAACAAAAAUAGUUGAUGAUUUUGACUUUGAUAAGAUCUUCAAUAUACAAGGAUAUUUACUUCUUUAUCUUAAUUUUUCUAUUAUUAUUGUACCUUGCAAUGUUUCUAUUAUUGAUCUUGUAAGUAAUAUUAGUUUACUACAUAACCAAUAUCUUUUGCUAUAAUUAGAAAGAUAUUAAAGAAUAUUUUUUAUUGAAUAAUAGAAAUAGCUAGUACAUUCAACUCAAGAGCCAUCAUUUGCUAAUUAAUUGGACAAGAUAUUGCGAUUAUCACAGCCUUCAAAUCAAUAUAAUUGAAUUAAAUAUCUUCAAAAAUAAUAUAUUCUUUCUUAAAUAGAUGGCAAGAUACAAUGCAUUUGAUAUCACAACCUAGGAAAAAAAUUCCAAUGUUUGGUGACUUUAUAUGAAUUGAAUGACUCCUAAUAGUAUUACAAAUGUUUUAUUUGAAAGAAGUUAUUAAGGCCUCAAUAAUGAUUAUAUAAUAGAGUAGUCUUCUUGCCUUAGAAUGAGAUAUUAUCAGUGGCUAAAAAGUCCUAUGAAUUAUCUUCAUAGCAAAAAAAGAUCAAAAUAUGUGACAAAUAUUUCAUAUUUUGGACUUCUUCAAUAUGUAAUUACUAUUUCUUAUGGAAUUCGUCUCUAGAAGGGAAGAUAAUAUCAUGGAUGUAUAUAUACUUCAAUAAUUAUCUAGAUAUUAUAAAUAAAUAAAAAUAUAUAAUUUUAAUAAUAUCUUAUAUAAAAGCUUUAUAAAAGCUUUAUAGACAUGGCUUCACCUUUAUACAUAUUUUUAGGUGAUGGAUAGAUUAAAAACUUGGCCAUUAAAUUAGCCACAUGUUGCAUAUUGUUGUGAGGCGUGAUUUACAAUCCAGAAAUAUAUGAGGUAUCUAAUUGUAGAGAAUUUAGUUUUAACUUAUUGGCUAAGUUCUAAUAAGUGUUUUAUUCCAUCUUUAACUUAUAUUCAAAGUCUUGGCUUCCAAAACCUCUUCACUUUAUAUAAAAUAUCCAAAUUGUAGCAAAUUCCUUCAAAACAUAUUUUUCUUUUAGGGAAUUUUUUCUUCUUGAACUUUAGAAAUUCAUAUCUUUUGAUCCAACUAUUCAAUUUCAAAUUUUUAUAUAGUAUAGUUAUUAUUCUUAAGUUUUACUAAAAAAAAUGAACCGUAAAAUCACCACGAAUCUUUUGGCAUCUUAGAAACCCUAGCAAGUGCUCUAAAUUCUAACUUACAAGCAUAUGAGUACUAUUUUCUUCAUAUCUCAAAAAUCCAAAAUUAAAAUGCUACAAAAUUUAUGCAAAAAUUUUAUUAAUAUGAUUAUACAUAUUCUUAGAAAUUUUGAGCCAAAAUCUUGUCAAAUUACUUAAGAUAUAGCUCAAAACACAACCACUAGUGAAUCGGAUCACUUACUACCUUUAGAUUUGCAAGUGCUGAUUUCAACCUCUAAUAUCUCUUUCAGUCCAACUUGGAAUCUAUCAAAUAGUAUGCCAAAAGUGUAGUUGAAAAAUUGUUCUCUUCAAUCCUAAUUGCCAAUCCUUUAUUGCUUUCUGUACGCAUGCAUUAUGUCCAAAAGUGUGACAAUAGAUACAAAAUUAAUACCUUAACUUUGAGCACCCAUAUCUCCUUCAUAUAAACUCCAAAUCACACAAAAUUUUCACCAAAACUAUAGCCAAGAACCUAAAAUUGUUAAAUCUAGCCUCCAAAGCUCAAAUGGCUUCGAAAAAAUAACCCUAAUUCCUACUAAGGCCUCGGGCAGCCUUCUUGAAGCCCAUUGGAUACGAUUUUUGGCCAAUAUGAAUGGAAAUUCUCAUCAUUCAUCUCCAUUCAUCCAUAUCAAUGCCCUUACUUUCUUUUUUGCUUCCAAGACUCCUCUCCAAUCCUUUCUCUAAUAAGAUUUAGAUAAUAUACGUCCUAAACACCAAAUAAAAGAACCAAAAUAUAACUUCAAGGUUCACCAAUGUCUAAUAAGGUGACUCUAAAUAUUUAAAAGCUACUACUAAUAAGAUCAACUUCAAAAGUCACUAUCAAAAGAAAAUAAAGUUAUAUAAAUUCUAAUAAUAGUUCUUUUAAAUGAAUUCCUUUUAAGAUAGUAAUCUAACUCUAUUCUACAACUAACUAAAAUUUAUUAACAUGGUUCUUACCAUGUUACUUAUUAAAUCAUAUAUCAAACAUACAAACACAAUAUUUUCACAUGGUAGGCUAAACCACAACACAACAAUGUAUUGAUAGCUUGUCAUAUAAGCUAAUGAUGUAACUUAUAUAUAUAAGAAACUUGCCUUAUAAGAUAAGAUGUAUAUCUUGUAAAUUAAAUACAUGUCAGAGGUCUUACAAAACAUUAUCACAUAGCUUUUGAGUAGAUAGUAUAUAUUGAAGCAAAAGUGAAGCCUUCUACACUCUUGUUAAUAUUUUUUUAGUCUUUAAUCUUAUUUCAAGAAUUUUUAAUCUUCUUGACUUCAACAAUAGCUAUUCCAAUUUUAAUCUAUAUUAGUUUUGAGUGAAUAUAUAUUUUGUUUAAAUUACACAAAAGUAUAUUGAGUUUUUGAUACUUUGAGAUUCAUGUCUUUGUCACCAUAAAAUAUUUUAUUCACUAAUAAAACUACUUGCACUUAGAGUACUUAUUAAUAUGUUAUUAUUAAAUAAAAUUUAAGAAUUCAUAUUUAAAAUAUUAAAUAAAUUAACAAAGUUAAUUUUUCUAUGAAUAGUUUUUAUUUUAAAGAAUUAUUAGUUGUAGAAGAAGUGGAACCUAAAGUUGGCAUGUGAUAGGAUUAUUUUGUAAAACUUAAAAUAAAACCUAAUAAAUUAAAAAUAAAUCAAAUCUAAUUUUAAUUAUAUGGAAUUAGUCUUAAUAAAUUAAACUUUUGAUUUACGUUUAGUUUAUAAAUAAUAAAAAAUAUGAUUAAAAUUAUCUUUUGUCAAUAAUUAAUUUAAAAAAUUAGUAGUAGUGAAAAAUGAUUUGUUUCAAUAGUUAGGAUUAAAAUUGGAAUAGUGUAAUAUGUUGAAAAUAUCAUUAUUAAAUUUUGAUUCUUAUAUUUAAAAGCUUUGUUUUAUUUUGGAAUAUAAGAAAUUAUAAAUUAUCUUUGUAUUUUACUAUCAAUAUAAAUAUUAUUAAAUUGAUUAAAUACAUAUUUACCACCACUAUGACUUUAUAAAAUCUAUAAUCAAUGUCAUAUGUAUUUUUCAACAUAAGCUUUUUAAUCCGUGAGUUUAGAAAAUAUUUGAAAUAUUAAUUUUAACUAAAUUAAUCAUUGUAAAAAUGGCUAAAAUUAUUAAUAAAAGUAAUAAAAUAUUAGUAGCUAGUAAGUACAAAAAUAAUGGUUUAUUUAAGAUUAGUAUGAAUUAAAUUAUAUAAAUAAAUAGCUUCGUUUUUUUUCUUUAUUUAUAAUAGGACUUGGUAGUGUUUUUUCUUUGUAGCACUUCUUCAAUAAUUUUUUACUCUUUAAGAUUAAAUUCUAAUAAUAGAUUUUAGUAAAGGCUCACUUGCACAAUUAUAACUUAGGAUUAUUAAUAAGAUUCUAAUUCCUUAAAAUUCCACAAUCAAUGCGUGAUUAAAUCUAAAAAAUAAUUUUACUUGUUUUCAAUUCUAUUAUAUUUUAUUGAAAAAAUUGAAUUAAAGUCAAUUACUAAGCUUUUAAUUCCAAUUAAAUAGAGAAUGAUAAAUAUAUCUAUUGUAUUUUUUUUAUUUAUAUUUAAAUAAUUUAUCUUUAAAUUUAUCUAUCAAAUACAACUAAAUUACAUAAAUUGUAAUCUUAUGACUAAUAUUUUUAUCUCUUUUAAUAUAUAUAUAUAUAUAUAUAUAUAUAUAUUAAUAUUCAUUGGAAUUUUUUUAUUACAAUAUUUUAUUUUAAUAUUUUAAUUAGAACUUUCUUGCACUAUCUCUAAUUUUAAUAAUAUCAUUGAGUUAUUUGUAUUUUUUCCUUUAAAUUAAUUAUAUUUUGUAGCUAUUUUGUAUACGUUUUUAUUUUUUAUGUGGUCCAAUGUAUAUUAUAUAAACUUCUAUAUUAGUAGUAAUAUUGUAAUAGAUAAGUACUAAAAAUCUCCUUCUACUAAAUAUUUCAUAAUCUUUUUGUUUUCUAAAUUAAUAAAAAUAUACUUUAAAUAUCCAUUUAUUUUUUGUGUUUUGAAGUAAUUAUGAUUUCUUUUGAAAUAUUUAUAAGAUUUUAGGUUAUACAAUUUUAAAAGAUUAGUAGUAGUACUAUCUUAAUUCAAGUGCAAAAAAUAUUUAAAAAAUCAUAAUAUACAAUUACGUUUGGUUUGGAUUUAAACAUGACUAUGGUUGCCAAUAUCAAUGUACAAGUUUUACUAUGCACUAAUACUAUUAAUCAUUAAAGUUGUAGGUGAUAAAAAGUUUAUUUAUUUCUAUUCUAUGGAUAAAAAUAUAUAUAUUUUUAUUAUAUAUAGGACUAGGACUAAACACUAAAGAAGUAAUCUUUUAGAUUUUUAAUUUCUUAAGUAGUCAUCAAUUGAUCUUUAAAAAAGAUCAAUCUAAUUCUUCUUGACUAACUCAUUCUUAAAGUUUUGCCUCAAGAUUCAAAUACAACUCCUUAUCAAGUGCGUUCAUUCAAUAAAGUAAUAAUCUUCUCUUGUAUUAAGUUCUUACUUUUUUCUUUUGUGGAUUAUAUUGUUUUUGAAACCAAAUACAUCAGCUAAAAUAACUCACCUUACAAUCUUUAACAUAUUACUAAAAACUUUAGUAUAAAUAGACAAACCAUAUUAUUCUAUAUUUCAAAAUAUUCCAAAAUAAUUUUAAAAUAAAAUAUUAAAUAUCAUGUAUAUAUCACAUUUUUCUUAGUGUUGUAAUUUUUUCAAAAGAGUUCCAAAAAAAUACUUGAGUUUCUUACAAAUAUAAUGUAAAAUCUACAAAAAAAAGUUUAUAAAUAAUAAAAUUAUGUCAUUAAAAGAUAUGUAUUCAUCAACAAGGAUUAAAUUUUUAGUUCUAUAUUAGAUGUUAUAAUUUUUUUAAUAAUUUAAGUCAAUAUUUACAAAGGUUUUAUAAAUUAGACAGUGUUUUUGGAUGGAAAUCCAGAUACCUCUAUAACAUUUGGUUGUCUUUGUACUCAUAUUGGACUAUAAUUUUGAACAAGAUAUUAUUAUUUUUAAAUAUUCAAGGUUUUUUUUACUCUUGAUGAUCCUUCACAAUACUUCGGGCCUCACAAUUUAGGUACUCCCCAAAUACUCUAGUUUCAUUUUAAUGAUCUGACUGCUCUCAUUGCCUGCCGAAGGUGCAUAGUGACGCCCAUAGGGUCUGUAACCGCGGGAUCCGGUUCAAGACAGCAGAGUUCCCGCGGUCACCGAUCAGCACAACGCCCCAUGGGAAGGAUCCAAAUGGACACCAGCCUGGACACCCGAAGCCGCCACGAAUCGGGGGGGGGGGGGUAUGACCACAUUAGGUCACUAUUUUUUCCGCUUUUGAAGUCACCUUCAAAAUCCUUUCCAACCGCGCUCGAAACCGCGUUUCUGAAAUAGCACACCACGGUCCAUGUCCGUUAGAUAAGAAAUCUGACGGUGGGCCUGUAAGAACCAUUCCUUCAAGUAGCAGAAUCGCACCUGAGCUUGCCCCUUUCGACCUGAGAGCUCUCGUGCGAGAGCCUGCACCGCCGCUGACGCUGUGUGCAUUUCCGACUUCGAUUAAUCGUUUCAUUUUGAGGUAUGCUUCUGGACUUAUGUUAUGCGUUUCAUUCUUGCCUUUUUAGGGUUUACAGUCAAGGCUUUCCGUCACACGGCCUGGUGUGACAUUCCUUAUACGCCUAAAAGUGGGGUUUGGGUUCAUCUUUUAAUCCAGUUGUUUAGUGACAAGCCUUGGUAUAGUUUCACUUCACUGACUUUAUUCAGCACUCAACAAUGAUUAGGGGUGUGGAGUGAGUUAACAAGUCAACUCUUUAUCGAUUCUACCCAUGGUCUGGGUCUACAAAAUGCUCAAUGUGGAGCACGGAACAGAAAGACAUUUAAAUACUUAUUACAGAAUGCGUUUGUGUCAUCUGCAGUUAGUUCAAGAUGGGUAAGGAGAAGGUCCACAUCAACAUCGUGGUCAUCGGCCAUGUCGACUCCGGCAAGUCGACGACCACUGGGCACCUUAUCUACAAGUUGGGAGGUAUCGACAAGCGUGUGAUCGAGCGUUUCGAGAAGGAGGCGGCGGAGAUGAACAAGCGUUCGUUCAAGUACGCGUGGGUGCUGGACAAGCUGAAGGCAGAGCGCGAGCGUGGUAUCACGAUCGAUAUCGCGUUGUGGAAGUUCGAGACCGUGAAGUACUACUGCACUGUUAUCGACGCGCCCGGACAUCGCGAUUUCAUCAAGAACAUGAUCACGGGAACGUCGCAGGCGGACUGUGCCGUGCUGAUCAUCGACUCGACGACGGGAGGGUUCGAGGCCGGUAUCUCGAAGGAUGGGCAGACGCGUGAACACGCACUGCUGGCGUUCACUUUGGGAGUGAAGCAGAUGAUUUGCUGCUGCAACAAGGUGGGUUCGGGGGCAUUUUGGUUGAGGUUGGGGGGUAGGGACAUGGUAUGGGAGCGGGGCGCGGUGGUGGCAUUGGGUUGCGUUAUGGACAUGGCGUGGGUAAUGUCGGGGGCAGACGAGUGGGGUAAGGGGUAGGGUUUUUUGCGUGCAUUUUUGGGGGGCAGUGAGGUGGGCUGAUGUUGGUGAUGUGGAGGGUGGCAGAUGGACGCGACGACCCCGAAGUACAGCAAGGCCCGAUUUGAGGAGAUCAGCAAGGAGGUGUCGGCGUACCUGAAGAAGGUGGGGUACAACCCGGACAAGAUUCCGUUCGUGCCGAUCUCAGGGUUCGAGGGUGACAACAUGAUCGAGAGGUCGACGAACCUGGACUGGUACAAGGGUCCGACUCUGUUGGAGGCGUUGGACAACGUGUCGGAGCCGAAGAGGCCAUCUGACAAGCCUCUGAGGCUGCCGCUUCAGGACGUGUACAAGAUUGGAGGCAUUGGAACUGUGCCAGUGGGACGGGUGGAGACGGGAAUCAUCAGGCCGGGCAUGUUGGUGUGCUUCGCACCGACGGGACUGACGACUGAGGUGAAGUCUGUGGAGAUGCACCACGAGUCGAUGCCCGAGGCACACCCGGGUGACAACGUUGGGUUCAACGUGAAGAAUGUGGCGGUGAAGGACCUGAAGAGAGGGUACGUGGCCUCAGACUCGAAGAAUGACCCUGCAAAGGAGGCAGCAAACUUUACGGCGCAGGUUAUCAUCAUGAACCACCCGGGACAGAUCGGUAACGGUUAUGCGCCAGUGCUGGAUUGCCACACGUCGCACAUUGCGGUGAAGUUUGCGGAGAUCUUGACGAAGGUGGACAGGCGAUCGGGUAAGGAGCUGGAGAAGGAGCCGAAGUUUUUGAAGAACGGAGACGCAGGGUUCGUGAAGAUGAUUCCGACGAAGCCGAUGACGGUGGAGACGUUCGCGGAGUACCCACCAUUGGGACGGUUCGCGGUGCGGGACAUGAGGCAGACGGUGGCUGUGGGUGUCAUCAAGGCUGUGGAGAAGAAGGAGCCAACUGGUGCCAAGGUGACCAAGGCCGCCGCCAAGAAGAAGUGAGGGGUUGGGUUUUAGUCGGUGACAUAAUUUAUUUGUUCGAUGCCGCCUCUGGCGUCGGCACUUCUCGAGCUUGUUUAUGCCGUUUUCUUUGGGUGGAAUGGCAGCGCUGUUAAUUGGUUAUCUGCACUGCACUGCGUCUCGUUUUUUGUAUCCAACUGUAUCUUUAUAUUGUUUGCUUGUUGUCUGAACAUGUUUUUGUUCGGUGCUCCUUGCGUGCUGGUGUGACAGUCUGAAAUGUGUUCUGUCUAACCGUAAUUCCAUUUCUUAGUUACUUCUACCCCUCAUUUGUCAUGGCACUUAGAUGUAUGUUCAAUAUUAUCAAUGUUAAGUAGUUUUCAUCUUAACAAGGAAUAUAAGAAAUCAGGGUGAAGAUGAAAUAACAAGGUGCCCAUCCGCGUCGUCUGUGCUGAUUUUGAAGCACAUAUCUGUAAUAUCUGUUAGAACAUGGUAGUACAUUUCCAAAGGACAUACCCUCGAGAAGUAGAACUUCGGCUUCACAAUAGAUAGGGAACGUAACUUGCGCUCUCUUGCACAUCUAAAUCUCGGUCAGAGUGCGUUUGGACAGUAUUGUGGGAAUGGUGAUCAGUAAUGUUGGAAUCUGGCACUUAUAUCCUGUACGGCUUUGCUCGCAAAUGAUACGUCUUGUCGCUGCCAAUAAGGGGAUUCUGACUAAAGGUCUUCGUGAAACCAAAUAUCACAGAUCAUUCAGAACGUCACCUCCCGAAAUAUCACUGAUAUUUUGGUGAUUUGGAAACGACAUCCUGCUGUGUUGUAUGGAGUCAAAGAAGGAAGAAAUCUGAGGCAAGUUUCGCAGUUUUUGUUAUUGCAGUUGCCCCUUUAUUGAUACUUCACGAGACUCUCUUUAAAUAAUUAAUUGAAUUGUCUUUUACCUUGAUAGUGAGUGUUUUUUUUAAUACCAAAAAUGUUUCAUUUUUAUUUAUAUUUUACUUUUUAUAAAUUGCUAUUAUUAGUACAAGCUUAGAAUUGCACAUAAUUUUUGAAGCAUUGACAAACUAUUGAAAUAUUCAAAAAAUUUAAGUUUAGUUCCAUUUAUCUACCAAAGCUUGUAAGCUAUAAUGCACCUUAGUUGUUCUAGAAAUUCUACAUAAAGUAUCAAACUUUGGUAUAUAUAUAUAUAUAUAUAUAUAUUGUUAAAAUAAAAGAGCUUAUGAAGUUUAUGUCCUUUUAAUUUUUUUAUAGAUAAAUCUUCUUUUAGAAUUAGUUACAGUAUUUUUUAGAUUUGCAUUCUAGUUGAGGUAGUUUCGGUAAGGGUAAGUACCAAUUGCAUAAUAAUUGUAAAUUGGAUAAUUUCAGAGGCUACAUGACAAUAAUAUUGCAAGAUAGGUGAUCCAUUAUUGAUCCAAUACACAAUGGCAACAUGCAUUUUAGAGCUAUUAGUCAUAUGUGACCUUCUAAAAUCCAUAUCAAUUCAAUUUUAAAUACAUACAUUUAUACAUAAAUUUUUCUUACUAAAACAUGUAAAAGUGCUUCUAUCCACUAUCUAUUCUUUGAACAAAGUAUUUUUUUGAAAACAAUAUGAUUUUUUGAAAUAAUUUCUUUGAUACUAGUUUUUUAACUACCUACUUCUAGAAAACAAUUUCAUUGAAAGUACUAUGCACAUCUCAUUGCACUAGGCUUUUGCAUAGAUGUGUUCAACUUAAGAAUAUAUUAAAAAAAAAAAAAAAAAAAAAAAAAUUCCCAAAAGUUAGAAGUUAGAAGUAGGAAUUGUGCCAAAGAUAAGUCUUACAAUGCCUUUUGGACAAUACCAAAAAGAAAUUUUUCCUUCAACUUUAAAUUUUACAAUCUCCCACAUGCAAUGACCUUACCACCUAAGAUUUGGUAGACUCAUUCUAAUAUUAGUUAGGAAUAAGAUCUUAUAAUUGAAAGUAUUAAAGAUGCCAAAAAAAUCUUUGAAAAUCAUUUUUUUAAAAGGUUUUUUUUUUUUUUUUUUUUUUUUUGGCAGUUUUGGAGUUUAAAAGGCAACUUAAGAAACUUUAGGAGUUAAAUAAGUACAAUCAAUUUUAUUACAACAACCUUCUAAUUUUAUUAUUAUUAGUAUAAUCAUUUUUUUGUUUAUAUCAUUGCAAGUUUUUUUUUUUUAUAUAUACAUCCAUUGAAUGUUAAUCAUUGUUAUAUUUUAUCAAUAUAUUAUAUUAUAUUUUUAGUUUUAUUAAUUUAAAAAAUUAAUGUUGGAUUAUUUAAUUUUAUUUAAUUUUAUUGCUAUAUUGCAUGUUUUUUUUAUAACUUUUCAAGAAUAAUAAUAUAAAUUAUAUAAAUUUGAGCUUAUAAGAGCAAUGAUUUAAAAGAAAUUAAAUAAUUUACAUUAUUUUGUAAUUUCAUUAAGAUAUCUUAUACAUAUAUAUAUAUAUAUAUAUAUAUAUAUAUUGAUUAUAACAGCAAUGCUGAUUUUUUAUUUUAUAUAAGCAAGUUUAUUAUUAUUAAGAAUAUAUAUUUUUUUAAAGGUACAUUUUACUAUUGUUUAAUAGUACAAAUUAUAUCUUGAAACUAUGAAGGAGAAAUAUUUAUACAUAAAUUGUAAUCACAAGAACUAUGUUAGAUAUGAAAGAUAAGGUUACAUUACACAAUUGCUAAUUUUUUAGCCUUUUUUUUGGAAAACUAUUCAUGAACAAAUUGGAUUUACUUUCUUUUAAACUACGUUUUGUCAAAGACAUGAAUCUCAAAGAAAGAAAAUUCAAUAUACUCUUGUGUAAUUUGAAGAGAUUACAAAGUCACUUAAAGAUGGUAAUGUAUUGAAUCAGAAUGGCUAUUGCCAAAAAUAAGAAGACUAGAAAGUCUUAAAACAAGACUAUGAAUUAGAAAUGCACUGACAAGAGUAAAAAAGGCUUCUUUCUUGCUUCUAUAUAUACUCUCUAACUAGGAGCUAUGUGGUGAUAUUCUAUUAGACCUCUAAUAUGUUGACUUUGCUUAACACAUGUCUUAACUUGCAAGCCAAGCUAAUUAUAAGUGCACCACAUAAUUAACUUAAUUCAUAAGCUACUAAUAUGUGUAACAUGUGGUUAACUUCUUAACCAAGUUUCUAGCCUAUCAAUCAAUCACAAACAUGUGUAAAAUCAAUACUGCCUCUACAAAGCUUUUAUAAAGCUUUUUUAGAAGAUAUUAUGAAAUUAAUCUAUUUUUAUCUAAUUCUCAAUAAUCAUAUAGAUAAUUAUUGGAAUAAAUAUAUAUAUAUAUCUAUGACACUUUUUAAAUUAAAGCAUAGAGUUCUAAAAUAUGCAAAAAUAAAGAAAUUUAUCCUUUCCAUAAAAUAUUUUAUUUGAUUUUGAAUCAAACACUAAAGAUAAUAUUCAAUAAUCUAAAUUAAAUUAGAUAGCUUAUCUUCACUCCAUUUAUAAAAAUUACUUCCUAUUAAGAUAAUUUUUUUACAUACAAUGUUUUUGUUAUCAAUAUCUUCUAUUAAAAAUUUAUUAUAUUGUGUGGGCAUAUGUAUAUAUAUAUUUAUUGGUUUAUAAUACGUAGCUUCAAAUUUAAUAUUUUAAUCUUCAAUUCCAACUUUCUAGCUUUGAAUUCAUUGAAAUGUUUAGAAUAUGUAAUUUUAUAUACUUAAAAUUCAAUAAAAAUUAGUUGUUAAAUUUGAUGUGAUUUCAGAAAUAGGCAAAUCAAUUUAAAUAUAAUACUUUAGAAGAUAUAAUAGGCUAGGCUACAUUAACCUUUAUUAAAAUAAUAAAAAAAACCAUCAAUUUUUUUUAUCAUGUAUAAUUGCUCUAAAUAUAAUUUCAAAAAAAUUGUUCCAAUUUUUUUGUUUAAAAACUAUCUUAAUAUAUCUUUAUUGUUAAUUGACUAUCAGGUUUUUUUUGAUAUUUUCUAUAAUAUAUUUAAAUGUAUAUGAAAAUUUAUGAAAAUAAAAUUUUGUACGUAAAUACCAAUAAUUUAGAAAUUAUAUUUAAUUAAUACUAUUAUUCGGCUUAAAUAAUAAAAAUUUAGGAAUAUUGUGUGAAAUAUCAAAAGUCAAAACAUCUCUCUUUUUCUCUCUCUAUAUAUAAAAUUUAAUUUUUAAUUUUUAAUUUUUAUAUUUAUAUAGUAUAUUUUAUAAAAUAUUAAUAAUAAGUUUAUUUAUUAGUUAUAUAUAAAAUAUUAAAAAAUAUAGUAAUUUAUAGUGAAGUAUUUUAAUAUCAAAUUACUACAUUAAUUUUAAUAUUGCCAUCAACAUUGAGUUUUUUAGCAAGAGUUCAUACUCUGCGAAGUAAUCAUUACUUUAAUUUUGAUUACAUCAAAUUAAUUCAAAGCAACAUCCAUUUUUUGGAUUGUGCUCUAAUAUGUUUAUAUGUAUGUGCAUGUAUAUAUAUAUAUAUAUAUAUAUAUCUUUGAAAUUUACACAUAUAAAUACUUUGGCAUAUUCAAUGACAGGGUUAAAAUUUGAAACAUAUACCUUUAGAGCAAGCAAGUGGAUGAAAGUUAUGUAUCAAUUUUUCAAACACUGCGAUGAAAAGUUAAAAAUGUAAAAAUAUAUUUAAAACUCAAGUAUGGGAUUUGCAUAGCAAUGUCCAUAAUUAGAUCAAAUUUUAGAUAUAUUUUUUUGCUUAUGCAUCAUAUUACAUGUAAGUCUAUAGAUUAAAAUUGUAUUCAUGUUAGACUUACUUUAAGAGAUAAAAAAUAUUUCAUUUGAAGAAAAAAGUCAAAUAUUUCAAUCAUAAAUGACACAAUAUUAUUUGUGUAUGUCAUUACAAUAAGCAAAUUGAAACUUAAGGUUUUUGGAUGAUACUUCAUCUGUAAUGAUAUUUCAAAGUAUCACAUGAUAUUUCAAAAUAUUACUUAAUUUUGAAAUUAACAUAUCAUAAGAAUGAUGUAUAUAAUAUCACAAAUCAUGUGACUCACAUCAAUUCUUUGCACCAAUUGAUUCUGUACUACACCACAACAUUCAAUUCUCUAGUCUUUGCACUUCCAAAAAUUUGAAAUCCUAAAUUUCUUUCAUUUUAUACUACAUUGUAACCUUUUCUCUUAACUUUGCUCCAAAAAUGAUAAUUCUAAAUUUUUUGAAUUAUAUACUAUAUUACAACCUCACAAUGUCUCGAUGCUUCAAAAAAAAAAUAACAAAUCCUUUGUGACUUAGAAAUAUUUAUUAAUAAAAUAUUUGAAGAACAAUGCAAUAAAAUUAAAAAUAAUUUGAAGAAAACUACUUCAAAUUUGAAGAUGCAAAAGAAUUUUUGAUGGUUUAUGGUACAAUCAAGAAUUUUUCAUAUAUAUAUUCACCCAAAAUAUUGUAUCUAAAUAGACUCAUUGAAUUAUCAAUUAUUUUAUAUUUGAGACUUAUGUCCAAUUUUGACAAAUCAUAAGAAUGUCAAAGAAGGGCUUUUAGAUGGUGCUUUCAACCAUAAAAAACCACCCCAUUUUUUGGAGCAAGAGUUGUUAUCUACAAGGAAAAAUUGCUAGGCAAUUGUAUGUAGGAUUGGAGUAUCUUAGAUCAUAUAAGAAUGAAACUAGUAUUAAGAGAUUAAAAAGGGCUUGGAAUAUUGGCAACAUCACAAUAUAUACAUUUAUAAUAUAAGUAAUUGAAGCAAUUUUUUCAAUCAAAUAACAAUAUUUGCAAUGACUAAAUAUUUUCCAAAGGCUUCAAAUUAGCUAGUCAUUUAGUCUCUUAGAGCUUGGCAAUUGUAUCAAAUUUAUUGACAGGAUACAAUUCUGUCUAAGCCAAUAUAUAUUAAAGAUAUGAAGUGAAAGAAAAUGCAUAAACUUGUAAAAUUUGAAUAAAAAGAAAUUUGAAAUAAAAAAAUAUGUAUAUUAAAAAGAAACUAAAAUGACUAUUACCAAAAGGCAAUGAAACUAGAGAGUCUUGAAUCUAGACUAGAAGCAAGAAAGAAGUUGAAAAGAGUGAAGAAGGCUUUAUUCUUGUCUCUAUAUAUAUUAUCUUUUUAGGAUCUAUGUGACGACAUUCUAUAGAACCUCCAAAACUGCUUUGACUUUGUAUGACAUGUAUCUUGACUUGCAAAGAAUUUUUUUUAUAUGGGCACCACAUAGUUAGCUAGUUCCACAAGCUACAAAUACAUGUGGCAUGUGGUUAGCUUGUUGACUAAGUUUUUAACCUAUCAAUCAACUAUAAAUACAUGUAAAUUCAAAAUAAUAUCUAAGAAGCUUUCAAGAAGCUUUUCUAAAAGGUAUUAUGAAAUUAAUUUAUUUUUACCUACUUCUAUCUAUUUAUAUUACUUAAGUAACAAUUACAAUAGAUAUGUAUCUAUGAAAUUAUAUUAUCUAGAUAACAAUCAUAAUAUAUAUAUAUAUAUAUAUAUAUAUAUAUAUAUAUUUAUAAUAUUAUUUCUCUUUUUACGGAUAAGUUCCACAAGGAAUAUUGAUCAUAUAUUGAAGAAGUCUAAAAUGUGGCAAAUUAUAUUUGCAAUGUAUUCUAAUCUUUGUUUCCUUCAAAAGUAGUUGAUAGAUCUUCUUAGCCAUCAAUGAUCUCUCAUCGUAGGGCAAGAAGACCACCCUAUGAUUUGAUCAUUGUUGAAACCUUUUUAACUUCCUUCAAACAGUAUAUUUGUAAUACUAUCAAGAUUCGUGCCUACCUCAAAUAAAAUCAUCUAACAUGGAGAGUCUUUUUUCAAGUUGUGAUACCAAAUGAAUUGUAUCUUUUUAUCUAUUUAAGGAAGAACAUGUCAUUCUUAAAGGGCUUCAUUCUUAUAAUGUCAUUUUAAAGGCUAUGAUAAUUGCAAUGCCUCAUCCAAUAAAUCAACAAAUAAUGGUUCUUGAGUUGAAUCCAUUAGUUUUUGAUUUUUCAUCUCUCUAAUGCCACAAUUAUAUAAAAAUUAUAAUUAAGGAUAAAAAAUAGAAUGCAAUAUUUUUUUAAUUUUAUUUCUUUUAUAGCAAAGAUUUGUUAUUUUUCAUCUUGGUUUUGAUAGAUAUUGAUGAAAAGCUUUGACCUUCUCUAUUGCAUUUGUAAGAUUCUUUUUUGGCUCUCAUAUACAUUCACUAAUAUUAUAUUUGUGCCAAUAGACAAGAUAUUUUAAGUUAUUUUGGCAUCGCCUUGAGUCAAACUUCUUCCACUUCAAACUCUUCAUUAUUAUGCACUUCUAUAGGAAGAGGUGGAACUUGUCUUUUUUUUGCUAUAUUCACACUCUUGUAUAAUCUAAGAAGAAACAUAUAGAAUACAAGAUAGAUCUUUAUUGACUCUGAUAGAUGUAAUUAAUAAGUAACUAGAUUGAUUAAUUCACAAAUAAGAAAAGAUCCAAGCCUGCAAUAGUCUAACUUAUCACAAAAAUAAGUAGUUUUGAUAUUACAAUGAAGUAAUCAUACCUUAUCACCUACAUUGAAUUGUGGUAGUUCCUUUUGAUAGGCAUCCAAGUUGAUCUUUUGUCAUUCUUGAGCUUCCUUUAAUUAUACCUUCAUUGUUGCAUGUAGUUGUAACAAAUAAUUUUCUAAAUCUUUUGCCAUAGGAUUAUUAACUUUUGAAGUGUCAAAAGUAUCAAGUCAUAGAUGAUAAUUAUAAUUAGUAAAAAAAGAUGUUUGUUGCAUAAAAGAAUGAAUUGUAUUAUUAUAAGCAAACUUAGCCAAUGAUAAGAAGAUUGUCCAAUCAUCUUGUUGGUAUAUCUUAAAUAUUGCUUCAAAACUUUGUUUAUACACUUUGUUUGUCCAUUAGUUUGAAGAUGAAAGGUCAAAAAAAGCUUUAUGUCUACCUUUAGAAUCUUAAAAAAAAAAUUCUAAAAACUUGAUACAAAUUGAGUUCUUUUAUCCGAUAUAAUAUCUUUUAGAAAUCUAUGAUAUCGAUAGAUAUUGUCAAAGAAAAGCUUGGUAUUUUCUUCACUUGUGAUAGAUUUUGUGCAUAGUAUAAAAUAUACUAUUUCAAUAAAAUAAUCUACUAUCACAAAUAUAAAAUCACACAAAUGUAAGAUUCAAAGAUUUGUAAUAAAAUCCAUAGAAAUAUGAGACCAUGGUUGUUUUAAAAUACGUAGUGGCCAAAGAAGUCCAUAAGGUCAAUGAUAAAGAAUUUUUAAUCUUAAACAAAUGUCACAUGAUUGAACAAAGUCUUUUACAACCUUCUAUGUUUGCAACUGCAAAAAAAUCUUUACAUAUUAGCUCCAAAGUCUUGUUAUAUCCAAAAUGUCAUGUUUUUGGAAAUUUGUGACAUGCUUGAAGAACAUAUAAAUGUACUUCUCUUUCUAAAAUAUAUACACAACUUAUGAAAUAAAGUAGGUUGUUUUUGAACUCAAACUUCGAAGUAUUACAAGACUUAGAAGAAGUAUUUUUGAUAUCAUGAAUAAGAAGAUCAGAGAACAUAUUUGAUUAAAUUUGCUUGAAAAAAGUUGAAUCAAUACUUAAUGUUGAUUUCACUACUCAAAGAAGAAAUUUUUUUGACUUCAAUAAAAUUAUCUUUUGUUAAUCAAAAGCUACAUCUCCUUCUUUUUGUACUUUUGAUAAGAAUGUUUAGAAAAGGGAUUGAAUAAACCUUGUUGUUUUUCUAACUGAUAAGUGAUAUUGAACUUGAAUCUUGACAAAGACAUGGUCUAAUAAGCCUAGCAAUAAUUCAAAACAUAUGCUGACAUGAAAUACUCAAGGUUCUUCUGAUUAAUAUAUAUAGUGAGUUAGUUAGAAGCACCUUCUAGAUAAUAAUGCCAUUCUUAAAAAGAAUCCAUAAUUGUAAAAAGUUUUUUGUCAUGAAUCUCAUAGUUAAUCUUAGUCGUUGAAAAUUCCUUGGAAUAGAAAGCUAUUGGAUAGAUCUUGUCAUCUUCUUCUAUUUAUAACAAAACAAUAUCUAUAGUAAAAUUUGAUGCAUAUAUUUUCAUAAGAAAUGCCUUUAAAAAGUUGACAUGAUAUAAAAUUGGUACAAAAAUAAAUGCAAACUUCAAGGCUUUAAAUGAUGCUUCAGCUUCUUUUUUCCAAUCAUUUUUUUUUUCAUGUAAGACAUAUAAGAAGAACCAUAAUUUGAAAAAAAUUCUUCAUGAAGAUUCAAUAGUAAUUUGCAAAGUCUAAAAAGCAUUAUACAUCUCUUAUUGUUCUUGAAAUCUUCUAAUCUAUAAUAGUUAGAAUCUUCUUUGGAUCCAUCAUAAGUCCUUUAUUGGAAAUGAUAUAUAUUAAAAAGUCAAUUUGAAUAAUAUAGAAUAUGUUUUUUUAAGUUGGUAUACAAUCUUGCAUAUUUAAGUUUUUUUAAUAUACAAAAAAUAUAAAUUUCAUGCUCUUUUAUAUUCUUAAAAUAGAUUAAAAUACUAUCUAAAUAAUAGAUAAAAAAUCAUCUAAAAAUUCACAAAAAAAAUCGUUUAUAAGAUGUUAAAAAGCAAUUGGUACAUUCAUGAGUCAAAAAGGCAUGAUAUUAUAUUCAAAGUGCCCAUACCUUGUUCAAAAUGCAAUCUUCUAUUUAUCUCUUUUUUUUAAUGUAAACCAAGGUACAUGUUCUUUAUAGAUCUAUUUUUAUAUAGAUCUUAGCUUCAUUUACUUGAUUAAGAAGUUCAAAUAUCAAGAGUAAAGGAUACCUAUUCUUAAUGGUAAUCUUAUUGAGUCCUUGAUAAUCUAUAUAUAUUCAUAAAGAUCUAUCUUUUUUCUUUACAAAUAAUAUAGGAGCUCUUGCAAGAAAUUUUAAAUGGUAUAUGAAAUUCUUUGCUAAGUUCUCAUCAAUGUACUUCUUGAAUGCAGCCAAUUGAUUUUGUGAUAAACUACAGAUUGGACCAAAUGGUAGUUAACUUCCCUCUUUAAGAUCAAUUGAGCAAUCAUAUGGACAAUACCCUAGGAAAAUAUUUGCAUUCUUCUUCUCAAAAAUACCUUGAAAAUCUUAAUAUUGACUUGGAAUGCAACAUGAAGUCUUUCCAUUAUAAAAAAUAAGUGUGGUAUAAAUAACAAAAGGUAAUCUUUUUUUUGCUACAUGCAAGAAAGCUUUUGCGCCUAUGAAUAUGAAUUUGGCUAUAUUAGAUUCAUGGCUUUUUAUAAAACUCUUAAUAAUGAUAUGAAAAAAGUUUUGAAGAAAUCCAAUUUAUCAAAAGAUUAUACAUUUUUAGCCAUAAUAAACCUAAAAUGACCAAAUUACAGAGAGACUUAAUUAUAUUAAAAAUUAUACAACUAUUAUGACCAUUUAUUGUUACAUCUAUAGGAAGUGUUUCAUGAAUAAUAUUUCUAAAAGAUAAUUGACAGCCAUCUAUGACUUUUACAAAAAAACUCAAAAAAAUGAAUGUCAUACUUCACAACAAAGUUAAUUGCUUGACUCUAUGUUUGAAGAUUAUAUAAGUUGAACAUCAAUUUUUUUACCUCAUAUUAUAAUUUGUAGAGAAAUUGGCUAAUAAGGGCAAUAUCAUCCUACUUGACAUCAAUUACUAAUUGUCAAAAUUAUCAAACAUGUGAUAUCACUGAUUGAUUGCCUUGUCACAAGAUACAAAUCUUAUUAGUUGCAACACAAAUUGCAUCAUGUUUUCCAUGUUAAAAUAAAUAAGUAAAAAUGAAAGUAGAAUAAGUUACCUUGUAGAAGAUAUUAUCUUUGAUAAGUUGCUAUUCAUUAAAGGAUUGGCUCUUAGUAUGUAAGAAGGUGAAGAGAUAAAGUAGAUGAAAGGACUAAAGAUCUUAAGAAUAUAUAAAAUAUACUAAAAGCAUAUUUUUAUAGUAGAUAAGAUAAGAAUAAAUAGUCUUAGUAGAAUAUUAGAUGUAUGUAGUCAUCAUAGGAUAGAAAUUAUUCAUUAAGCUAGGAGCUACUACUUAUAAGUAAUGGAUGUUGGAAGUAAAAGAUAUCUUACUUCAUAUUCUCUUUGUGUAUAACUUUGUUGAUGUUGUAUUGUGACUUCAUAGUGCUUAUUCUUUAAUAGGUUAUGAGCCCACUCACCUUUUAUUGUAAGUUUUGAAGUUCUAUAAAGGGUCAUUUUUUGUAAAGAGUAGAUCUUUUGGUUAUUAUUGAUGUUAGGAUUUGGUAUCAUCUAACUCCAUUAUUAUAUCUAGUUGUUGAUGUAGUUUUGUUCUUACUUUUUGUUAAGUGCAUUGAUAAUCUUGGAGGUUGUUACAUACCUUAGAAUGAUGUUUUAGAACAUUAGUAUUGAGUUUCUUUACUGAUUUUGAUCAUUUGUGAUCUAUCAUUGUCGUUUUAUAUGAUAAACUUCCCUUGGGAUCCUCUCAUAAUGAUAAGAAAUAUAUUGUGAGGUUAGAAGUAUUUUAGAAGAGAAGAAGGUUGAUUGGAAAGUGACAAAGCUUAUAUAAGAGGUUAAAAUAGAGUAUAAGACUUGUAAGAAGUCUUAUAAGUAAAGUUGAAAGUUAUUAAAGAGUGAAAUCACUUAUUUAUUCACAAAGAGGGCAUUUUAGGUUUCCAAAGAAACAACAUCUUCUUGUUGAUUUUGAGAGCUCUUUCUUCUCUUUUUUUGAUUUUUUUUGAUACAUCCUUUUCAUAGACAUGGUUUUAAGUGAAGGUGAGAAUUUGAGAGUGAUUAGGAAGUUUAGAGGUGACAACUUCUAAACUUUUAUUUUCUUCAUUAGACCUUUGGAACAUGGUAGAUGAAAGUGAAGAGCCUCCAAAUGAUGAUGCUAAUGUCAAGGUGAAAUACAAGUACAAAUGUCAUGAAAAGAAGGCUUUUGGCAUAAUUACAUCAAAUUUGGAUGAUGCUAACUUUUCACAUAUAAUUGCUCGUAAUGGAUCAGCAAAAGCAUGAAAGACUCUUUGCAACAUCUAUAAGAGUAGAAACCUUGCCAAGAUUCUAUGGACAAGGAAGAAGUUCUUAAUGGUAAAGAUAGAAGAAGGAGAUGAUUUCAUGGCUCAUGUCAAUAAGGUAAAAGUACUUACAAAUCAAUUAGCAGUUGUUGAUAAGUCAAUUGAUAAUAAAGGCAUUGUAUUGACAUUACUCAUGAGCCUUUUUGAGACUUAAAGUGUAUUAUAUGGAAUAACUCUCUCAAUAGAAAGAAUUUGUUUCAACAUUUUUUGUUGUGAUAUGUCUAUUUGUGAUCACUUCCAAUACCACUAUUAUUUUUUUUCAAACAAAAUGAUAUUAACUUAAUCAAAAUCUAAUAGCAAUGCAGCCCUAAAGAUACAUGAAUUACCACAACUUAUAUUUUAUAGUUGUAAUUUCAAACUUGAGGAUUGAAGUUAUUGUAGAUUUUAUUGAUGUGAGAUGAGAUCAGUUUUUGCCAUCUUUAGUCUAUUCCACCAUUCUUUGAUCAUUCAAGUAUGUUAGUAUUCCUACACACAUAGAAUUAUGCAUUGCUUUGUUUCCAACACCUAAAUGGUAGUCAAUCCUUUAAGAGCUUUUUCAACAAUACUAGUUUUAUCAUGUGAUACAUCUCUUACUUUAAAAUAGCUAUUUUAUUUGGAUAUGAAUAUGAAAAAAUAACACAUACAUACACAUAUACACACAGAAAUAAUAACAACAAUAGAUUACUUUUUGAUAUUAGUGAAGAUUGAUAGAGAAAAUCAACUCUACAAAACUAUUUUAAAAAAACUACAAAUUAGAUGAGUGAUAUCUACAAAAUUAUUAGAAAAUAUACUUUUCUUCUAGAAAAGCAAGAAUUCCUUUCUUCUAAUAGAUUUAAUUUAUUAAUUUUUAGUAUAUAUUUUUACAAGAACUAAUACUUGAAACUGCUUAGAUGAUUGAUUCUAAGAAAUUAUAGAGUGUUAAAAAUGGAUAUUAUUGAAGGUUUGGUUUUUAGAAAAAGAUUAGAUUAUAAAAAAAAAAUUGGAUUUUAAAAAUUUUAUUUCUUUAUUUAUUUUAAAAUAUUUUGGAUUUAAUAUUAUUACACAAUACUAUUAACUAUGUACAAAUUUAUAGUAUAAAUUGAUGUUAGGAUGAGUCAAAAUCAUUAUUAUUAAAAACAAAGACAUAUUAAUCAAGACCAAGUUGACACUAAGACAUCUAAUUCAAACUUGUAUACAAACAAUAAAGAUCUAUUCAACCAAUUAAGAGUCAUUUUUUUUAUAUUGUACUUAAAAAUAUGUACACAUUUUUAUUUCAACUUUAGUUAUUGCAAAUUGUUCUUUAAAUUCUAAUUAUAUUAUUUAAACAAAUUUUAUAAAUAGACCUUUUAGUUCUUGAUUAUUAGAUUAUUCAAAAGUUAUGAUUUCUAUUUCAAAAACCCAAAGUUAUUUAAAAUUUAUUCAACGAAGAAGAAGCUUAAGUGUAAUUGUAUUUUAUUUUAAAAUUUAAAGAUGUUUUAUUAUAAAAUUCAAAGAUUUAAAUUACAAUUUUAGAAUAAUAUAGAAUAUAAGACCAGAGACAUAUCUUUUUUAUUUUCUAUUUUUUUUUUAUGAUCAUUUGUAUUUUUUAUUUCAAAAAUGAUUCAAAAUCAGUCCACAAAAUUGUUAUUCAAAAAUUAAAGUAAUUUUUUUACAUAAGUGUAAAUAAUAUGUAUUUUAUCCUUAUAAAAAAGGUCUGUCCUUUUAUUUUAUAUAUUUUUUUAUAACAUAUUUAUUGGUUGAUUUAUAGAAAAAACAAAAAAUAAAAUAAAAUAAAAUAAUUUUUUUUGAAUUAUACAAUAAGUAAUGCAGACAGAAACAUCUUAUCUUGCCUAAUUUUAUAGCAAGUUGGAAAGUCUUGUGACCAAUUCCUUAGUCUACACAAUCUUAAUGUGUUGUUCAACAAAGGUAUUAGUUUAUAAGGUAUGUGGUGUACCUUUGAAAAUUGUAUAAAAGUUUGUUAUUGACCGUAUAGGAUUGUGCAAUAAAUCUUGAGGUCUCUUAAAAAGUAGUUUUAAACCAUUUUAUGGGAUGUUUUAAAGAUCCACUAAGAACUAAAAUUGUGUGUUCCAAAGAUAAGAAAAAGUAUUACAAAGAUUUUAAAAUAAACUCUAAGAUAUUCAAUGAAAUAUAUGGUGAGCUUGUUAUAAAACAAAAGAAAUUUAUACAAACUGUGAACAUGGGAAUGGGAUUUUUAUUUUUAUUUUUAAAGAGCCCUUAGUUUGUUAAAUUUUAUUUUUUCUUCUUGUUUUAGUUAGUGAUUAUUUGACUCUUUUAUUUGACAUCUUCAAUAGGAAUUUAAUCCAGAGUCUUCUCCACUAAAACCCAUCUUUAAAAAGUUCCGGACAUGAUUACAGUAUAACUGUACAACAUAUUUGAAAUCAUCAAACUUAUAAUUAAAAAAUACAGUUCUAAACCGGUCGCACAAUGGCUACAGCCGGUAGUUAACCUAACCGUGACUGGAUGAGCGAUGGCGGCAGCUUCUUUUGGCAAACAUAAAUGCGGCGAUGACGGUCUAACUCCGUGAAUUAUUUGUCGCUUACGAGCACACUCUGCUCGCAGACUAUCUGUUACGAAGCAACUUUUUCCGAAUCAAACCGUUCAGCGCAAUGGAGUUUUGGGGUAUGGAUACUCUUAAAUCUCAUUAUACCCUGUUUUCGGAAUGUAUUCUUGCGAUUUAUGAAUUCUGGUCCUGUGAAGGAGACUUUACAGUUAUUGAUGCUAUCCCGCGAUCAUGGCGAGCAAGAGCAAUACUCUGAGCAAGUUGCAAGCGGGCUUCAGUCUUGUUCCGCUGGUUCGUGCGAUUCUUGCCGAGGGUUUAAGCGCCAGAAUUUUAAAGGCGAGAGUCUGUUUGUAUUAGUCGAUAGCAAUCGAUUUCUUAUCAUGUGAGCUUCUCCUAUGGUAUUAUAAGAGCUGUAAAGGUUUAGAUGAAUCAGAACUUCAGGUUUACAAGUACUUGGGUGUAUUGUCAUCGUCGUAAGAUGGUAGGCAUGGUCGGAGACGUUGAUUGUACACGUAUUUCGUUCACGAGAUUUGGAAUGUACUCCCUGGUCAUACUCGCUCAUCGUUAUUUGGUUUGUAUCUCCUUUUCUUUCCAAGUUCCUUAUCCUGGAUGGUUUAGAUUUCGAUACCUGUGGAGAAUUGAAUGAGUUCUGUGCUGAGCCUGCUUCUUAUCCGACAAGAGAUUAUUUUCUUGACAUCAGUCGAAUCGGAUUGUUAAUAUCACCGCAUUGUUUAUGAAUAAAUGCUUAUCGUCGUUUUUCUUGUUAGAGUUUAAUCGUCAUUAUAUGAACGUUGAAUUGUCUGGUGGUACAGGUGUCGAAGUGCCGCCUGGCAAGCCUACUUCAUGCCCUCCAGGCGAUGGAAUGCACCUUCAUGUUUCACAGGUAUGUACAGUAGCAUUAACUUUGAUUUCUCUUCAAAAUAUUUUGUUGUGCGCACAGUGUAGACUUCCAGCUGUUGUACUGUAAGAGAUGCUUGAUGAGCACGCUCUUGUUUAAUAUGCGUAGUGGAGAAACUUAAGAAUAGCGUGCUUGUUUAUUUGGACACAACGAGGGAAGUUAACUUCGUAUACUAGCAGUUUAGUACUGUUCUUUGCUCAUUGGCUCAUUUUGACUUUGUUGUAUCAGGCCGCUCUUGGAAAAAGCAAGGCCAAAAGCGGAAAGGAAAAUGAAAGGGUAAUCUUGAAGGUUCUUGUUGACGACAGUGAGAUUGUGCUGGGGACUCUUUCCGAGGGCAAGUGCGACCAAAUGCAACUGGAUCUUGUUUUUGAUAGAGAGUUCAAGGUUUCUCACAGCAGCAGCUCUUCAAGUAUCUACUUAUGCGGAUACCGAACUGAAUGUCCAGAAGAGUAUGACUCUGAAGGUAAUUAUCAGCUUGGAAUGAUCUUAGUUUUGUAAAUUAGAAUUUCUUGUCUUGUGCAGUGGGUGAUUUGAUGAUUGGCACUUGUUAGAAGAGCUUAGCACACACUCACUCGAAGUUGUAGUAUCUUUCGUGUUUGUAAUUCCGGCACAGCUAUCGGAAUUGAGUGCCUGACGUAAGUAUUCAGAUGAGCAUGAAGACGAAGAAGAGGACGACGAAGAGGAUGCCAAUGUGCCUGCGGCGGUUCCAAUCGAGCACAAAGCGGGGAAGGUUAUCACGGAGGUGGCUGGUAAGGCAGCCACUGCAGCUGCAAAUGCUGUUCAGAAAGCUGUCAAGAAGCAAGUAGUCCAGGAUGAUGUUUCUGACGAGGAAGACGACGAGGAAGAUUCAGACGAUGUGAGUUGUGGUUUCAGACACUGAGCUGUAGGCUUGUAUGGGUGAUGUGUGAAAUCGCUUUGCAGGUUUGAAUCUCAUUGGUCGUAUCUCACACCCGUUGGCAUUUCCUCACCGUACUGUCAUUGAUUCGUGGGUGAAUGGACCGAUAAGUGAAUAUUAUAAGCUGCCAGGUAGGUUGGAUUUAAAUGAAUGAGGGUACGGGACUUGUUUGUGAGCUACUAAGCCUCUGAUCCUUAUGACGAGUUUGGCGCGGCUGAUGCCUCUGAUGAGGUGUAUUUAGUACGUUUUUAGGUUAUUAUGUAGGUGUACAUGAGAUCUACAGACCCCGAAAGCGGCCCUUGCAGAUAUGUUAUGGCCUGCAUAGAUUACUGCCUCACUUGCUGGCUAUUUCCUCGUUGAUCACUUCUCGACGC
Molecule: long non-coding RNA, 158746 nt
Filed under: Physcomitrium patens
Lineage: Eukaryota; Viridiplantae; Streptophyta; Bryopsida; Funariales; Funariaceae
Description: long non-coding RNA (PPAT_LNC000544)
Source: RNAcentral